Molecule: long non-coding RNA, 159325 nt
Filed under: Olea europaea (common olive)
Lineage: Eukaryota; Viridiplantae; Streptophyta; Magnoliopsida; Lamiales; Oleaceae
Description: long non-coding RNA (OEUR_LNC002408)
Source: RNAcentral
CUCGAUGCUUAUAUCUAUCUUGACAAUGUUUAUAUCUAUCUUGACGGUCUAGUAAUGGAAAUUAAAGACAUAGGAUUAUAAUAAACAGGUAUAAAUCGAGAAAAGAAAGGUGUCAAAAAAGGAGAUUCAUAUACCCGAGGAGGUAGUCGAUCCUUGGUUUCCCAGUACACCUUUGCUGCUUUUUCUAGCUCUUUCAAAGCUUUCCAGUUAUCGCUUGCCCUAAAAUCAGUGACGGAUUCAAAUUACAUCUAGGCAAGUAUAGAUCAAAUGCACUACAUCAUGUUUUACAGAUUCCUUCUUUUCAAGAACUGUUACAAACGUGUUGUAUCUUUCGAAAACGAGAACAACUAGUGGUCUAGGAUGGAAAGCAAAGCUCUCCCACUUAAGACAAUUGAUCUCCUUCACUAAACCGUCAUCAAUCUCUCCCUCUCAGUCAAUUUCAGUGCCAUCUUCGCCUACGACAUUUUUUAUAGGAUGUUACUUGAAAUACCCUGCUGCUUUGACCCCCCAGCCGACAUCAGCAUCCAGAGGCCAAUUGGCAUUAUCCUCCUUUACCAACAUCUCAUUUCCUCUUCAAUCAUCACAUUUCUCUUCAUCCCUGUCAUCAUCCUCGUCACCACUGUUGCUAUUGGAAUCAACGUCAUUGUAAACUUUAUCUUUCGGAAUUCUGCUGCCGCAUUGAUUCGAAAAUCUGUUCAAGCGAAUCACACACAAAAAUCUUCAACUGCUUGGGCUUCGUAGGGAUCACUUUAAGGAACUUCCUUCCAGAAUUUUCAUCGUCAUCUUGAGGAAAUUCUGUUUUCUCCCGCUGAGCUCUUCCUUUUGGUUUCAAACUAGGACUCUGACUAUGAUUCUUGUCGGGUUUUGGAUCAGAAUUCUCUGAACUGGAAGUGCAUACCAAUCGUUUUCCAGCGUAUUUGGUUUUCAAAGUCAAUGGAAACGGGAGGAAAUUUGAAAGGCAACAAGAAUUUGUUGUUUCAUGGAGAGACAACAUCGACAAAGAAUGUGUUGGUCUUGGACAAACAAAUCGACAUUUUAACUUGAGCUUGCUUCGUAAAAAUAGUAAAGAAAAUGCUCAAAACAACAAGAACACAAGAUUUGUCGGCCAAAAGCCUUGAAGGUUCAACGACAACUUUUAACGCCUAAUCCCUGUUGAGCAUCCCUAAGGAUAUUGCUCGAAUUCACUAUAAAGCCCCAAAACUGGACAAAGAUCGAGAAUAGUGUAAAAACAGGAGAGAGUUCAACGAAAUCAUAAUUACCUCAAACUCUCUAUUACAGCAAUCACUCACAAAGAAUUGUGUUCCCAUACUCUUCUCCAGAACACAAUAAUCUCACAAAGAAAUCACUCAAGAUCAGACAGUUGAUGACCAAAAUAUAAACAGUGACCAAAAUAUGAACACACAAAGAGAGUUUUCACGAAGACGGAAGAGGGAGAGUCAAAACCAACUACAACCCUAAAAGGCAUACAAGUGCCUUUUAUAUGAGAUAAGCCCAAGAGACGGAUCCAAUGGUGCAAAUCAUUCCAGGUGUCAAGCAUCCAAUUAAGACGUGAAUUUAAUCAAGUACGAAAAUACGUUAUUAUCUCUUCUAGAACCAUCUAAAAUUGGAUCAAUAAUGGACCAGUUUUGGACUUAAAAUCUUAAUGAACCAGAUUGAGUUGAGCUCACAAAAAUGAAGCAACCCAUCUUCAUAGAAUGAUCACCAAAAUUAUUAUGGACCAAGCUACACGAAGAUAAGGGUUGAUAUAGGGGAUGACCUAACACAAACACAUGGGAGGAUCGGCAUUCUUUAAUUCAUGCAGACCCAUGCACAAUGUGAUGGUCGUUUAACCGAGCUGUCACCAAAAUUCGGGAAAAGUGGCUUUUUCCAAUUAUUAUAUAACACCGAAAGGAACGUCUUUUUAUUCCACACUUGGAAUAAGUCAACCUAAAAUCUUCCUCAAAACACUCUGGUCAAAUCUCAAGACAAAAAGACAGAACCUGUUGAAGUCUCUCAGUAACUUUCCUUCUUUCUUCCGUCCAAGAGACGGGGGAACACGUAAAUCACUGAAAUUGGGAGCAAUUACGUGGACUCCUUUCACUGAACAGAAAUUAAGAAUGAAAUUGUAGCAAUUAUACGAAAAUGAAGCAAAAACUACAGGGCCAGACUAAAAUCAUUACGCCACAGAGUAAUUUCACUUAAUCAACAGGCAGCAAGAAAGGAAAAACAAUCAAGAUUAUGAAAAACAGAAAUCUAAGACAGCAUUUAAUGGAGUCCACUAAGUUUGCUAUUAGAUUCAAGAUUUACUAGUAAACGUUAACGAGAAAUUAAACAGUCGUUGAGUAGACAAAAAAUCAAACAACUGGCAUGCAACUAUCAACGGAAUCAUAAAUGACAAAUCCUAACAUGGGAAAUUCAAGAUAAUCAAACUUCUCUUCGCAUGCAUACGCGUGUGCUCACAUUCGAUUUACACACAGAUACACGCACAGGGAGGAGAGAAAAUUUACAUUUAGAAGUCAAAGAGCACAAAUAGAAACGGAGUUUUAAUUUUUCAGUUUUAUCGGGUGUCCAAAAUUACGAAGAAUUUUAAAAGAUUAUAACACUCCCUUAAUGUUAUAAAAACACUUAAAAUUACAAAAAUAGGGGCUUUCUAAAAAAUACCAAAAGGAUCUCAUUGCAUAUACAAACGUUUUUUACAAACUCCCUUAUUCACUACUCACAGUAGGGGCACAAAUCGACAUUUUAAAUUCACGUGAAAUCCGUUAAUUUUGUGAGAGUGAGUACACCAUUUUGUCAACAAGAUUUUGUAUAAAUAUCUUUAUCCUACCCAAAAAGGCUCUCUAAGUGUAUUUCCCCAAAUAUGGAAAGAACGGCAUUUUAGGAUCUUCUCUUACAAUUUUUCUUUUCUUUUCUUUCUUUCUUUAUUUCUUUUUUUAUUUUUUAUUUUUUUUUGUUUCACUUUUCGUCCAAGAUUUAUGGGGAGAAAAUUGUCCAAGUACUCGUCAAUUUAUUACCAUUAUUUUUUUCACAAGUUUCGAACACACUCUUGCUUAGUUGUUUGAAGUCUAGUGAUACACUCAAUGCGAGAGUGUAAAAAAUUCCAGUUAUCACUUGCCCUUUAACAAUCAGUGCCGAAUACUCAAGCAAUUAACAUAUCCAAGAUUGAAAUACAUUUUAUUAUCUUUGGAACUAUAUCUUGCAUGUUGUAACACUCAAAACAAUAAUACAAUCUCGACAUUAUUGUCUAUGACAUUUUUUAACGUGUUGCUCAAAAUACUUAAAAUGCUCUGAUCCCAACUUGACAUCAGAAUCCAAAUGCCAAUUGGGCUUCUCCUCCUCUACCAACAUCUCAUUUCCACUUCAACCAUCACCUUUCUCUUCGUCCGUUCAUCAUCCUCUAAAUUUUCCUGCCACCAACGAGGGUUGACCCAAGAUUAUAGUUCACUGGAGACGAGGCAAAAUUGUGUAAAAAAUAAUUGUGGUAAUUAUGAUCCAAAAUUAUGAGGAUUUUUUUUCGUUAAAAUGUCAAAAAUUAAGGGUUCAAUGGCGGCAAUUGCACCCAGUUGGACCCUUAACGGGAGCGCCCUGCAUUCCAGGAUUUUUGUGGAACUUCGCUUUUCUUGAACUGAGUUCUUCACUUUGGCGUUAGGUUUUUUCUAUCAAAUUUCUUUAAAAUGGCAGUGUGUACAAAUAGUUUCCUAUUUAUUUCAAUUCAUGAUCAUAGGAAGGUAUUUUACAAAAAAGGGGUAAAUUUGUCAAAAUGCACCAGUCAUUUUUUAAGCAAUUGAUUUAUAAAAAUUUUAAACUGUUUAGUUAAGCAAAGACAAUAUGACCGAGAUGGGUAACAUGUAAUUAACGUGAAAGUGUUUCAAUUGAUUAUUGACUAAUGUUAAAGUGUCAUAAAUUAUUAUUGAUGAUAGCUACGACCCAAGAUGGGUAAUAUGUAAUAAACAUGAAAGUGCCUUAAUUAAUUAGCGGCAACUAUUAAAAAUUGCUUUUUCAUAACUUUUAGGGUCCGUUUAAUUGCAAGAAUGGAAUUUGGAUGAAAAGAAAAUGAAUUCUAGGGAAUUGAAUUGCUUGAAACUUGUUUUACUAGGAAUUGUCAAUUAAAUAUGUUUGAUUGGUAUAAUUUUUCACUUAAAAAAUGUUGAAAUUUUUGGUGUUCGUUUGGCUUUAUUUUUCAUGAAAAUUGUCAAUUAAAGGGAUAUAAUUUGUUAUAAUUGUGAAUAGGAUUUUUUUCCAUUGUCGAAAAUUUAAAAAAUUUAAAAAAAAAGCUGAAAACCCCAAAUUCCCACUCAAACCAUGGGAAUUGGUUUUUCACAAAACCAAGGAAAAUCACUCACGUGGGGCGGGGGGAGGAAAACGAAUUGUCGGGGAAAAUCGAAUUUUCGGGGAAAUUUUUGCAAUCAAACAACGAAAAUGAUGAAAAAUGAAAAAUUUUCAUGAAAAAUUGACCAAAUCAAACAAGCUUUUAAUCUAAUUAAUGAAAUAGCAAAAAAGUCACAUGGGACCUGCUAUACGUCAAGGGCCACAUGGCAGCCCUAUUCAUCCAGGGGCCAUGUGACCCUGGACAAGUAGCUUUUCCAAGUCACAUUAGCUAUAGGUAAUCGAUUUUUUACAUUUUCAAUCAAUAUCAAAACUACCUAAAUAUUCAAAACAUCAAAAAAAAAUGCAUUAAACCAAAGUAUAAUAUUAAAAGGGUCAAAAAAUUAUUAAAAACCACACAUUUUUAGUUCUUACGCAAGGUUUCCUCCAUCACAUCAGAGACUUUAUUGACCUUAAUUUAAUUGGCUUUCGAGCUCUUUUCCUCCUACUCUCAUCAUCCUCCUUCUCUUCCUCAUACUCGAUCUCAAAUUUCUCUUUGUCAAUUUCAAAGAAUGUGGAUGGUAAAGUUUCACAUUCUUGCUCUACUAGAGUACUACGACUAGCUCGAUUGUUCUCGCCUCUUUUCUUGCCCCAACGCGGUCCAAAACCUGAAUAGUAGUAAAAUUCAUUCGAAUUUGAAUUUGACGUUGAAGCUGCCUUCUUGCCCAGUGGCUUGAGCGGAGAGUCAGCCACCACCUUAUCUUGUUUCUUCAUCGUUGGAAGAGACGAGUUGCAGUUUCGCACUUGAGAUAAGUGGUGCUUGUUCAAAGAGUUCCCUUCGGCCGCCUCCAUCUUGCAUUUCCGUGCUUUCCCAUCAGUCUUGACACAACAUACAAUAUGCUUUUCCUUCUUUAACCCGGGAUUCUCAGGCCCUUCCUCUGAGUUCUCAUGGGCAGAGCCACCCACAUUGCCGCCGUCGCCUUCACCUUCACCAUUGGAAUCAUGGGCGGAGCCAAUGCAUGCCCGCACUGGACUUUUGGGCAGAAUUUUUUUUUUUUUUUUAAACCCACUUCUAAAGUUUCAGAUAUCAAUAGUAGUGAAUAUCCAUAGUCUUUUUCCAAUAUUCGAUGUCUAGCUCAGAUAGAGAAGCCCUAUUAGAUCCAUUUCCUCAAAAUUCAAUUGACCCAAACCCAUUCAUUCAUUUGAAUCAAUCCAACCCUUUGUCUGUGAGCGAGAGAAUUCGUCCCUAUUCUAGCGUCACAAUUCCGGUUUGCUCAGAGUAUUAAAACUCGCAAGAAACAAGUGAAAUAUAUAAAUUAUGUUGUUUUUAGUAUUAUCGUACUAUUAUUUUAUUUUUUUAUCGUCAUUGCUUCCAUGACCAAAACCUCAACAUUCAAUGCCGAAAAAAUUUAGCCCGCGCUAAACUAAAAUCCCGGCUCCGCCCCUGAUUGGAAUUAUCCCAUUUUGCAGCUUUGCUUUCUCCAAACAGUUCAUUCUCCGCAGCAAUUUUCAGUGAUGCAGCACUAUUGAUAAAAAACCAGAUAGAUAUUUCACUCGAAAUUUUAAAAAAUCAAUAAUGCUGAUUGCAGAGCCCUAAUUAUUUUCUGCAUCAAUAAAGAGCUGGAAAAUUUGUAAGAUAAUCCAAAUUAUUCACAAAAUAAAAGGAUUACCUAUGAAAAGCUGCAUUAAGUUCUCCCAAGCUCCCAUUUCUCGCGAAAUUAUCAGUUCCACUGAUCCGCAUAAAAAUUAUUCUCUGUCGAAAAAAUAGAAACAUCCAAGCUAAACAAAUACAGUGAAAAUUCAAAUUCCGAGGACCAAAUACACGACAGAAACCCUUUCAUUUAUAGUUUUGAAUGAACUCGAAUGGUGGUUUUUCAGAAAACCCUAGAAGAAAAAGGAAUAAAAGCAAAAAUAAAAGUAAAUUUGACAAGAAUAAAAAAUGGUUUCCAACAGAUCUGUGUACAGAAUUAAAGUCAAGUCACUAUAGAUAAACUUAACUAACCCUGAACGACGGUGGAGGCGGUGGUGGCGGAGGAGAUGAUGGUGGCGAAAAGCUCAUCACGUCCCAAGGGGACUGAUUCAAUUUACAAAUAUGGGUUUGAAGAACAUUUCCAGAUUUCAGUGAAGAAGCUGCAUACAACAAUGGACAAAUUUUAGCGUUCUUCCGUAUUCUCAUGGUGGUUUGGUGGCCUUUUGGGGGAGUUUUUUGGUGGAUAGUCAGGGUAGAAACUCAAGGGUGGAGAGGCUCUGUGGGAGUGGGCAAAGGGUAUUUUAUUUUUUCUUUCUCUUUCUGAAUCUGUGUGUAUUUAUAUAUUUAUUGCUUGCAGAACAUUACAUAUCUAGACAACCACUUGUGGCCCAUGGGGUUUUGCGUUAAGAGUUGCGUUCUGUUUGAUUGGUCAAGAGAGAGAAUUCUUUGCACCCAUUCUUUAAAGGUUGAACCCCAACAUUAAGGGCUUCCACCGACCUUGCCCAGGGCCAUUGUGGAGGAGGUAAAUCGCAGGAUGUGCCUCCCAGGAGUCAGGGUGGAGAGCAUAUGGAUAGGCCAAGGCUGUUAACCCAUAUGGUAACUCCCGCUUGCAACAAAGCCAAUUCCACCUUGCGGGGAAUCGAACUCUACACACUGCCACGCUGAACCCUAUCCGUCCUCCCCUUUGCCACUGGGAGAUAUGCCCUGGGGGCCUUUGCACCCAUUCUUUAAAAUUCAUUUAGGGUGGUCUGAUUACAAGUAUGAAAUUUGCAUAGAAAGAAAAUAAAUUUUAGAUAAUUGAAUUGUCUAGAAUUUAUGUGUAUAUUUAUCCAUUUUUUUAUUGACGGGUAGAUGGGAGUGUGGAUAAAUGAGAAAAAGAGUGAAUUUUUUGAAAAAUAAAAUUCUACUCCCCUAAAGAAAAUAUUUUCCUUGAUUUUGAGGAAAAUAUGGUCACAAUGACUAAAAGUAGGAAAAUAUUUUUCAUGAAAAAAAUGACAAUCAAAUAGCAGAAAAGUAGGAAUUUGGAUGAUAAAAACACAUUUUCCAUGGAAAAUAUUAGUAAUCAAAUGCACCACUAUUUUCAAAUAUAUUUUUAAUAAAAAUUCUUUCGUUUUAAAUAAUUUUAAACAUGGACUCCAUUUUUUUUCUUAUUUUUAAUUGUACAUUCAAAUUUAUUCUAAAAAAAUUUGCAUCAAACAAAUCCUUUGUAAAAAAAUAGAAUUUAAUAUUUAAAAAAAAACAGAUGAAUUAAAUAGAAUCUCGUAAAUUUUUGCCCACUCUAGUUAAUUGAAAACUCCCAAAUUUUAUAUUCUUAAGUCAAGAAAAAAAUAUCUACAGAUAUAUUCAUAGUGUUAACUGUAAAGUCCCAAAAUUUAUAUUUGAAAAUUAAAGGGACAAAGUGCUUUCAAAAUCUAAAUUCAUAACUAAGAGUUACAAUUUAAAAGAAAAAAAAAAUCAGAUUAUAAUUAAUAUUUAAUAUUAGCCCUUGUUUGAGCCACAUUAUUGGAAUGAAAAUGUAUUUUUGAAUAGUGUAUUGAUGGAAAAUGUGUGGUUAAGAAAUAAGGAAAUGUUUUGGAUUUAUGUGUAAUAUUAUUUUAUUAAAGAAUAUAUGGUUGAAAUGAUAUCAAAGCACUGUUGAAGAAUGUAUUUUUUUGAAAAAAAUGUAGCUCAAACAGGGCCUUAAUAAUAUUAUUAUUAAAUUAAUUUAAUUUAACAACUGUACUCUACCCUAUCCAUCCUAACUCGACUCUCACUCCCACAAAACCUAAUUUACAAUUUUUAAGGCUAUUAAGUAUUUUCAUUUUCACAAUAUCUCCAAGGCGCAGCCACUCCCCAUAUGCUUAACUCUAGUGACUCUUCACGAUAAUUCACUCCAGCAAAUCUUCUCUUCGCUCUCUUUACACUACCGAGAGAUCACCAUAACGGUUUCAUCAACGCUGAGGAGGCAUCACUCUUCCCUACCAACGAUGUCGUCAUAGCAACGAUGAGUGAUCCUCCUCUCUCUACCUUUUGUUUACACACGACACUCUCUCUUCUCCAAUUUUUACAACAGCGACGCUGUGCUACCAUUCGCAGCAGCAUUGUAUCAUCAUUCAUAACAGUUCUAGGCGAUUCCAAGCAUUGCCAUUCAAGAUGUUGCUUCUGUAGCAACAAUUCAAGACAGUGUGCCUUCUCACGAGGUACCAUCUCCCCUAGAUAGCACAUCGCAGCCUUGCAUGGUGCAGUGUUGAUUUGAAAAUGGAAAUGACGCUAAUUUGAGUCCCGUAGCAAAGUUCAUAGCGCCGUUGUGAGGUGUUGAUCUGGACACUGCUAUGCGGUGUUCGUUGCGAUGAUCGUCAUGGUUUUAGGGGUCGUCGAUCUGAAAAUGGAAACAACACUAAUUUAAGUGUCGCAACAGCCUUUACAACUCCACUCUGAAGCGCUGAUCUUUGUAGUGUUCGUCGCGGUGGUGAUGGUUGUGGUUUGGUGGUGAUGUCGACGAUGACAUUGCUGGUGAUGUCAGCAAUGCUGGUGUAGUUGUGACAGUGCUAGUGGCGGUGACGAUCGUGGCGGGUGCAGGUGUUUGUGCUCAACCAAUAAAUUGGUUAAUUUGUAAUCAAUAAAGAAUAUCUAACCUAAAAAAUGUGAUCAUGACUCACAAUUUAUUCUUUUGUGAUUAAGAAAUAACUUGUAAUCAAUUAAUUUGAUAGUUAUCGAAAGUAAGUUGUGACAUAUAAAAUUUGUAAUUUAUAAUCGAUGACUUGUGACCUAAAAAUUUGAAUCAUGAUUUAUAAAAUGUGUUGUGACCAAUAAAUAAAUUGACCAAUAAAAUUUUUUUUUAUUUGUAAUCGAUGAUUAAAUUGUGGCCUAUAAAAUUUUUUAUUUGUGACCCUGAAAUAAUUUGAAUCCUAUAAACUUUUUGAAUUGUAAUCAAGAAAUAAUUUGUGAUCGAUUAAUUUGAUAAUUUGUACUAAAUAGUAUAUAAUUGUAACAUUAAUAUAUUUUAAUUAAUUGUUUUAUAAAUAAAAUUUAAUAAAUAUCUGAUUUUUGAAGUUUUAAACAUUGUUUCUUAGUUUGAAAUGGGACAUACUUAAUCUUUUAGAUACGAAAUUUUCUCUUUUUUUUUUUUUUUUAUUAAAUUGGUUGGUAUGGCCCAUUUAAGACAGCUAUGGAGGCUCGGUCCAUUUAACGUAAUGAAAGUCAAAGAUAUGAGUUAUUUAAAAGUCUAUAGAUUUAAAAUGUUAAGUUUAAAUAAAUUUGAUUAUAAAAAUUUAACGAAGCAAGGAAUUUCACAUAGGCAAUACGAGUUUGAAUCACCAUGUAAAUGUUUUUAUAUAAUAUUUUGAGUUAAAAAAACAUUAAGAACAAUUAUAACAAGUUAAUUGGAUGGAAUAAUUAUUUUUGUUAGUAGACAUUCAUAGAGAUAGGCUGCAAAUCACACAAAUAAUUUAUUUUCCUCCAUUUUUCAUCCAUGUCACUAGUCCUUAACAUAAGCCAGGUAUCGGUGCUCAUUAAAUCAUAUGCUGAUAAAUUUUUCAGAUUAAAUGAUGGUGGAGGAAGUGGGAUUAAAAUGGAUUGCAGAGGACCCAAAUGAAGAAAGUUGCUUCAUUUUUGUAAUUAGUCCUGAUUGAAGAAUUUAUAGUUCUUACCAGUUAUGUAACUUAUGUGUAAUUUUUAAAAGAUGUUAAUUUAUCUUUAUUUUUUUAAAAGACUUCAUAGUUCUUUUUCUUGAUGUGCUCAAAUCGUUAACUUACUACUCUGUAUACUAUUCAUCUGGGUGGUACAAAGAUGUAUCAACACCUUCGAAAGUAUUGGAGUUUUUGCCAAUAAAUCAUGAUUUGUUAACAAGUAAAAGCAGAAUAUCAGAGAUCUUUAGGAUUAUUAAAUCCUUUUAAAAUACCAGAAUGAUAAUAGGAACAUAUUCAAUGGAUUUUGUUGUUGGUUUUCCAAAGUCAGUAAAGGAAAGCAACACCAUUUGCGUAAUAGUUGAUCGAUUGACAAAAUCAUCUCACUUUUUGCCAGUCAAAAUGACGCUUAGUAUGGAUCGAUUGGUACAACAAUACAUUAGAGAGAUAGUUAGAUUGCAUGGGGACUCUGUAUCCAUUGUUUCAUAUAUAGACCCAAGAUUACCUCUAAAUUUUAGAAAAAUUUACAGGAAGCAUUGGGAUGAAACUCGUUAAAUUUCUACUUAAGACUCAUCCCUAUUUGACAAUUAUUAUUUAUAGAAAAUGGAGUUCUGAAUAAUGAUUUUUUGAGAAUGUGUAGUUAAAAAGUAUGAAAAUGCUUUUGAUUUACAAGAAAAAUAUUUUAUUGUGUAAAUGUGCAAUUGAAUAUAAGUAUGAGAAUUAAAGAACUUUUAAAAUAAUGUUUGUCAAAUGGGGUGCUCAAUUUAACCAGGUUAAUGACGAUAUAGCUCUCACAUUUAGAUUUUCACUAAAAAUGGAGAUCACAAGAAGGGGAAUAUCAUUUUUUACCUCAUCCUCCCUCAAAUAUGAAUUUAUAUUUAUUUUUCUCUCAAAAAUCUGUUUGUAGUUAAGUUAAAUUCAAUACAAUAGCAAAGGUGGAAAAGAGAAAGGUUUCUACACAAUUUGUUCAUUUAUAUUUCAAGAAAAUCAAAGUAGGCAAUGCUAAAUAUUUAAUAUAAACUAGAAUUUUUGAAGUUAUGAACAAAGAGGUGUAUACAUGCCAUAUCAAAGAUCCCAAGAGAUUCUUCGGAAUCAUUAAUUUAUCGGUAUUCAUCUACAUGAAAUGUCGAAUUCUUUUGUAUCACUGUAUAUGUGUGUGUGUGUGUGUGUGUGUGUGCGCACGCGUGCGCGGAGGUUGCACCAAGUUAUGUAAGUCCUACUAAACUUAAAUCUCACACCUUUAAUGUUGACAAGUUUUUAAGAUUAAAUGAUGGUCAAGGAAGUGGGAUUAUGAUGAGGAUCCAAAGGGAGAAAUGUACUUUAUUUAGGUCUGGACAAAACUUUCUAAUCGUUCCGAAUCGAACCAGACCUGAAUCAAAUUGAAUCGAGCGAUUCUUCUUAAGUUAGAUACUCGAACGGAAUCUAAAUCAAGAACCGACGAGUUUGAUUCGGUUCUCGAUUCUAGACCUAGAACUAGAAAACCGAAUAAAAAUCAAAUAUUCCUAUUUUUUUAUCUUAAAUAAAUCAAAUUAUUUUAUUUUUUAAAUAAAUUUGCUAACUAAUUAGCCUUAACCCAAAUAUAAUUUUCAUAUUUCUAAUUUCCAACCAAGGCCAAUUUAAUCAAAUUGACCUAUGUUUUACUUGAAUCUCUUAUUCAACCAUUCUCGAGAAAUCAAAUUGGAAGCUCGGUGCACCUCUCUUCAUUAUUGUGAGCUAAAUAUGAUGUGAACCCGCUUAGCGCGAUCACUACCAAAUCCACAACAAAUUGAGAAUCAAACCCAAGAAAGCCAAAGACAAGGUUUUGGAUUAAACCCAAUAAACUGGAACCAAGCAACCCAAAUCGCCGACAAUAUGCGGACCUCUUGAUUACGCAAUUUAAUUGAAUCUCACCCAGUUGAUUUGAAUGCCACAAGAUUAAUCUUGAUAAGUUCACAAGUUGUUCAACGAAGAACGAGAGAAAGCAAUUAAUGCCACACGAAUAAUAUUCAAUAAUAUGAGAGUUGUGAUAUUUUACAAUAAGGAAUAAAGUAUUUAUACUAUUCUAUAGAAUCCUAAGUAAACUAGGAAAAAUAUCUAAGAAUAAUGCAAAAUUCGUCCACAAUAGCCUAAUUAUGGUAAAAUCUACUAACAAUGAAAUUCUAUUAAAAUAAGGAAAAAACGCGAAAUUUGAAAAAAUUCGCCUCGGACUUGGCCUAUGCGGCUACAUAGCUUUAGAGCAUACGGUCGCAUAGUGCAAUUGGCCUAUGACUUUGGGACUUCUACUGGGUGUAUGCAACCGCAGGACUUUAGACAUGUGCGACCGCAUGGUUUAAUGCUCCAGCUCCGUUUUCUUCAGCUUUAAACACGUUGAUCCAAUACUCUUCAGUCUUCGUCCCCAACACAAAACUUGCUCCAUUUUGCAUCCCGAACAUUGUUUCAUCAACCCUUGCUUUGAUGAGCAAUCCCAUCGCCUCUUUCACGCACUUGGCCCUCAAUCGCGUCAUCGGCCCGUCGACUAUCAACGGAUCUUUCCUCGACCUCAACUCUGGACUUGACUUUGGUACUUGUGCUUCCUGGAUCACAUCAUCCCCUCCCUCUUCGAUAAGUUAGAAACAUUGAAAGUUACAGAAACACUAUACUCACCUGGAAGAUCUAUCUUAUCAGCGUUGUCAUUGAUCUUCUCAAUCACUUGGAACGGUCCAUCUCCUCGUGGCAAUAACUUUGAUUUUCUUUGCUCUAGGAAUCGCUCUUUCCUGAAAUGCACCCAAAUCCAAUCUCCCGGUUCGAAAGUGGCAUAUUUUCGACCUUUGUUUGUUUGUGUUGUCCGUUGAUUGUUCUUCCUCUCUAUUUGCUCCCUUACCUUUUCAUGGAGUGUCUUCACCAAUUCGGUUUUCUUUUUCCCAUCCAAGCUACCUCAUUCAUUCACAGGCAAAGGUAUUAAAUCCAUAGGUGUUAAAGGAUUAAAACCAUAAAUAAUUUCAAAUGGUGAAAACGACGUAGUAGAAUGCGUGGCCCUAUUAUAUGCAAACUCAAUGAAAGACAAACAUUCUUCCCAAUUCGUUAGAUUUUUAUUAACCACAGUGUGUAAUAGUUGUGUCAUUGUUCUAUUUACUACUUCAGUUUGACCAUCGAUUUGUGGGUGACAAGUUGUAGAAAACAAUAAUUUCGUGCCUAACUUAUUCCAUAAGACCCGCCAAAAGUGACUAAGAAACUUAACAUUCCUAUCGGACACAAUACUUUUGGGAACACCAUGCAAACGCACUACUUCAUUGAAAAACAAGUUUGCAAUGUUAGUGACAUCAUCGAUUUUGUGACAUGGUAUAAAAUGUGCAAUUUUACUAAACCUAUCCACCACAACAAAAUUGAAUCACGCCCCUUUUUAGUCCUAGGCAAACCUAACACAAAAUCCAUUGAAAUGUCAACCCAAGGUUCGCUAGAUACCAGUAAAGGUGUAUAAAGUCCAUGGGGUAAAACCUUUGAUUUAGCCUUUUUACAAGUUAUGCAACGACUACAAAUUCGUUCUAUGUCAAUCUUCAUUUUAGGCCAAUGAAAGUGUUCAUUUAACAUGCCUAAAGUAUUUGCUACCCCAAAGUGACCCAUUAAACCCCCACUAUGUGCUUCCCUAACCAACAAUUCACGCAUUGAGCAAUUAGGAACACAUAAUUUAUUUUCUCGAAACAAAUACCCCUCAUGCUUAAAGAACUUGUCAAUAGCCUCCUUAUUACAUGAAUUGUAGAUGCUAGAAAAAAUAAGAUCGUUUUCAUACAUGUCCUUAACAUACUCAAAACCAAGUAAUUUCGCACUUAAAGAAGUGAGAAGCACAUACCUUCGUGACAAUGCAUCGACUACUAUGUUUUCCUUACCUUGUUUGUAUCGAAUGGCAUAUGGAAAAGUCUCUAUGAAUUCCAUCCAACGUGCAUGUCAUUUGUUCAACUUACAUUGACCCUACAAAUGUUUCAAUGAUUCAUGGUCGGUGUGAAUAACAAACUCCUUCGGCCAUAGGUAGUGUUGCCAUGUCUCCAAGGCUCGAACUAGAGAAUAAAGCUCAUUGUCAUAAGUAGGAUAGUUAAGAGCUGCCCCACUUAGUUUCUAGCUAAAGUAUGAUAUCGGCCUCUUUUCCUGGAUUAAAACUGCUCCAAUACCUAUUCCUGAUGUAUCACACUCAAUCUCGAAAGUUUUGUUAAAAUUAGGAAUGCUAAAACAGGUAUUUUACAUAAACAUUCUUUGAUGGUAUUAAAUGCAUGUUCUAGUUCUACACCCCAUUGAAACUCAAUGCUCUUUUUGUCAAUUUCAGUAAGUGGUGUGACAAGUGUGCUAAAAUCCCAAACAAAUCGCCUGUAAAAACUAGCUAACCCAUGAAAACUCCUAACUUUGGUUAUGCUUUUAGGUGUUGGUCAAUCUUUAAUAGCUUUUACCUUUUCCUCAUCAACUUCAAUCCCAUUAGCACUCACCACAAAUCCUAGAAAUAUGAUUUUAUCCAUGCAAAAUGUGCACUUCUUGAAAUUAGCAUAAAGUCGUUCAUUUCUUAAAACCACAAGCACACAUUUAAGGUGUUCUAAAUGCUCUCCUAGGUCCUUGCUAUAGAUUAGAAUGUCAUCAAAAUAAACCACAACAAAUUUUCCAAUGAAAGCACGCAAAACAUGGUUCAUUAAUCGCAUAAACGUGCUUGGUGCAUUUGUGAGUCCAAAGGGCAUAACUAGCCAUUCAUACAGCCCAUAUUUCGUUUUAAAUGUUGUUUUCCAUUCAUCACCCUCCCGCAUAUGAAUUUGAUGAUACUCACUCUUAAGGUCAAUUUUAGAAAAGAUGCAAGCACCAUAUAAUUCAUCUAAUAUGUCAUCUAACCUAGGAAAUAUGUGACGAUACUUUACUGUAAUGUUGUUGAUAGAUCGGCAAUCCACGCACAUCCUCCAAGUUCCAUCUUUCUUUGGCACCAACAAUACGGUUACGGCAAAUGGACUCAUGCUCUUCCUUACAUAACCUUUGCUCAUCAACUCCUCCACUUGCCUUUGAAGCUCCUUUGUCUCCUCCGAAUUAUUUCGACAAGUUGGUCGAUUUGAAAUGACAGCUCCAGGUAUGAAAUCAAUUUGAUGUUCGAUCUUCCUAAUGGGUGGCAAUCCACUAGGCACGUCUUUCGGAAACACAUCGUCAAAUUCCUGCAAUAAAGAAGUAGCCAAACUAGGGAGAGAUGUGUUAGACUCCUCAAAAUUGAGGAGUGAUUCUUUAUAUACCAAAAGAAUCAUUGGUUGUCUUUCCACUAUCGCCUUUUUCAAUUCACUUCCUUUUGUAAAGAAAUUAACUUUUGACUUUUCUCUCCUCUCGGAAGAUUCUCUUUCUUUUCUCUCAUGUGGCCCCACUCUUUUUUCUUUCUCACCAGCUAUCUCACUAUUUUCUCUCUUUUUCUCUAACUCUCUCACUCUCUUUUCUUCCUCAUUUUUCAAUUUGAUUUGGUCCUCAUACACUUGUGCCGGUGUUAAUAGCGCAAGAGUGAUAGACUUUCCCUCUUUCACAAAACUAUAUUUAUUUUUAUAUACAUCAUGCAUUGUUUUCCUAUCAUAUUGCCAAGGUCGUCCCAACAAAAUAUGCCCCGCAUGCAUAGGGUCUAUGAUGUUUUAAUAGUGAUAAUCCCAAUUUUUCCACUACAUUAGUGCUAGCUACGUUUGUACAACUUCCACCAUGAAUUAUUACACAGCAUACCUUCCUGUUGACGUGACACCGUGUGUGGAAUAUAUUUUCCCGCUGCUGCUCCAAGUCAUCUGCCUUGAUUUGAGCACUAAGUGCUCACCUCGUGACCAACAACUCCCCAACUACAUAUUCCGUGGUGUUUUCCUCGUCAAUGUCCUCCAACUCUGGCAUGUCUUCAUAAUCACCUUCACUCUCGGUCUCUACUUCCCCGCUGUCCCGCAAAAUCAUGAUUCUUUUAUUUGGACAUUGUGAAGCAAUGUGUCCAACUCCCAAGCAACGAAAACACUUGACGUCCCGAUUCCUUGAUGGCUGGGAUUCUACCUUUGGUGUAGUCUUGCUAGCUCCUUCCUCCUUUCCUCUCGGUACCUCCGGUCUUGCUCUUGCAUUAGCUCCAUCUCCUUUAUUAUUUUCCCACCUCGGCUUCCAAGAAGGAUUAGAAACUGAAGAUCCACCUUGAUACCUUGCUGUCCCCUUUCGCUUCAAUUGUUUUUCCAUCUUCAUGGCCACAUGUAGCAUGUCUUCAAUCUCCACAUAAUGUUGCAAUUUCACUAUAUUGGCAAUGUCCCUAUUCAACCCCCUCAAAAAUCGAGCCAUAGUGGCUUCCCUAUCCUCUUCCACGUUCACCCUAAUCAUAAGUAUUUCCAUCUCCUUAUGGUAAUCCUCUACGCUCCUAGUGUCUUGAUAUAGAUGUUGUAACCGUUGAUGAAGCUCCCGAUAAUAGUGAUUAGGUACAAACCGUUUCCACCUUAACAUCUUCAACUCCUCCCAAGUAUUUAUAGGUUGUGCCCCAAUCCUCCGCCUCGUCAUCACCACUUGAUCCCACCAAGUUAUUGCAUAGUCGAAGAACUCAAGAAUCGCAAUUUUCACCUUUUUCUCCCCCGAGUAAUUGUGGCAAUCGAAUAUCAACUCAAUCUUCUUCUCCCACUCUAAAUACGCCUCCGGAUCACUCCUCCCUUUAAAAGAAGGAAUGGCCAUUUUAAUAUUUCCCAAAUUACCAUCCAACUCGUCUCCACCAAGAUUCCUACCUCUCACACCUUGCCUAACACCUCUAUUCCUAACCCUUCCAACCUCCGCAUCCACAAGUGCAUCCUCAUCGAAUCCACUAUCAGCCUCAAAGUCAUCCUAAUUAUCUAUCCUAACUUCCUGCCUUCCAUUCCGUUGUGCAUUAUUGGCUCCCCGUCGAGGAUUAGCAGGCAUUGGAUUAAGUCUGUCUAACCGCACGUCCUGUCGAUCCAACCGAUCCCUCACGUCUCCCAUCAUCCUUUCCAUCCGCAAUAUCGAUUCCACCAUCAUGUUAAGUUGAUCAUUGUCCCUGCCAAAAUGUGUUCCUUCCAUGUCAGACAUCCUAUAAUCUAACUUUUUUCUGCCUCACCAAGUUCACUCGGAAUUCACUCAAUUUAGCUUUUACCCUCAAUUGAUCUUACCACUCUGCUUUUUACCACUCGUUGCUUUCACUACGUGCUUCAAAAAACAAAUUGGAACUCAACCAAGGAAUUAGUCUCGUGAAACCCAAAUCGGAUGUGAAUGAGAUUACAAAACAAAGAAGGACUCGAAUUUGGAAGUUUUGAAAUUCAAGAAAGUGGUUCUUGAAUUGAUUUGGACUAAGAAAGACAAUUUAAGAAAAUAAGGGACUAAUUUGCAAAUAUAUAAAUAAAAAUUUGAACAGUAGACGUGAACAAUACGAACGUGAACAGUACUUUUUUUUAUUUUUUUCUGCUACUGUACGAUGAACAGUACGAAUUUUUUUGGGACCCGGACUUUAACUACAAUACCAAAGAAAGAAGCGGAAGUUGUUUUGGAUUCUAAAUGAGCCCAAAAACAACUUUUGAAGUUUUAGACGAAAAGAAUUUGGAUCAAAGACUCGAGAAUUUUACUGGACAGAAGAAUGCGAAGAACGAAGAAAAACUAGAAACAAAGACUCAACAAGAAUUUAAAAGGGAUAUAACCUUGAAUUGGAGUCUAAACUCUGGUACCAACUGAUGCGAACUCGAGUAGUGCGAUCACUACCAAACCCACAACAAAUUGAGAAUCAAACCCAAGAAAGCCAAAGACAAGGUUUUGGAUUAAACCCAAUAAACUGGAACCAAGCAACCCGAAUCGCCGACAAUAUGCGGACCUCUUGAUUACGCAAUUUAAAUGAAUCUCAACCAGUUGAUUUGAACGCCACAAGAUUAAUCUUGAUAAGUUCACAAGUUGUUCAACGAAGAACAAGAGAAAGCAAUUAAUGCCUCACGAAUAAUAUUCAAUAAUAAGAGAGUUGUGAUGUUUUACAAUAAGGAAUAAAAUAUUUAUACUAUUCUAGAGAAUCCUAAGUAAACUAGGAAAAAUAUAUAAGAAUAAUGUAAAAUUCGUCCACAAUAGCCUAAUUAUGGUAAAAAUCUACUAAUAAUGAAAUUAUAUUAAAAUAAGGAAAAAACGCGAAAUUUGGAAUAAAUCGCCUCGGACUUGGCCUAUGCGGCCGCAUAGCUUUAGAGCAUGCGGUCGAAUAGUGCAAUUGGUCUGCGACUUUGGGACUUCUGCUAGGUGUAUGCGACCGCAAGACUUUAAACCUGUGCAGCCGCAUGGUUUAAUGCUCCAGCUCCGUUUUCUUCAGCUUUAAACACGUUGAUCCAAUACUCUUCGGCCUUCGUCCCCAACAUGAAACUUGCUCCAUUUUGCAUCCUGAACAUUGUUUCAUCAACCCUUGCUUUGACGAGCAAUCCCAUCGCCUCUUUCACGUGCUUGGCCGUCGAUCGCGUCAUCGGCCCUUCGACUAUCAACGGAUCUUUCCUCGGGCUCGACUCUGGACUUGACUGUGGUACUUGUGGUUCCUGUAUCACAUCAAGAUAUCUUUUUAUUCUUGUGAUUUUAAUAGUCAAAUUUAUGAAGAACUCAAUAAAGAGAAACAUAAAAAAUUAUCAUGGGAUUUGACUAUGUUAAUUUAUAAGAGCUAAUAUUGAACAUAUCAUAGUUGAAUUAAUGUAGUGUUCUUAUAAAUAUAAAAGAAAUUAUUUAUUGUACGAAACCCAAGAACCAAAUGGAAUCAAACCAGAAUAGCUCCAUCAUUAAAUUUGAACUUAACGACUCCACUUACUAAAUAUCCAAAAAUUCGGGGUUGGCUCAAUUCAGGAGAGAACCGAACUGAACAAGAUCAUGUCCAACCCGAGCUUCAUUUGUGUAAUUAGUCACAAUUGAAGAAUUUAGAGUUUUAACUAAUUAUGCAACUUAUGUUUAAUUUCUAAAAGAUAUUAGUUUAUCUUUAAUUUUUUAAAGACUUCUUUGUUCUUUUUCUUAAACUGGACAUUGAAAUUUUAAUUGGAUUAAGUAUGCAUGUAACUAAUAGUGAAAGGUGAAUCUUCAAGAGGAAAUACUCUAAUGCUCUGAUCCCCCACCCAACAUCAGCAUCCAGAGGCCAAUUGGGAUGCCCUCCUCUACCAACAUCUCGUUUCCUCUUGAAGAUUCACCUUUCUCUUCGUCCGUGUCAUCAUCCUCGUCAUCACUGUUACUAUUGGAAUCAAAUCUUUGUCAACCUUAUCUUUCAGAAUUCUGCUGCCGGAUUGAUUCAAAAAUCUAUUCAGCGAAUCACGCACAAAAUCCUCACCUGCUUGGGCUUCUUAGGGAUCACUUUAAAGAACUUCCUUCCAGAAUUUUCAUCCUCAUUUUGAGGAAAUUCAGUUUUCUCCAGCUGAGCUCUUCCUUUUGGUUUCAAACUAGGACUCUGACUCCGAGGCUUGGGUUUUGGAUCAGAAUUCUUUGAAUUGGAAGUGCAUACCAAUCGUUUUCCAGCAUAUUUGGUUUUCAAAGUCAAUGGAAACAGGUGGAAAUUUGAAAGGAACUAAGAAUUUGUUGUUUAAUGGAGAGACAACGUCAACAAAGAAUGUGUUGGCCCCAGACAAACAAAUCGACGUUUUAACUUGAGCUUGCUUUGUAAAAAGAGUAAGAAAAUGCUCAAAACACAAGAUCACAGGAUUUUUUGGCCAAAGGCCUUGAAAGUUGAAGGAUCACUUCUAGCUCCUAAUCCAUCAUUGAGCAUCCCUAAUGAUAAUGCUCAAAUUCACCAUAAAGCCUCAAAACUAGACAAAGAUCAAGUACGGUACAAAAACAAUAGAGAGUUCAACGAAACCCUAAUUACCUCAAGCUCUCUAUUAUAGCAAUCACUCACAAAGAAAUGUGUUGCUCUACUCUUCUCUCAAACAUAAUAAUCUCACAAAGAAAUCACUCAAGAUCAUCUAGUUGAUGACCAAAAUAUGAACACAUACAGAAUGUUUCCACGAAGGCGGAAGAGAGAGAGUCAAAACCAACAACAACCCUAUAUUAGAUAAGUCUAAGAGACGGAUCCAAUGGUGCAAAUCAUUCCAGGUGUCAAGCAUCCAAUUAAGACAUGAAUUUAAUCAAGUAUGAAAGCACGUUAUUAUCUCUUCUUGAACCAUCUAAAAUUGGCUCAAUAAUGGACCGGUUUUGGACUUAAAAUCUUACUGGACCAGAUUGAGUUGAGCUCACAAAAAUGAAGCAACCCAUCUUCACAGAAUGAUCACUAAAAUUAUUAUGGACCGAGCUACACGAACAUAAAAGUUGACAUAGGGGAUGACCGAACACACACGCAGGGAAGGGUCGGCAUUUUUUAAUUCAUGCAGGACCCACGCACAAUGUGAGGGUCGGCUAACCAAGCUGUCACCAAAAUUCGGGUAAAUUGACUUUUUCCAAUUAUUAUAUAACACCGAAAGGAACGUCUUUUUAUUCCUCACUUGGAAUAAGUCAACCUAAAAUCUUCAUCAAAACACUCUGGUCAAAUCUCAAGACAGAAAGACAGAACCUGUUGAAGUCGCUCAGUAACUUUCCUUCUUUCUUCCGUCCAAGAGACGGGGGAACACGUAAAUCACUGAAAUUGGGAGCAAUUACUUGGACUCCUUUUACUGAACAGAAAUUAAGAAUGAAAUUGUAGCAAUUAUACGAAAAUGAAGCAAAAACUACAGGCCAGACCAAAAUCAGUACGCCAAACAGUAAUUUCACUUAAUGAACAGCCAGCAACAAAGGAGGAAAAAAAAUCAAGAUUAUGAAAACAUAGAAACCUAAGACAGCAUUUAAUGGAGUUCAUUAAGUUUGUUAUUAGAUUCAAGAUUUACUAGUAAACGUUAACGAGAAAUUAAACAGUCGUUGAGUAGACAAAAAAUCAAACACCUGGCAGGCAACUGACAAGGGAAUCAUAAACGACAAAUCCUAAAAUGGGAAAUUCAAGAUAAUCAAACUUCUCUUCGCAUGCAUACGCGUUUGCUAACAUUCGAUUUACACACAGAUACACGCGCACACGGGGAGGAGAGGAAUUUACAUUUUUAGAAGUCAAAGAGCACAAAUAGAAAUGGACUUUUAAUUUUUGAGUUUUUUCGGGUGCCUAAAAUUACGAUGAAUUUUAAAAGAUUAUAACACUCCCAAGAUGUUAUAUAAACAUUUAGAGUCCGUUUGAUUGUAAUGAUGAAAUUUGAGUGAAAAGAAAAUGAAUUGUAGAAAAUUGAAUUUCUUAGAACUUGUUUUUCUAAGAAUUAUCAAUUAAUGUGUUUGAUUGAUAUAAUUUUCCAUCUUGAAAAUAUUGAAAUUUUGGAUCUUGUUGUAUUCAUUUGGCUUUACUUUUUAUGAAAAUUGUCGAUUAAAAUGAUAUAAUAUUUUACAAUUAUGGAUAAAAUUUAUUCCUAUUGCUAAAGAUAUAAAAAAUAAAAAAAAAAUCUGGAAAACUAAUUCUCACCAGCUAUCAAAUAACAAAAAAAGUUGGAAAAUGGAAAAAAAAAAAAAAAAAUUCCAUGACAGGCCCUUAAAUUACCGAAAUAGGGAUUUUCUACUCUGAGUCUAUUUCCCCAAAUAUGGAAAGAACGGCAUUUUAGGAUCUUUCUUGACGAUUUUUCUUUACUUUCAUUUUAUUUUUUUUCACUUUUUCGCCCAAGAUUUGUGUGGACAAAAUUGUCCAAGUACUCGUCAAUUUAUAACCAUUAUUUUUUGAAUAAUGUCAUUUGCAGUCACUUAUUACUACAGUCAUUUUACGUAGCAUACAUGUUACGAUUAGUGAUUUGAUACAUAAGUCAAUAGAAAACUACCAUAUUAAUGUAUCAAAUUACUAACCAUCAUAUGUAUGUUAUAUAGGACAUUAUGACACUGAGUGACUGCAAAUAGUAUUACUCUUAUUUUUAGAGAAAUUUUCUCGAGAUCAUACUCUUGUUUAGCUAUUUGAAGUCUAGUGAAACGCUCAAGGUGAGAGUGUAAAAAAUUCUAGUUAUUACUUGCCCUUAAAUAGGAAUAACAAAAAAACUAAUCAAAUCAGAUAUACUUGUGGGCCCCGUCCCGAACAGUGCGAGGAUUGCCUGCUUAAUCGAAUAUUCAAGUCAAGGAUGGGGCUGGGGAUUUCACCGCGGGGUACAGGAAACAAGGGCCUUGCCUCGCCCUGUCCUGUUUAAUUUUUUUUAUUUUUUUUAUUUUUUUUUAAGAAUUCAAUACUUUAAAUUAACAUUUCCACGAAAUUUCAUUAAUUCUAAUAGAAGAUAGCAUCAAAAUUAUCUAAAGAAUAUGAUAAAUAAUAAAAAUCUUAGUUUACUAAAUAUAUUUCAAUAAUUUAACUUUUAAAAAUAAAUUAAUUGAUUAAAAAAUUUAAUAACUAUAUUAUUGUCUCGCUUUAAUUAAUGUGAGCAAUAAAUUGAAUUGUCCAAAACUAAAAACAAAACAAAACAAAAUAAAAUAAACCCUCCCCCGCCCUGCCUUAAACGGGUAAUAGGGCGGGUAUGGGGUGAGAAGUGGGGGUGGUUGCCCCAUCCAGUUUCUAUACCUAACCUUAAAACAACUAGUCCUGAAUUCUUAAGCAAUUAACAUAUGCAAGAUUGAAAUACAUUCCAUUAUAUUCGUUAGAUUCCUUAUAACUUGCCUAUUGUAAUCGAGUGCUGCUCAAAAUACUGAAGAUGCUCUGAUCCCCACUCGACAUCAGCAUCGAAACACCAAUGGGGAUUCUCCUCCUCUACCAACAUCUCACUUCCACUUGAACCGUCACCUUUCUCUUCAUCCCGUCACUAUCCUCUAAAUUUUUCUGUCAAAUUGAUUCAAAAGUCCUUUCAAGCAAACCAUGCAUGAAAUCUUUAACAUCAGCCCUAUCACUCCGACAACCUAGGUUUGGCUUCUUAGGGAUCAUUGUGAGGGAACUACGUCCCGACAAUUGCGAGCGGAAGAGAAGAUUACGUAAAAACAAUUGCGAAAAUUAAGGGCUAAAAUUAUGUGGACUAUUUUUUAUUUUUUUUUAAUGUCAAAAAUUAAGUGCCCAUUGGAAAAGUUAGUACCCAGUGGACGAAUUUUAAUCCUCGUCUUCAGGAACUUCACUUUUCUUGAACCGAGUUCUUUUCUUUGGCUUCUGAUCAUGGGCAGAUUUAGAACCUGGCCGCCUAGCUGGCUUCGCUGGGGAGAAUUUUUUUUUCCUAAUAAUAAAUAAAAUUUUUAGAUUAUAUAUGUGAUAAUUCUUAUUAACAAUAAACAUUUAUGUUAGCUUAGCUGGUUAGCCCUUUUAUUAUUAAAUUGGAAAUCUUGUGUUCGAAACUCUUUAAGAGCAAUAUUUUAUAUAAUUUUUGUAUUUCAACAUUUUUUACCAAAACAAAUACAAGGAAGGUGAUUUGAACCUACUACCUUCCUUAAAUAUAUUAACCACUUUACAAAACAAAUACAAUUUUACUAGUUUACUGCAAGUAAAAACAUUUUGAUCGGUGCUUUGUCCCUUUUCUUGAUUUCUUUUUCUUUUCUUUUUUUCUUUCUAAUCAAUCGAAUUGAGAGUUUGGUCAAUAAAUGGUGGAUGAAUUUGUAGAAAAAUUGACCUCAGUGUCAUAAGGAAUCUUUCAACCAAACUUAUUUAAUUAAUAAAAUAUUCCACUUUUCGUUCAGCAAAAAUUGAUUAUGAGAAAGUGGAAUCAUACAAACAUAUAAAAUUGAUUUAAGCACAUAAAUAAUUUCAAUUUUGUUAAUAUAAUAAUGUUUGUCUAAUUAACUUUAAUUGUAAACUGAAUAUUGACAUUUUGUUAAUAUAUAUUGCAUACUUAAUUGAAAAAUAAAUUACGGCAUUUUGUAGAUUAUGGAACGAUUUUUUUCAUCCAAAAUGAAAGUUCGUACCUAGUUCUAGUUCCAAUCCGUACGAAUUUUUGAAUAUUAUUUAAUUAAAUAUUAAUAAACAAUAUCACUAUCACGGACGUUGACCAUCCAUAGUAAGCUUUCAAAACUCGCGGUCUACCCUAAUUGAAUUCGACCCCUGGAUUCGUCCCUGCUUUUGAUUAGAAUCAUCAUUGAUGGUAAUAACAAGGUAUUUUACAUAGAAGGGGUAAAUUUGUCAAAAUACAUUGGUCAUUUUUUAAACCGUUGAUUUGUAUAAAAUAAAUUGUUCAAUUAAGCAAAGACGAUAUAACCAAAAUGAGUAACACGUAAUUAAUGAGAAAGUGUUUCAAUUGAUUAUUGACUAAUGUCCAAGCAUUAUAAUUUGUUAUUGACGAUAUCUGUGACCCAAGAUAGGUAAUAUGUUAUAAACAUAAAAGUGCCUUAAUUAAUUGGUGGCAACACUUAAAAAUUGCUUUAUUGUAAGUUUUAAUUUACCUAAUGAAAUAGCAUAAAAGUCGGGUUAAAUUCACCAAUGGAACCCAACUUUAUACUUAGUGUUACCAUGGCUACACAGUUUGAUUUUGUUUCAUCAUGACCACCUAAUUUUAUAUUUAACCCUUGUUUGGUGAGAUUAAAAUUAAUUUUUUAGUAGAUUUUAAUAGAAGUUGUUGAAAUAUAUAGUUGAAAAAUUGUAAGACCCAUAAAAUAGGUGGUUAAAAUUAAUUGUUUACUUUGACUUGGAUUAAAAUUUUAAUUUUAUUUUUUACCAAACAAAGGUUUAAUACCAAUGAUCACCCAAUUUUAUAUAAAGUGUUACUAUGACCACCCAAUUUCAUGUAACGUUUCACCAUAGUCACCCAACUUUUUUCACUAAUUUUAAAAGUGUUAAAACAGUAACUUUGAGUUAUGUAUGUAAAAUAAAUUUUUAAAAAAUAAAAUAAAAAUUUAUUUUAAAAAACAUUACUUAAAAAGGUAAAAACUUAUUUUUUAAAAAAAUUAAAUAAAAUAAAAAUAUGUUUUUUUUUUAAAAAAAAAAAGGCUACUUAGAAAAAUAAAAUGAAAUAAAAAGUUAUUUUAAAAAAAGUUCCUUAAAAAUAACAUAAAAUAAAAACUUAAUGUUUAAAAAAUGAUUUUUAAAAUAAAAUAAAAACUUAUUUUAAAAAAAUGUUACUUAGAAAAAUUUAAAAAAAAAAAAAAGAAAAACUUAUUUAAAAAAAAAUUUUAAAAAAACUUUUAUUUUUGUUUUUUUUACUUAUUUUGCAAAGUUGUCAUUUUACCCAUUUUAAAAAUAGUGAAAAUGGUGUAAAGAAGUUGGGUAGCUAUAAUUAAACAUUACUCUCUCCAUCCCAAUUAUAUAGGUCGAGUUUAAUUUUUCUCUUAUCCCAAGUAUAUAGACAUGUUUCCUAAUUUAGAAUAUUUUGUUUUGUUCUUUUACCAAUAUAUCCUUAUUCAAUUUUUCCCUUUUAACAUGCCAACUUCUUGAAAUCAUCCAAAUACACACAUUUUUCACUUCUUAAAAACAUGGAACAAAUCUCAUUACUUCUUCAAAUUAAAUCAUUCAAAUUCUUUACUAAUGCCAACAAUAAUUUACUACUACAUACUGAAAAUUAAACAUGGAUAAACUAGGAAAGAUUUUGGCAAAAAUUAAUUUUCCAAUGACAUUAAAGAAGAUUUCUUAAUUCGUGUGAAAAACGAAAUAAGAUUAUAUAAUUGGGAUAGAGGGAAUAUAUAAAAUUGAGUGGCAAUGGUAAAACAAAAUCAAAUUGACUGAUUAUGGUGACACUAAGCAUAAAGUUGGGUGACAAUUAAUUGAUUUAACCCCAAAAAAGUCACAUUAGGUAUAGAUGAUGGAUUUUUUACAUUUUUAUGAAUAUCAGAUGUACCUAAAUCUUCAAAAGAUCAAGAAAAUGCAUUAAACGAAAGUACAAUAUUACCCUUACAAGUCAAAGUAAGGCCACAAAAUUAUUAAAAACCACACAUUUUUAGUUUUUAUACAAGUGUUUCUUCCGUCACAUUACAGACAUUAGUGACCUUGCUUUCAUUGGCUAUUGAGCUCUUUUCCUCGUACUCUCAUCACCGUCUUCGUCUUCCUCAUAUUCGAUCUCUAGUUUUUCUUUGUCAAUUUCAAAGAAUGUAGAUGGUACUAUUUCACGUUCUUGCUCAACCAGAGUACUACUACUAACUCGAUUGUUCUCACCUCUUUUCUUGCCCCAUCGAGGUCCAAAACCCGAAUAGUAGUAAAAUUCAUUUGAAUUUGAUGAGGAAGCUGCCUUCUUCGACCGUGGAAGGCGCUGAUAGUCAGCCACCACCUUAUCUUGUUUCUUUGCUGCUGGAAGAGCCAAGCUGUAGUUUCGCACUUGAGAUAAGUGGUGCUUGCACGAAGAGUUCCCUUCGGCCGCUUCCCUUUUGCAUUCCCAUGCUUUCCCAUCAGUCUUGACACAAUAUACAAUCCCCUUUUCCUUCUUUAACCCGGAGUUCUCAGGCCCUUCCUCCGAGUCCUCAUGGACAGAGCUUCUCAGAUUGCCGCCAUCGCCUUCGCCAUUGGAAUUAUCCCAUUUUGCAGCUUUGAUCUCUCCAGUCAGUUUUUUAAUCAAAGAAGUCAUUCACGAUUAAACCAAAAUUUACACAAACCAUUCAAAACAGAAAUUUAAAUGCAGAAAGUAAAGUGUAAACACAAAGAUUUUUCGGCCGAAGCCCCAGAGGUUUAGCUUAAAGCCUAAUCCCCUGUUGAGCAUCCAUUAUAAAACGGAUCUAGCUCGGUUGCACUAAAAACUCAAAAUAUGGAAGUCAAAAUACAGAAGUACAGAUCACAAGAUAAUCACAGAAACUUAUCUUUCUACACGAGGAUGAUUGAAUGCUUCUCACAGGAAUCACUCAGAUCUGUUACAAAGCACUACCGAACUCAAGAAUCACUCAGAUUCUAGUCACUAAUUACCGAACUCAAGAAUCACUCAGAUUCUAAUCACUAAUCACUCAGAAAAGUUAAGCAUUCAUACAAUCAGUAGUAUUACAAUGAGAUUACUGUAUUUUCUCACUAUUUUCUCUCAAGAAACCAUAUCACAGAAGAGAAAACACGAAGAGUUUUCAAAAGGAGCGUAUGAACUCAAACGGCAGAGAGAAAACCCUAGAAGAAAAAUGAUGAUUCAGCUGAGUGAAAUGAGUCCAAUCAAAGUAAAUAAUAUCAGAAGCAUCCAGAAGCCUGAUCCAACGGCCACCAUCAUCACACGUGUCAUGAUCCAGUAUAAUGUUGUUAUUUAAAAAAUGAAAGACGUGUCAAACUUAUUAAAUACGAUUUCAGCUUUAAAAAUGUGGAAUCAAUAUGACCAAAGGUCCAGGGUUCGAACCCAACAAUCUCCACCUUGCUUCCAACAGUUUUGAGUAUAGUGCAGCCAGAAGCUUAACCAACAUUUUACAAUUUCAUUUGCUCUAGUUCCUGCACAGUUAGUGAAAAGAAUCAAUAGACAAUAUCUUUAAACAGUUCUGAAACUUAUUUAAAGGUAUUACUUUUGUUCCCAUAUCAGAUGGAUUAUGUAAAGUAGCAACUUUUGUAAUAUUUAACAAUCCUUUUGAUAUUACAUCUCUUAUAAAAUGAUAUUUAACAUCUAUGCUUAGUUCUAUCAUGAAACAUGGGAUUUUUACUCAAAUGUAUUGCACUCUGAUUAUCAGAAUAUAAAGUAGGACUAGUGUUCACAAAACCAAGCUCAUUUAAAAGACCAUUUAACCAUAUACCUUCUUUGAUGGCAUCAGUAGCAGCAAUGUAUUCUGCCUCAGUAGAGGAUAAAGCAACAAUUUUUUGUAACUGAGAUUUUUCCAUAGCUUCCAUUUUCAAUUCCAUCAAUUAAGGAUCUGGAACCAAGAUGCUCUUGGUCAAAAUGAUCUUCUAAAUCUCUUGAUGUGUGGUCAAAAUAGAAUUGCCUCACCCCCUUAAAUUGCUAAGAAUGCAUUUCAAUGUCUGUUAUCCAUCUCACUAGAUAUCCCAUUAAUCCCUAGAAUAAUUUUGUCCUGCUCACUACUCUGCACAAAUGAAGCUUCAAAACCAGCACCUUCAAUUGCAUUUACUAUUUCAUACUUACUGAUAACAGUCAUAUUCAACUUCCCCUAACGAAGUAGCCAAAGCAACCAUGGCCCUUUUCACACCCAGAAGCUUUCUUAGAAUACUUUCCACAGAACUGACACAAGCUGCAAUAUAGAACCGCUUACCAACACCAAAUUCAACAAUAGUUACCAAAGCUAACUUCAGCCAGUCUACCAUUUGGAAGGGACCACAUCGCCAAAGUAGCAAAGUAUAUAACGAAAGUAUGCAAGGGCAGACUACUCGGAUGAUCAGGACGGGGACUUGGAGCCAAUUGGGUAGGAGUCAGAAAAAUGAAUAAGAAGACCCUUUGCGCAAGGGAAUGAAGGUGCCCUUCACAUUUUUGUAGCAUUCAGGAAGGAGUUAUUGCACAUAAAUCAUUUUCCUUUUUUCUCCAACUUAGAGUGAACCAGGCAAAAUUGUUUUUCAAAACAUAUUCCUUAAGAUUUCUGUUAGCAUCUUCUUCCUGAUAUCAGAAUAUGCAAAAAUAACAUGUCUAAAUACUUCCUAAUAUGUCAAAUAAAUAUGGAAACCAGUCCUAAAAAAAUUAAAUAAUAAUUGAAUUACACCAAUCAUGCAUGGAAGCACACUAGCCACACUGGAAACGUGCGCGGGCUGCUCAAACUCCGUGGAAUUAGCUCUCAUGAGCCUAAACGGCGUCGUUAAAGCAUCCGUCGCCUUGCUCCAGAAUAAGGCUGAUGUCACCUUUAAUCCUACCUACCAUAUUCAGGGUCUCAGGGAUGAAGACAUUAAAAAAUCAAGUUACUUGUCAAGAAUCCUUAUGCAAGAAUGUCUUCUAAGGAUCUAGAAGAAUCUGACUUUCUUCUCUUUAGAAUCAUUCUGUUUUUUAUAGCAAUCCUUAGCAAAGUGACCUAGUUUACCACAAUAAUAGCACUUUUUACCUUUUGCCUUAUUCUGAGAUCUUGUUUUAUCAAAAAACUUCUUUUAGAAAAUGGCAGAAUCUUACUUUUAGAAAAUACCAGAUUUGUACCAGAUUUAGAAAGAAACUUAAUUUCCUUAGGAAUGUUAGAUGAUAUGGAGUUUGACAUAAAAUUGGGUCAAGGACAAAUAAAAAUCUUUAGGGGAAGUGAUUUAGUCACUUAUAUUCCAAAGAGACAUGGUCUAUACUUCUUAAAUGCUAAACCUCUUAUGGGUCUGUCUAAUGCAGUUUUAAAUGAUGAUUUUAAUCUAGCAAAAUUAUGACUUUGAUAAUUUAUGUAAAGAACAUGGCAUUUUAAGGCAUAAAACUGUCACCUAUACACCUCAACAAAAUGGCACUGCUGAAAGGAUGAAUAGGACAUUAUUAAAUAAGGUCAGAUGCAUGCUUUUAAGCUCAGGACUACCAAAAUUAUUUUGAGGGGAGGCUGUAAAAAUUGCUGCUUAUUUAAUUAAUAGGAGUCCUACAAGUUCUUUGAAUUAUAAUGUACCUGAAUUUGUGUGGUCUCAAAAACCUGUGAUUUACUCAUAUUUGAAAACUUUUGGUUGUGCUGCAUAUGCACAUCAAAAUAUAGGGAAACUUGAGCCUAGGUCUCUAAAAUGUGUAUUUUUGGGAUAUGCUGAAAAUGUCAAGGGAUAUAGACUGUGGGUACAUAGUGAGAAAGGUUAUAGGGUCAUUUUAAGAAGAGAUGUUGUUUUUAAUGAGUCUUGCAUGCCAUGUUUAGAAGGAAAACAAAGAAAUGUUUCUGAUAAUAAUGCUCAAAUUAAGGUAGAGCCUAUUAAAUUUGGAAAUAACAAUGAUGUACCAUUAGAAGCUGAAAAUGCUGAUUCAAAUCUGAAUGAAAAUGAUAUUGAGCAGAGUGAGACUGAACCUGUUAAUAUCACAGAUUUACCUCCUGAUGGAUACCAAUUAUCUCGGGAUAGGGAAAGGAGACAAAUUAGGCCACCUGCUAGAUACAAUACUGAUGAAUUUGCUUCCUAUUUCACCUAUCAAGAUGAAACUGAGACUGAACCUUACUCUUAUUAUGAAGCUAUAAAAUCAAAUGAUAGUAAGAAAUGGUUAGCUGCCAUGGAGGAGGAAAUGGACUCCUUAUAUAAGAAUAAGACUUGGGAUCUGGUUAACAAACCUAAGGAAAAGAAAUUAGUUGAUUGCAAGUGGAUAUAUAAAAUUAAAGAUGGGGAGGAGGGCAACAAUAAUGUUAGGUACAAAAGGUCUGAAUGCUCUUAAAACUAAAGGUGUUUUUGGAAAAUCAAACAUUGGUGAAGUUUCAAAUUGUGAAGAGUGUUUGAUUGGCAAACAAACUAAACUCCCAUUUUCACUUAGUACCUUUAAAUCAAAGAAAAUUCUUGAGUAUGUUCAUGCUGAUUUGUGGGGGCCUGCUUCUACAUCUACCUUGUCUGGGUUUAAAUAUUACUUGCUGAUUGUGGAUGAUUUUUCAAAGAAAAUAUGGGUUUUUCUUUUGAAAACUAAAGACGAAACUUUCAUUAUUUUUAGAGAUUGGAAAAUCCAAAUUGAAAAUCAGACUAAUUUAAAAAUCAAAACAUUAAGAACAGACAAUGGGCUAGAGUCUUGCAAAGGGGUCUUUCUGAUGCUAUCAGAAAGCUCAUGGAACUAGCACCAGCAAUCGCUACAUUGCUUUUGCAAGACAAAGCUGGCAGACACUUGGAAAUGGUUCAAUAAACAUGGAUGUUUUGGCUGCAGUGGGAACUUCAGUUUCAUACUUCUACUCAAUUUGUGCUUAAUUAUAUGGUGCAAUCACCGAGUUCUGGUAUCGAACAUACUUUGAAACUAUUGCAAUGCUAAUAACCUUUGAACUUUUUUGGGCAAGCAUUUGGAGAGUCUUGCAAAGGGAUAUUUUUGAUGCUAUCAGAAAGCUCGUGGAGAUCGCGCCAGCAACUGCUACAUUGCUAUUUGCAAGACAAAGGCUUGCAGCGAACACCUUCUGGCCAAGGCAAUUUGUUGGGUUUUUGAUACCCAAUAAAUCUCGGGCUAUGAUGUUAACGCGAGUUAAUAUUAUUUCAUAGGCAUAGGCCGAUGAAUUAAAUAAGUCCAACAACCAAGUCCAUGAUCUACACCCGGCCCAAUUGUAUUCCUUAUGGAUGGCUUGAAUCUUGGCCCGUUUAUCCCUUUAAUGGCCCAACUUAAAGCCUAACCCAAGAGUAUAUAUAUGAAUAUAACUCUAACCUCUUUGAUAUGAUGAUUGUGUGAUUUUGAGAGAAGAAACAAGAGAAUCCCGGCUGCCCCCCUUUUGUGUGAGAAAAAGGUGUCCAGAAGUGUCCAGAACGCUUCUAUAACGUGUGCAAUUGGUGGUUCUUUCAUAGUAUACUUUUGUGGUGUCUUCUCUUAGCCUUUGUGACGAUAAAUCGUCAUCCUUUCUUGUCCUACAUGGGUAAGAUUGAAUAGCAAGCAAAGUGAAUCAAUUGGUUGUGGUUUGGAGCCGUUUGGAUUGGUUGUUGGUAGAGAAAGGUACGUUGGAUUGAGCCUGGAAAACCACCGUUUGAAGAUCUUUUGAGAGACCUUCCGCAACACAGUUCAUUCUCCGCGGCAAUUUUCAGUGAUGCAGCACUAUUGAUAAUAAUCCAAAUAAACAUUUGACUCCAAAUUUUAAAAAAUCAAUAAUACUGAUUGAAGAACCCUAAUUAUUUUCAGCAUCAAUAAAGAGCUGGAAAUUUGUAAGAUAAUCCAAGUUAAACACAAAAUAAAAGGAUUACCUAUGAAAAGCUGCAUUAGGUUCUCCCAAGCUCCCAUUUCGCGCGAAAUUAUCAGUUCCAUUGACCUGCAUAGAAAUUAUUCUACGUCGAAAAAAUAGUAACAAGCAAGCUAUAAUAAACAAAUACAGUGAAAAUACACAAAAGAAAAUUCCGAAGACCAAAUACACGACAAAAACCCUUUCAUUCAUAUUUUUUAAUGAACCCGACUGAUGGGGUUUUCAGAAAACCCUAGAAGUAAAAAGAAUAAAAGCAAAAACGAAAGUAAAUUUAACAAGAAUAAAAAUGGUUUCCGACAGAUCUGUAUACAGAAUUAAAGCCCUGUCAUUACUGAUAAAACUUCACUAACCUUGAACGACAGUGGAGGCGGUGGUGGCGGAGGAUAUGAUGAUGAAGAGAAGCUCAUCACGUCCCAAGGGGACUGAUUCAAUUUGCAAAUAUGGGUUUGAAGAACAUUUCCAGAUUUCAGUGAAGAAGCUGCAUACAUCAAUGGACAAAUUUUAGCGUUCUUCCGUAUUCUCAUGGUGGUUCGGUGGUCUUUUGGGGGAGUUUUUUGGUGGAUAGUCGGGGCAGAAACUCACAAGGGCGGAGAGGUUAUGUGAGAGUGGGCAAAGGGUAUUCUUUUUAUAUUUUUUCUCUCUCUCUCUCUCUCUGAAUGUGUGUGUAUAUUCUCAGUUGUAUGUAUAUUUAUAUAUUUGUUGCUUACAGAACAGUACAUCUAUUCAGACAACCACUUAUGGCCCACAAGGAAAUAGUGUUAAAGAGUUGUGUUCUGUUUGUUUGGUCAAGAGAGUGAAUAUUUUGCACCCAUUCUUUAAAAUUCAUUUAUUUUCAAAUAUAUUUUUAACUAAAAAUUCUGUCGUUUAAAUUAAUUUUAAGCAUGGACUCCAAAUUUUCUUAUUUUUAAUUGUACAUUCAAAUUUUUUCUGAAAAAAUUUACAUCAAACAAAUCCUUUGUAAAAAUAGAAGUUAAUGAAUAAGAAUUUAUAUACGGAUGUAUUAAAUAGAAUAUAAUAAUCUUUAACCCACUCUAGUUAAUUUUAAAGUCCCAAAUUUUAUAGUGUUAAGUUAAUGAAAAAAAAAUCUACAGAUGUAUUUAUAGUGUUAGCCGUGAAAUCCCGAAUUUUAUGUGUGGAAAUUACAGAGAUGGAGCGUUUACAAAAUCUCAAUUCAUAAUUAAGAGUUACAGGUUUUUUUUUUUUCAAAAAUAUUAUUAUAAUUUAAAUAUUAAAUAUUAAUAAUAUUAUUAUUAAAUUAAAUUAAUUUACCAACUCUACUCUACCCUACCCAUCCUACCUCAACUCUCACUUCUAGAGAUGGGCGCGGGUCAAUUCGGUUCGGAACUGAACCAAAAUUUUCGGACAUCUAGUAAAUGGAACUGUCGGGUCCAAAUAUAAUUAUGGAACCGUUCCGUUCGGUUCCGUACUAUAAUUAAAUUUUUUAACAUUUAUAACAACAUUAUAUAAAUACAACUAAUGACAUAUUCAAUGGUUUUGGAAUGUCAAAGACUAGUAGAUUACCUUGUUCAAAUGAUCGCUACGGCCAAAACUUCGAUCGGCGGAGGUCACAGCUUCGAUCGGAUGUUACAGCGUCGGCUGGCGAUUGUAUAAGUUUUGGAAUGUCAACGAGGCUGCGAGAGUGAAUGCGAGAGUCGGGACAGCGUUAUGCACUUUAGUGUAGGUGUUUAGAGUUAUUUAGUGGGUUGGAUCUUUGUUGGGCUAAGAAAUGAAUCAAUAAAAUGGGUAAUUGGACCAAAAAUUAGAAAUGAAACAAAUUAUUGGGCCAAAAAUUGGGAUUUAGAAAUUGUUAAUUUGUUUAAAAAAAUUAAAAUUAAAAUAAUUUAAUUUGUUCAAUAUAAAAAAAUUUUUAAAAAUUCGGUUCUUGGUCUAGAAUCGAGAAUCGAACCGAACCCGUCGAUUUUCAAUUCAGAUACACAUUCGGGUAUUUAAUUUGACAAGAACUGUUCGGUUCGGUUCAGUUCGGUUUGGUUCGGGAGAUUUGCCCAGCCCUACUCACUUCCACAAAACCUAACUUACAGUUUCAAAAGCUAUUCAGUAUUCAUUUCUACUUCACCUCCAUGGCGCAACCACUCCCAAGAUGCUUCAUUAUAGCAACUCUUCACGAUGAUUCACUCCAGCAACUUUUCUCUUCUCUCUCUUUACACUACUGAGAGACCACCACAACGACAUCAUCGUCGCAUCAUGCUGAGGUGGCGUCACUCUUCCCUAUCGACGAUGCCAUCAUAGCAACAACGAGUUAUCCUUCUCUCUACCUUUUCUUCACUCGAAGCAAUCUCUUUGUUGGAUAUUGGUUAAAUAAAUUGAGAAUUGAAAAUCGAUUAAAGUUUGUAUCGAAUUCGGCCAAAUACUCAAAAGCUCGACUCAAUCCGUUUAGGCAAAAUUGUUUGCCACUUCGCCGCUUCGGGGCGCACAAACGGGGAUCGACCUGCCCGGUCAGGNNNNNNNNNNNNNNNNNNNNNNNNNNNNNNNNNNNNNNNNNNNNNNNNNNNNNNNNNNNNNNNNNNNNNNNNNNNNNNNNNNNNNNNNNNNNNNNNNNNNNNNNNNNNNNNNNNNNNNNNNNNNNNNNNNNNNNNNNNNNNNNNNNNNNNNNNNNNNNNNNNNNNNNNNNNNNNNNNNNNNNNNNNNNNNNNNNNNNNNNNNNNNNNNNNNNNNNNNNNNNNNNNNNNNNNNNNNNNNNNNNNNNNNNNNNNNNNNNNNNNNNNNNNNNNNNNNNNNNNNNNNNNNNNNNNNNNNNNNNNNNNNNNNNNNNNNNNNNNNNNNNNNNNNNNNNNNNNNNNNNNNNNNNNNNNNNNNNNNNNNNNNNNNNNNNNNNNNNNNNNNNNNNNNNNNNNNNNNNNNNNNNNNNNNNNGGUCUGUCUAAUGCAGUUUUAAAUGAUGAUUUUAAUCUAGCAAAGUUAUGGCAUGGUAGACUUGGUCACAUUGGUACAAAAGGUUUGAAUGCUCUUAAAGCUAAAGGUGUUUUUGGAAAAUCAAACAUUGGUGAAAUUUCAAAUUGUGAAGAGUGUUUGAUUGGCAAACAAACUAAACUCCCAAUUUCACUUAGUACCUUUAAAUCAAAGAAAAUUCUUGAGUAUGUUCAUGCUGAUUUGUGGGGGCCUGCUUCUACAUCUACCUUGUCUGGGUUUAAAUAUUACUUGCUGAUUGUGGAUGAUUUUUCAAAGAAAAUAUGGGUUUUUCUUUUGAAAACUAAAGAUGAAACUUUCAUUGUUUUUAGAGAUUGGAAAACCCAAAUUGAAAAUCAGACUGAUUUAAAAAUCAAAACAUUAAGAACAGACAAUGGGCUAGAGUUUUGCAAUUAUGACUUUGAUAAUUUUUGUAAAGAACAUGGCAUUUUAAGGCAUAAAACUGUCACCUAUACACCUCAGCAAAAUGGCACUGCUGAAAGGAUGAAUAGGACAUUAUUAAAUAAGGUCAGAUGCAUGCUUUUAAGCUCAGGACUGCCAAAAUUAUUUUGGGGAGAGGCUGUAAAAACUGCUGCUUAUUUAAUUAAUAGGAGUCCUACAAGUUCUUUGAAUUAUAAUGUGCCUGAAUUUGUGUGGUCUCAAAAACUUGUGAUUUACUCAUAUUUGAAAACUUUUGGUUGUGCUGCAUAUGCACAUCAAAAUAUAGGGAAACUUGAGCCUAGGUCUCUAAAAUGUGUGUUUUUGGGAUAUGCUGAAAAUGUCAAGGGAUAUAGACUGUGGGUACAUAGUGAGAAAGGUUAUAGGGUCAUUUUAAGAAGAGGUGUUGUUUUUAAUGAGUCUUGCAUGCCAUGUUUAGAAGGAAAACAAAGAAAUGUUUCUGAUAAUAAUGCUCANNNNNNNNNNNNNNNNNNNNNNNNNNNNNNNNNNNNNNNNNNNNNNNNNNNNNNNNNNNNNNNNNNNNNNNNNNNNNNNNNNNNNNNNNNNNNNNNNNNNNNNNNNNNNNNNNNNNNNNNNNNNNNNNNNNNNNNNNNNNNNNNNNNNNNNNNNNNNNNNNNNNNNNNNNNNNNNNNNNNNNNNNNNNNNNNNNNNNNNNNNNNNNNNNNNNNNNNNNNNNNNNNNNNNNNNNNNNNNNNNNNNNNNNNNNNNNNNNNNNNNNNNNNNNNNNNNNNNNNNNNNNNNNNNNNNNNNNNNNNNNNNNNNNNNNNNNNNNNNNNNNNNNNNNNNNNNNNNNNNNNNNNNNNNNNNNNNNNNNNNNNNNNNNNNNNNNNNNNNNNNNNNNNNNNNNNNNNNNNNNNNNNNNNNNNNNNNNNNNNNNNNNNNNNNNNNNNNNNNNNNNNNNNNNNNNNNNNNNNNNNNNNNNNNNNNNNNNNNNNNNNNNNNNNNNNNNNNNNNNNNNNNNNNNNNNNNNNNNNNNNNNNNNNNNNNNNNNNNNNNNNNNNNNNNNNNNNNNNNNNNNNNNNNNNNNNNNNNNNNNNNNNNNNNNNNNNNNNNNNNNNNNNNNNNNNNNNNNNNNNNNNNNNNNNNNNNNNNNNNNNNNNNNNNNNNNNNNNNNNNNNNNNNNNNNNNNNNNNNNNNNNNNNNNNNNNNNNNNNNNNNNNNNNNNNNNNNNNNNNNNNNNNNNNNNNNNNNNNNNNNNNNNNNNNNNNNNNNNNNNNNNNNNNNNNNNNNNNNNNNNNNNNNNNNNNNNNNNNNNNNNNNNNNNNNNNNNNNNNNNNNNNNNNNNNNNNNNNNNNNNNNNNNNNNNNNNNNNNNNNNNNNNNNNNNNNNNNNNNNNNNNNNNNNNNNNNNNNNNNNNNNNNNNNNNNNNNNNNNNNNNNNNNNNNNNNNNNNNNNNNNNNNNNNNNNNNNNNNNNNNNNNNNNNNNNNNNNNNNNNNNNNNNNNNNNNNNNNNNNNNNNNNNNNNNNNNNNNNNNNNNNNNNNNNNNNNNNNNNNNNNNNNNNNNNNNNNNNNNNNNNNNNNNNNNNNNNNNNNNNNNNNNNNNNNNNNNNNNNNNNNNNNNNNNNNNNNNNNNNNNNNNNNNNNNNNNNNNNNNNNNNNNNNNNNNNNNNNNNNNNNNNNNNNNNNNNNNNNNNNNNNNNNNNNNNNNNNNNNNNNNNNNNNNNNNNNNNNNNNNNNNNNNNNNNNNNNNNNNNNNNNNNNNNNNNNNNNNNNNNNNNNNNNNNNNNNNNNNNNNNNNNNNNNNNNNNNNNNNNNNNNNNNNNNNNNNNNNNNNNNNNNNNNNNNNNNNNNNNNNNNNNNNNNNNNNNNNNNNNNNNNNNNNNNNNNNNNNNNNNNNNNNNNNNNNNNNNNNNNNNNNNNNNNNNNNNNNNNNNNNNNNNNNNNNNNNNNNNNNNNNNNNNNNNNNNNNNNNNNNNNNNNNNNNNNNNNNNNNNNNNNNNNNNNNNNNNNNNNNNNNNNNNNNNNNNNNNNNNNNNNNNNNNNNNNNNNNNNNNNNNNNNNNNNNNNNNNNNNNNNNNNNNNNNNNNNNNNNNNNNNNNNNNNNNNNNNNNNNNNNNNNNNNNNNNNNNNNNNNNNNNNNNNNNNNNNNNNNNNNNNNNNNNNNNNNNNNNNNNNNNNNNNNNNNNNNNNNNNNNNNNNNNNNNNNNNNNNNNNNNNNNNNNNNNNNNNNNNNNNNNNNNNNNNNNNNNNNNNNNNNNNNNNNNNNNNNNNNNNNNNNNNNNNNNNNNNNNNNNNNNNNNNNNNNNNNNNNNNNNNNNNNNNNNNNNNNNNNNNNNNNNNNNNNNNNNNNNNNNNNNNNNNNNNNNNNNNNNNNNNNNNNNNNNNNNNNNNNNNNNNNNNNNNNNNNNNNNNNNNNNNNNNNNNNNNNNNNNNNNNNNNNNNNNNNNNNNNNNNNNNNNNNNNNNNNNNNNNNNNNNNNNNNNNNNNNNNNNNNNNNNNNNNNNNNNNNNNNNNNNNNNNNNNNNNNNNNNNNNNNNNNNNNNNNNNNNNNNNNNNNNNNNNNNNNNNNNNNNNNNNNNNNNNNNNNNNNNNNNNNNNNNNNNNNNNNNNNNNNNNNNNNNNNNNNNNNNNNNNNNNNNNNNNNNNNNNNNNNNNNNNNNNNNNNNNNNNNNNNNNNNNNNNNNNNNNNNNNNNNNNNNNNNNNNNNNNNNNNNNNNNNNNNNNNNNNNNNNNNNNNNNNNNNNNNNNNNNNNNNNNNNNNNNNNNNNNNNNNNNNNNNNNNNNNNNNNNNNNNNNNNNNNNNNNNNNNNNNNNNNNNNNNNNNNNNNNNNNNNNNNNNNNNNNNNNNNNNNNNNNNNNNNNNNNNNNNNNNNNNNNNNNNNNNNNNNNNNNNNNNNNNNNNNNNNNNNNNNNNNNNNNNNNNNNNNNNNNNNNNNNNNNNNNNNNNNNNNNNNNNNNNNNNNNNNNNNNNNNNNNNNNNNNNNNNNNNNNNNNNNNNNNNNNNNNNNNNNNNNNNNNNNNNNNNNNNNNNNNNNNNNNNNNNNNNNNNNNNNNNNNNNNNNNNNNNNNNNNNNNNNNNNNNNNNNNNNNNNNNNNNNNNNNNNNNNNNNNNNNNNNNNNNNNNNNNNNNNNNNNNNNNNNNNNNNNNNNNNNNNNNNNNNNNNNNNNNNNNNNNNNNNNNNNNNNNNNNNNNNNNNNNNNNNNNNNNNNNNNNNNNNNNNNNNNNNNNNNNNNNNNNNNNNNNNNNNNNNNNNNNNNNNNNNNNNNNNNNNNNNNNNNNNNNNNNNNNNNNNNNNNNNNNNNNNNNNNNNNNNNNNNNNNNNNNNNNNNNNNNNNNNNNNNNNNNNNNNNNNNNNNNNNNNNNNNNNNNNNNNNNNNNNNNNNNNNNNNNNNNNNNNNNNNNNNNNNNNNNNNNNNNNNNNNNNNNNNNNNNNNNNNNNNNNNNNNNNNNNNNNNNNNNNNNNNNNNNNNNNNNNNNNNNNNNNNNNNNNNNNNNNNNNNNNNNNNNNNNNNNNNNNNNNNNNNNNNNNNNNNNNNNNNNNNNNNNNNNNNNNNNNNNNNNNNNNNNNNNNNNNNNNNNNNNNNNNNNNNNNNNNNNNNNNNNNNNNNNNNNNNNNNNNNNNNNNNNNNNNNNNNNNNNNNNNNNNNNNNNNNNNNNNNNNNNNNNNNNNNNNNNNNNNNNNNNNNNNNNNNNNNNNNNNNNNNNNNNNNNNNNNNNNNNNNNNNNNNNNNNNNNNNNNNNNNNNNNNNNNNNNNNNNNNNNNNNNNNNNNNNNNNNNNNNNNNNNNNNNNNNNNNNNNNNNNNNNNNNNNNNNNNNNNNNNNNNNNNNNNNNNNNNNNNNNNNNNNNNNNNNNNNNNNNNNNNNNNNNNNNNNNNNNNNNNNNNNNNNNNNNNNNNNNNNNNNNNNNNNGGGCAACGCCCCCGAAAGAGAAUUUUGAUUUCUCUGCAUGUAUUGAAGGGUAUAUUUGGCAUUUCGAAAAUCAAUAUCGGAUGAAUGAGAAAUUACGAAAAAGACCUCAACCAUUAGUGAAUAGACACCUUUUCAUAAAUAUGCAUUGUUUGGAAAUGGUGCAUGGUUUGGUCUCAACCAUUUCGUCCACACCCCUUCAUGGUCUAUAAAUAGGACCCUUUGGGUGUCCUAUUCCUCACAGUUUGAUAUGCAAAACGUUUCUCAUCCUCUCUUCUAUCCAAAAUCAAAAUCAUUUCGUUUAUUUUGAUUUUCUUUCAUUUCAUUCUUGGAGUACAUAAGCCUAAAUUGGUUCGUUGUACUUGUGUUUUGGAGUGCUACAAACACAAGUGUAGCCGUUGUAUCUUGGGAGUCGAUUGCCGAAAUCCGUAGGCACCGUUGCGGGGCAAAUUCGACUUAAGGACAAAGAGUCCAACUCUUGCCUCGGCUUUGUCACCAUCAUUAUACUUAUUUCAGCGUCACUAUUCACAAAAUUCAUCCAACACUCUUUUUCCCCCAAUUUUUAUAGUAGCGACCAGCACUGCAACAACAACACCGUGCUACUGUUCAUAACAGCAUUGAGUUGCCAUUCACAAUAGUUCCAAGCGGUUUCAAGGAUGUUGCCAUUCGAGACACUAAUUUUACAACAGCGGUUCCAGACAGUGCACCCAGGCCCUGUUCUGGACCAAGGCCAACUAGGCAGCCGCCUAGGGUCUCAUAAAAAAAAUUUGGCCCAACACCCAACCGAAGACCCAUUCGAAACCCACCCAAUUACUCAAAAUAACCUGUUUUACUGACUAGAAGAGACAGUUUAAGCUAGAUAUGCUGGACGACAGCAAAAUCACAAACAAGUGUUCACAAUUGAAGCAGAUUAGCAGAAGAAAUUACAAAUAAUCGAUGGGAGCAAGGACCUUCCAAUGGCCAACUGCAUAUGCUUCCUUCUCUGUCUCUUUCUUGCCAUCAACUUGUGCCUCACAAACAAGCAAAACCCAAUGUCUAACACUAUUUGUCUGCUCAUGGUAAGAAAUUGAAAAACUGAGAAGAAAUGAAAGAAAAAUAGGUAAAAUCUUAAUGCAAAGUUUCUUUCUGGUUUCUUAUUUGAUUUUAUGUUUCUGACUACUCGUAUUUAUUAUGUGACAUAAAGAAAAUAAUUUAUAAUGGUGUCUACCCGAAUUAUUUUCAUUGAUUUCUGAAUUUUAUGUUAAUUUGGUGUUAUAAAAUGCAGGGUUUUUGCGUUACAUUGUUGUAUUUUAUAUAUUUUUUUUGUUUUUAUUGUCUUUUCAUUAUUGGUUCUUUUAAAAAAAAUUCCCUUUGAAACAGUCGGUAUUGAUAAUCUUGAGUGAUUUGCUAAAAGAAAUGGGAUGAUUAAAUAGAACUUCAAGAAUAUUGUAAUCAUUUUGAGCAAAAUCCAGGAAAAACUUCAAAUUUUGGAUACAUGGUAACAAGGAGUAGCUGUAGAAAUAUAUGUGGCCUAAAUUCAUUAUGAGGACUAGUCAAUUAUUUGAGGAAUGAGAAGUAACUUUUUGAUGUAAAAAAAAUGCUCUUAUUGUACGAGGCCCGGUGUUAUAGCUAUUUUUUUAUGCAUUACUAGUUGGUCUUAUUGAAAUUUUGAGAAGGUUGUAACUUGAAAUGCUGGAAAAUGCUCGUAAAAUAGGAAAUUCAUAGUUGAUUUAGAGCAUGGAUUUGUGUUGGUUUACUUGGAUUUGAUUUUGUUUACAAAAUCGACAUGUAAGAAAAUUUGAAAGAAGAACCAUUAUGAAUCUCCACACUAUUCAUAUAUUCAAUCCACAAAGUAGUGAUUACAUAGUCAUUAACUGCUUUGUCAAAUAUCAAACAUCAUGGAAUCGGCUGUUUCUAGUUCAUUAUCAAGUAAUGCAGUAAGGUUAUUGUUCGAUAUCCACGAUUAAAUCACUGUACAGAAGCUCCUCUUGAACAAGAAUAUUUACUGCUAUAUAUGUAAGUUUGAAUAUUUCUACUUUUGUAAAAAUUAUAUUCAAUGGCCUCAUAAUAAUUAAUUGUCUAGGGCCUCAAAAUUCUCAGGGCUAGCCCUGGGUGCACCUUUUUCAGCGAGACACCAUUGUCGCGAGAGAGCACAGCCUCGCACGAUGCAGCAUCAUUUUGAAAAUGGAAGUAAUGCUUUCAGAUCCAGCGACACUGAUUUGAACGUCGUAGCAGGGUUUAAAACGUCGCUGUGAGGUACUGAUCUACACACCUCUGUGUAGUGUUUGUCGCAACGAUCUCCGUGGUUUUGGGGUUGGUCGAUCUGAAAAUGGAAGCGAGGUUGAUUUGAAUGUCACAGCAGCGUCUACAACACCAUUAUGAGGCCCUGAUCUAUGUGGUGUUUACCACGGUGGUGGUGGUUGCAGUGGUGGUGGUGGUGGUGGUUAAAGCCAUGAUGGUGUUGGUGUUAUUGGUGGUGGUGGUUAAAGCUAUGGUGGUGAUGUCAUUGACGACGCUACUGGAGAUGUCAGGGAUGCUAGUGUAGUCAUGGUGGUGCUGAUGGCGAGGGCAAUCGUGGCGAGUGGAGGUGUUUGUAACCAACCAAUAAAUUGGUUAAAUUUUUUUAUCAAUAAAUCAUAUCUAACCUAAAUAUGUGAUCGUGACUCACAAUUUAUUAUUUUUUGACAGAGAAAUAACUUGUAACCAAUUAAUUUGAUAGUGAUCUUAAAGUAAACUGUGACUUAUAAAAUUUGUGAUUUGUAACCGAUAACUUGUGACCAAUAAUAAUAUGUGACCUAAAAACUUGAAUCAUGACUUAUAAAUUUUGUGUUUUUUGACCUAUAAAUUUUUUUAUUUGUGAUCGAUGAAUUAUAAAAAAAAAAAUAUUUAUAACCGUGAAAUAAUAUAUAUAUAUAUAUAUAUAUAUAUAUAUAUAUNNNNNNNNNNNNNNNNNNNNNNNNNNNNNNNNNNNNNNNNNNNNNNNNNNNNNNNNNNNNNNNNNNNNNNNNNNNNNNNNNNNNNNNNNNNNNNNNNNNNNNNNNNNNNNNNNNNNNNNNNNNNNNNNNNNNNNNNNNNNNNNNNNNNNNNNNNNNNNNNNNNNNNNNNNNNNNNNNNNNNNNNNNNNNNNNNNNNNNNNNNNNNNNNNNNNNNNNNNNNNNNNNNNNNNNNNNNNNNNNNNNNNNNNNNNNNNNNNNNNNNNNNNNNNNNNNNNNNNNNNNNNNNNNNNNNNNNNNNNNNNNNNNNNNNNNNNNNNNNNNNNNNNNNNNNNNNNNNNNNNNNNNNNNNNNNNNNNNNNNNNNNNNNNNNNNNNNNNNNNNNNNNNNNNNNNNNNNNNNNNNNNNNNNNNNNNNNNNNNNNNNNNNNNNNNNNNNNNNNNNNNNNNNNNNNNNNNNNNNNNNNNNNNNNNNNNNNNNNNNNNNNNNNNNNNNNNNNNNNNNNNNNNNNNNNNNNNNNNNNNNNNNNNNNNNNNNNNNNNNNNNNNNNNNNNNNNNNNNNNNNNNNNNNNNNNNNNNNNNNUAGUACUCUUCUAUUUAGUUUUUCACUAAAAAGGGAAGUUACAAGAAGAAGAAUGCCACUUUUUUAUCGUACCUCUUCUCAAAUCUGAAUUUGCCUUUAUUUUUCUUUCAAGAAUUUCUUUUAGUUAAGUUAAGUUCAAAAGAAUUGCAAGGGUGUGAAAGAAAAAUGCUUCAACACAUUUUGUUCCUUUAUAUGUGUAUGUGUGUGUGAGAUCAGAAGGGUACAUCAAGUGAUAUAAGUCCUAUUGAGUUUAAAGUUCACACCUUCAAUAUUGAAAAAAUUUUCAGAAUAAAGGAUGGCCAAGAAAGUGGAUUCAUGUGCUUCAUUUUUGUAAUUAGUUAUAUUUGAAGAAUUUAUAAUUCUUACUAGUUAUGCAACUUAUGUUUGAUUUUUAAAAGAUGUUAGUUUAUCUUUACUUUUUUUAAGACUUCUUAGUUCUUUUUUCUUGAUGUGACUGUUGAAAUUUUAAUCAGUUUAAAUAUGCAUGUAAUUAAAGUUGCUAAAGAAGUUAAGAUUAAACCUUAGACUUGUAAAAAAAUAAAUUUCAGCUUACUCCAUGAAUUUUUUUGAUGUCAUCUCGUAUAGAAUUAUUUGAGUUUUUUGGCAAAACUAAUGUAGUUUGACCGCCCUAUGAGUCCUCUCUCCGCUGGUUUUGGAAUCAAGUCAAUUGAAAGUCAAUGAGAUAAGAUAUGCCCUUUGCCAUGUAUUGUGUUCGGUGUACCAGAGAACAAUUUUUUUCCAUAUGUUUGAGUGUCCAUUUGAGCACCUAAAUGAUGUUUGAAAAUUCUCAAAAUUUUUCUAUGUUGUGCUUGAAUGAUUUAGAACAUACUGUAAAAUUAGAGAAAUUGGAUAAGGAUUUGAAUUCUCCUUGGUUCUCUACAUCAUCAAUCACCCACAUCCUCAACCUAGGUAUGAAAAUUUUAUUGAACAUUUUCAUGAAAUUUUAAAGUUAUGUUUUCAUGAAUUUUUAUUGUUAGUAGUGAAAAAAUAUGUAUAUUGGACUAUGAUAACAAUGGGUGAUAAAUGGCUAGAAGAAGAAGAUGCAACUCAGUCAGCAUCUUAGAAAUGGCGAUUAGAACAUACUUGGAUUUUGAAGUUGAGGAUUCCCAAGAUCUGGUGGAUCACGUACAUAGUGUUAAUGAGCAUUAGGUAGCAACUAAGAAUGCACGCUAUCAGAUUAGCAAUCAACAAGCCAUUUGACUUCUCUUGGAUACAUUAGCACCUCAUGAAGAGUGUUUUGGCAAGCUUUUAUUUAAAGAAAUGGGUUCGGUAUUUCCAUCGAGGAAUCCUCAUAACAUAGGUAUAAAGAUUUUUGUAAUGCUCUUUUAGAUUACUGAGAAACCUACCUUGGGAAAGUAACCUUACAUUUUAGUUUAGAUUCAAGAGUGAUGAUAGACGAUGACGUAAUUCAAUCAUCAGGGAUUAUAAGUAAAUCAACCAAUAAGGAUCAUCGAGGAAAUGGUAGAAGAGGACCCCAAAGAGGAUCCAGUUGAAGAUUGAGAAAGGGAUGUAGAAGGCUUAUAGAUAGGCAAAUAAAAUAAAUAAAUAACAAUAAUAUCCAUCAUUAUCGUUUUCUUUGCAAUUUCAAUUAAGUCCAGUGGCAUGUAAACUUUCUUAAGUUAAGUUUGGUGUUUUAGAUUAUAAAUGGAUUUGUGCACUUAAAAAUAAAAAAAUCAUUCCUGAGUUGGUGGCAUGCAUGUCUAAAGGAUGAAAAACUUAUUUGCGUGUUUAAAAGAAAUUGUGCAACCAAACCAGAAUGAUUUGAUAAGAGAUUUGUUGUAAGUGGUGCAAGGGCUUGGAAGGCAAGCCCUGCAAGCAAACCAUUUAGUUGCCCAACUCAAACGUUGAUUUUGGAAAUUUUCAGAAGCAUAGUGAUCCGUUACAAUAAAGCUAUUUGUACAUCCGGAUUUGACACUCCCGAUGACACUCCCCUCAUAAGAGAGGGGGGCCACACACAAUAAAAUAAUUGCGGGCCCCCCUCUUGUGAGGGGAGUGUCAACCCCGGAUGUACGAAUAGUGAAGUCCGAUCUGUUAACAGCUGAGGAAUGGCUAUGGAAGUUGGGACAAAUUUUCUAGCUUACAGAUGAUAAUGAUACACAAAAGUACGGUGCAUGGAGUUUAUAUUCACUGAAGCAGCAAUUCAUUGGUGAGAAUCAAUGUUUCGAACUUGGACCAAAGCUAAGCAAGAGGCUUUGACUUGGAAUCAAUUUGAAGAAAUUACUAGAAGUUCUUUUCCCGAGCAUUAAGGGACUUUAAAGAACAGAUUUCUUACAGCUAAAGCAAGGAAGCAUGACUCUGGCUGAUUGUAAGAAAAAGUUCGACCAGGUAACUAAGUAUGCUCUACAUUUGGUGAUUACUGAAUUUAGAUAAAUAAAGGGAUUUUAGCAAAGGCUUCAUCAGGACAUUCACAAAAUCCUCAUGUCUCACCGUUUUAUUACCUAUAGCAAAAUGUUGGAAAGAGCUCAUGCUUUCUGGUAUCAAAGAGCUAGUACUAAAAAGUAUGGAAUAAAGACAAGUUCAAACUAUCAUGGUAAAGGCAGCUAACAAAAUAAGUUUGUGGCUAGUAAAAGGACGUAGAACAACUGGAUAAGAGAAAGAAAAAUUGCAGAAUAAGAAUGUGACGACCCAGCCUUGUACACAAGCCAUUAGUUUACAUAUUGUCCACUCUAGGAGAGUUUAAGCCCCUGUUAUCCCUCAAUAAUUUCUGUAGCGUCUCAAAGAUUUGAACACAUGACCUUCCUUUAAGAGAGACUUAAAUUAUGAGACCUCCUAGGGGACACGACAACUUUGGUGGCUAUGGCUUCAGGGGCAAGAGAAAUGGUGGUGGUUGUGGCAGUUGCUUCGAUGGCAGCGGCUACUUCCCUACUCACGAUGAAGGUCCGCCUGGUGAAGUCAUUGAGGUUUCAUCAUUUGCUCAUGCUUAUGAGGCAGAUGUUGUAACAAAGCUCACAAAUAAAAAACUACUAUACUUUGACGCACCAAUUUACCUUCAAAACAAGACACAGAACGAUAAAGUUGAUGAAAUAUUUGGCCUCAUUAAUGAAUCUAAUUUUUUAUUAAAAUGAUGGAAGAAAUUGUGGCCAUCUCGUAUUCAGCAGGCGAGAAGUUCUACAUUGACCCGACUAAGUUUUUGCUGCUUUCAAGAUUUCUUCCACAGCCAAAACGACAAGCACAAACUAGUGGUAGAGGGGGAGAAAAAGGUGGUGGGAGAGGUGGACGUGGCGGUGGCUACUUUCACAGAAGGGGUGCUCCAAGUGGAAGAGAUGGUCCUCGAGGCGGUGGUCGUGGUGGAGGUUUCAGGGGUAGAGGGAGAUCAUAGAAUGACUGUAUUUGUGCUUUUCUUCUUUUAGUUCUCCAUCCAAGGUGUUUCCGAAUCAAACAGAACAAUAAAAAUGACGAAUUUUUGUCUUAAAGUAAUUUUGUUAUUUUCAAUUGGGCUGCUGUAAAAUUAUCUUACUCGAGUUCGGAUUUUAUUGCAUUAUUAUAUACUUUUGUUAAAUUUAAUAAUAAUAAUAAUAAUAAUAAUAAUAAUAAUAAUAAUAAUAAUAAUAAUAAUAAUAAUAACUUAAAUUGAAUCCUAGCACUGAUUGGAUAAAACCACAUAAAAGUAGUUUAGGAUAAACAAAAGAGUUAUGCAGACAAUCAAAGAAAACAAUUGAAUUUUGAAGUUAGUGAAAAUGUCUUGUGAAAGUAACACCUAUGAAGGGUGUAUUAAGAUAUGGUAAGAAAGCAAGUUGAGACCAUGGUAUAUGGUACCUUUCAAAAUUCUUGAUAAGGUUGAUAACGUAGCGUAUCUGUUACCUCUACCUUCCGAACUAUCUAUUGUACAUAAUGUAUUUCACGUCUAUGAUAAGAAAAUAUGUGCAGGAUCCAAGUCACAUGGUAAAUUAUUAAAUAUUAGAUGUUCAAAAAGAUCGAUUUUACAAAGAAGUUCGAAUUGCCAUUUUGGAUAGAAAGGUACAGCAAUUAAGGGCUAAAAAAAUUAUAUUGGUCAAGGUUCGAUGAUGACAUCACGUGAUAGAGGUGGUUACUUGGGAAACGGAAGUAAAAAUUAAAGCCAAGUAUUUGACAUUGUUUGUUUAAUUUAAGGUAAUUUAAAGGACGAAAUUUUUUAAGGUGUAGAUGAUGUAAGUCUCGAAUUUUAUAUUCUUAAAAUGGUUGAUGUGAUCUAUUUAAGAAACGAGCUAUGGUGGUUUGACCCAUUUAAUGUAAUGCAAACCUAAGACAUAAGUUAUUUAAGACUCCAAAGAUUUAAGACAUUCAGUUUAAAUAAAUUCGAUUACAAAAGUUAAAUGAGUAAUUGGGUUGUUACAAUAGUUAUCGGUACGAUAUUGCUCAUAGGAAACUUAGGUUUGAAUCACCAUAUAAAUGUUUUUAUAAAUAUUUUGGAGUUAAAAACUCUUCAUUCUACACAUUAAGAAUAAUUAUAUCAAAUUAAUUGGAUGGACUAAGUUUUUUGUUAGUGGGCAUUAAUAGAGAUAGGUUAUAAAUCAUAUAAAGUACUCAUUUUCCUCCAUUUUUUAUCAUAUAAAUGUUUUAUUAAAAAAACUAUAAGAAUUAAUUUUGUGUGAGCUUAAAACUCAAUAAAUUUCUACUUAAUGACUCAACCCCUGUAUGAUAAUAAUUAUUUUGAGAAAAUUGAGUUUUGAAUAGUAAGUUUUUGGAUAAUGAGUGGUUAAAAAGCAUGAAAUUUUUUUGAUUUACAUGAAAAAUAUUUUAUUAUAUAAAUGUGUAAUUGAAAACGAGUAUGAGAAUUAAAGAAUUUGAAGUAAUGGUUGUCAAACAAGGUUUCAAUUUAACCGUGUUAAUGAUGAUAUAACUCUCCCAUUUAGUUUUUCACUAAAAGGGAUGUUACAAGAAGAAGAAUGUCAAUUUUUUAUCCCGCAUCUCCUCAAAUCCGAAUUUGUCCUUAUUUUAGUUAAGUUAAUCUCUAAUGAAUAAUAAAGGUGUGAAAGAGAAAUGCUUUUAGACAUUUUAUUCCUUUAUAUUUCAAGAAAUUCAAAUUAGGUGGUGCUAAGUAUUUACCCAUUUUGUUCAUUAUACUCUCACACACACUAGUAAUGUAUAUUAGAAUUUUUGAAGUUAUGAACAAAGAGGUUUAUAUAUGGCCAUAACUGAUUUCCACAAUCCAAAGGAAUUCUUUGGAAUCAUGAAUUUGCCUACAUUCAUCUACAUGAAAUGUUAAAUUCUUUUCUAUCACUUUAUAUAUGUAUCUUCGUGUGUGCGUGCGUGUGUGUAAUCUAAAGGGUUCUACUGAGCUUAUAGUCCACAACUUCUAUGUUGAAAAAAUUUUAAGAUUAAAUGAUGGUUGAGGAAGUGGGAUUCACGUAGAUUGUGGAGGAUCUGAUGGAGAAAUGUGCUUCAUUUGCGUAAUUAAGCAAAUUUGAAGAAUUUGUAGUUCAAACAAGUUAUACAACUUAUAUUUAAUUUCUAAAAGAUGUUAGUUUAUAUUUGCUUUUUAAAAGACUUCUUAGUUCUCUUUCUUGAUGCAAACAUUGAAAUUUGAAUUGGUUUAAGUAUGUAUAUAAUUAGAGUUGAUAAAGAAGUUAAGAUUAAACCUUAGACUUUUAAACAAUAAAUUGCAUGAAAUUUGACGCACCAUCUUGGACAGAACUUUUUGAGUUUUUGGACAAAACUAGUACGAUUUGAAAGCCCUAUAAAUCCUUUGUAUGUUGGUUUUAGAAUCAAGUCAAUUGAAGGUCGAUAGGGCAAUUUAUGCCCCUUUUCUAUGUGUUGUGUUUAGUGUACCCAAAAACAGUUUUUCAUAUGUUUGAGGGCUUAAAUGAUGUUAGAAAAUUUUAAAAUUUUACUAUGCAAUACUUGAAUGAGUUUAAAAAAAAUAAUUGUAAAGAUUUCAUAGAAUUAUGAAUUUGAAAAAUGCAACCAAGCUUGAUCAUUGGGUAGUGCAUCGCUCGAUUUAACUCCAUUAAUAUACACUAACCUUCAUUUUAGUGCUCCGUUUUAAUUUCAUUAUUUAAAAAUCAAAGUUAUCUACCUUAAAUCAUUUAUUUCCAAUAAUUUUUGAAACUUGUAAUAGAACAUAAUGGUAAACUAGAAAAUAAAAAGGAAAUUAAUCAAAAAUUUAGUGGAUUACACGUAUAUAUUCACCAACGGCGUGGAUCGCCUUUUAAGAGAGUACUGUGCGGUAUCCAUGUUGUGUUUAAAUUACAAUCUAAAAAUGAAUUAACAAGCAAAUUCGACAAGAGAAAUUGUGUUUUAAGAGACUCCUAACUUUUCUUUUCUUUUCUAAUUGUACAUUCUCUUAAAAAUUACGUUUUACAAAAUUUACUCAAAAAAAUUUAUAUCAAAUAAAUCCUAUGUAAAAGGUAGAAGUUAAUGAAAAAAAUACAUAUAUACAGAUGUGUUAAAUAGAAUCUUGUAAUCUUUAAUCCAUUCUUAAAUUACCAAAAUAUUGAGUGGAUUACAUGUAUCUAUUGAUCAAUGGCAUCGAUCAUCUUUUAAGAGAGUAACGUGCAAUAUCCGUGUUAUGUCUAUUUUACCUUCUAUUAUGACUAGCCUUUGCCCGUGCAAUGCAUGUGUAAUGUCUUAAUUUAAAAUAAGUCAAAAAAAAAGGUCAAAGACAUCAAGCCAAAAGAAAAAAAACGAUAAAAUAAUAAUAAAAUAAUUAGGCGGUGGAUUGAUUGUUGUAUAUCAAUCCAUUUUGGGCCAAAUCCAUUUAAAAAACACACCACACACACUGGAAAGAAACGAGGUAGAGAAAAAAGAAAGGAAAAAGAAGGGAAAAAAAUAGGAGAAGAGGAAGGGAAAAAAAUAGGAAAGUUCGCCUAUAUUGUUAGAAAUAAGUGAUCUACAUUAUUAGGCUUGAAUUCUUCAAUUUUGAAAGGUAAGUAAAAAGUUACUUAUUGUCAAGUUAUGUUUGAUUUUAUAGUUGUUAGAUUGUUAGAUUAAAUUCAAUUUUAUUGAAGGUGUUAAGUAUAAUUGAGUAAGAUGAAAGAAAAACUAGUUUUAGUGAUUAAAGAGACUUUAGAAAUCGCUUAAAUGUGAAAUGAUUAAGUUUGAGUAUCACCUAUUUAAUUAUUGAAAUUACUUAAAAUAAUUAUUUGUUGAUUUAAAAAUUAUAUCAUAUUUCAGGCGGCGAUACAGAUAUCGAGAUAACUUACCAACUGAGUUGAUUUUUGCGAACAUAGUUUUGUGAGUAGAAAAAUAUAAAUAUUUUUAAAAUAUUUAUAAAUUAAGUAUAUUAUCAAAAUAUAUGCAAUUAUAUGAAUUAUUUGCUUCAUUAUGUGAUUACAAUGAAAGUUUCUUUUAUUAUGAUACAUGUGGGAUUUCAAAGAUUGUAUAUGGUACAUUGUGAAUUGGAAUAUGAGAUAUGAUUUUGAGAUCGAUCAGAAAAGUACCCGUGAUUAUAUAUUUCUUCUAAUUCACUGAGGAGCCUUGGUCGUAUUCUAUACUGCACUGAGGGGUCUUGGACUGGGGAUGAAGGGGUCUCGACCGUGUACAUAUAGUUUACUGAGGGGCCUUGACCAUGUUCUAAAAUUGAUUACCAGAGGUCUUUGAGACCGACUUUCGUUCAAGGAGGGACCAAAGGCCCGUGGCGAAGGUUCUUAGCCCGAGGGACGGAUUACAGAUUUUAAUCAGAUGGUACAUUUUUGGUGAAUUUUUCAGUACCUUCGAUGUGAUGAGAUUAUAGCAUAAUUACCAGCUUAUGUUUAUAUCAUGAUUUUGAGAUGAUAUUUUAUGACCAUAUGUGAAUAUUUCACUUUUGGCUAUAAUUAUAUGAUAUUAUCUUGCGAGUUGUCAAUGAUGUGAACUCGAUUUUCAAUAAAAAUGUAAAAAUGAAAAUAGUAUAAUUAUUUUCGAACUUCUCAACUCACUGAGCUAUCAACUCACAUAUUUUUCCGUAAUUCUUCUACAAGUAGCAAUUGGUUCUUUUUAGCUGGAAGAGCCUAAUGAUUUUGGAAUGAGAGCCACACGACAUGUUGAACAUUAUAACUCACAUUGAUGAAGCACGAAAUAAAUAUUUUGAGCCCAUUGCAUUAUGUUUUAUAUAAGCAUUUGAUUUUAUUGCAUUUUUUGAAAUAACUCUCAGUUAGCCUUGGUGAUAGAUUUGACAUCUAGUCAGCAUCUAUCAUUGACGUACAUCACGUUUCGGGUCCACUAGGGUGAUUCGGGACCGAUCUUGUCAAAGUGGUAUCAGAGCAUGGUUAUAAAGUUUUGAAAGUCCUUGUAGUUCAUGCAUUGACAUAUCAUGCAUAUUCGGUGCAUAUGGUUACAUGUCGUGGUGGUAGAAAUCAUAAGCUCUCUAGCUUACAUGUAUAGAACCCAAAAUAAUAGAAAAAUAUUUUUUUUAGCAGAUUUAGAAAUAAUUAGUAUGUAAGUAUGGUAGUUGUAAUGAUCUGAUGGUUGGAAAUGUUCUUAGUUAUUGGAUUGGAACUAUGUGUAUAUAUAACCUGUUAAAAUUUGAAUAGAUUGUGAUGAUUUUGCAGGGCAUUCGAAGUUACAGAUGUUACAAUCACUUAAUUAUCAAUUUAUUUGCAGAACUAUAUGAUUUUUUUUUAUGUGUACAUAGGAAAAUUUUUAGUUAUAGCUUGCACGAUAAAUAUAGAAAAAUUAUAUGAUGUGGGAUUGGUGAUAAUCAGUGAGGAAUUUUAAUUAUUUUUGAAGUCAAAUGGUCUUUAGUGUUGUCAAAAUCUUGUGGUGAUUUGUGGCCACUUAUAUGGGAUGAUAAUAGAAAUCAUAAUGGUGUAUAUUUAUGCUAUAUGAUAGAAAAUUGUGGAAGACAAAAUGAUGAUUUGUUGAUUGAUAGAUGACAAUGUGUUAUUGUGUAUUUUAGGCAUUGAAGAAAUUAAAUAAUGUGUUAUUGUGUAUUUUAGGCAUCCAGGAAAUUAACGUAAUUCCAAUUAUUUCGAUUAUUUAUGAGUGGUUUGAUUACAAGGAAUGUGAGAAUAAUAGGAAUGAACUUCAUAAUGAUUACCUAUUAUGGGAUGAUUUGUUGCUUUAAAAAUAGAAUUAAAUGGAUAUGUGCAUUUAGGUAUGUUUAUGUGAGAAAAAAAAAUAGAGAAUGGUAAAAUUGGAAUUUAUUGAGUUUGGAAAAUUAACGUAUGAAAUCUUGAUGAUAUAUUGAUGUAUGAAAGGUUCACAUGAUAAAUAUGAAAGUUAUUAUUAUGUGAUCUUAAGGAAAAUUGAUAUAACUAAAAGUUGAAAGACAUAUGGCAUGGCCAUAAGUAUGUGAUGAGGUUAUAUGAUUACAACAUGAUAUGGUCAAUAGCAUGUAAAUGAAUGUAAUGACUGUCCUACAGCAAAAUAAUGUGAUGAAAGAUUUGGGUUAUUAAGUUAAUUAAUUUUUUAAGGCCAUUUGUUGGAGUAUUGUGUUAUAUUCCAUAGAAUUUGAAAGCUUUGAGUUAAAUUUUAAAGUUAAGAUGAAUUUAUUGAAAUUUUAGUGAUGUAAUUUUUGGGUUGUUUUCAAUUGUAUGGAUCAUGAAUAAAGUAUUCCAUUUUUAUCAAAAUAUAUUUGUUAAGGAAUAUAAGUAAGACAUGUUGGCUAUGUCUAAAGUCUAAGAUGAUCAUCAUAUAAAUUUAUUCCAAUUGUAGAACGGUAUCUUUAGGUUAUACUCUUUAUUGAAGGUCUUGUGCGAUAAACAAGAAAGCUUAUGCAUUGGUGAUAGGCUGAUGGUCUCUUUAUGGAAUAAGAGAAUAGAAUUAUGAUGGAUUAAUUGUUCUCAUGGAAAGAAAGAGCAUCAAAAUUGUGUGGAUUUAAGGAUGUAAAAAGUGUUGCUAUCAGAUUAAAUUGUGAGGAAACAUUUACUCUUGGAUCAAAAGUUGAUGAGGAUUUGAUUUAUGAUAAUGGAUUAUGUUAAGGUAUAGAGUGUGUUCUGAAGUAAAAUGAUGAAUUAUGAAUUAUAUUAUAGAUUGUUAAAGAGACAUGAUUAAAACAUGAUUUAGUGUUGUUUACAUUGGGAUUAUGUCAUCACAUUGCGAGAAAUAUUAAUACAUAUCAAUCAUCAAAGUUUAAGAUAUAUUUUAUUCGAAAUGGUGGAAAUGGAAAUUGUGUAUAUAUUAUCAUUGGGUGAUAUAUAAUUAAAGAAAAAAACACCAUAUUGAGUUAUCUGAAUUGUUUGUUGGGGAUAACUAGAAUUUUAGAAAAUCAUGAACAAUUGAAUUUUUGGAGAUAUUGUCAAUUUAGAAUGGGGAUAGUUAUCCUCAAAUAUUUUUGUUUGGGGAUUCCAAAUACACGGAAUGGAGAGAAAAUAGUAUUUAAAUCAUUGUGAAUAGAUUGAUAAACGUUACAAGAUUCUUUUAAAUGAUAUAGUCAUUUAAUAGGAUAAAUUUAUAAAAUUAUAUUUAGACAGUAUUGUUAAUUACAUUGUGGAAUUGGAGUAUUUAUUUUUGGUUAGUUGUAAGUUAUAAAAUUUGAAUUACAUUGUGCAUCUUCUUUUGAUAGAAUAUUAGACACUAUGAAGACAAGUUUUAAAGAGAGGCUAUCAACUAUGGUUGGUUAAUUAAAGGAGACUGAGAUAAUUAUUUGUUUUUCAUGGAAUUGACAUAUAAAAACUAGAGACAAGUGAGGAUAAUUGAGGUUAUAUAUAUUAUUGAAAUAUUUCAAGGACGUAUGACGAAAUGGGAGAAAGAAUGCUAUUCGAUCUUAUUAUGUAACUACUGUUAUGGAAAAAGAAUUUGAUUAGAGGAUAGUUUAAAUUUGACGUAAGAUAAAGAUUUUGAGAAUAUGAAAAGUAGUAUCUUGAACUUCAAAUUGGAAAAUAAUUGAGUCCACCUAAUGGUUGGGAAAAGGAAAAGAUGAGAAUAUCAUAUAUUAGCUCUUAGGAAGUUAUUAAAGGUACGAUAGGAAAGAUUAAAUUUUGGGACUACAAGUUUGUUGGAGUAAUCGUUCAAUAGAUGAGACAUUAUGGCAAGUGAGGAUGAAAUGUGUUCUCUAUAUAUAAUACACGUGCGAAUCUUAGUUAAUAGAAUUUCAAGGACAAAAUUUUUUUAAAGGGGUGAGUUUUGUAAUGUCUUAAUUUAAAAUAAGUCAAAAAAAAAGUUCAAAGACGUCAAGCCAAAAGAAAAAAAAAACAAUAAAAUAAUGAUAAAAUAAUUAGGUGGUGGAUUGAUUGUUGUAUAUCAAUCCAUUUGAAGCCAAAUCCAUUUAAAAAACACACCACACACAUUGGAAAGAAACGAGGCAGAGAGAAGAGGAAGAGAAAGGAAAAAAAAGGAAAAGAGGAAGAAAAAAAUAGGAAAGUUCGCCUAUGUUGUUAGAAAAUAAGUGGUCUACAUUAUUAGACUUGAAUUCCUCAAUUUUGAAAGGUAAGUAAAAAGUUACUUACUGUCAAAGUUACGUUUGAUUUUAUAAUUGUUAGAUUGUUAGAUUAAAUUCAAUUUUAUUGAAAGGGUUAAGUAUAAUAAACUAUGAAAUUGAGUAAGAUGAAAGAAAAACUAAUUUUAGUGAUUAAAGACACUUUAGAAAUCAUGUAAACUUGAAAUGAUUAAGUUUAGGUAUCGCCUAUUUAAUUAUUGAAAUUACUUAAAAUAAUUAAUUAUUGAUUUAAAAAUUAUAUCAUAUUUCAGGCGGCGAUACGAACAUCGAGACAACUUACCAACUAAGUUAAUUUUUGCGAAAAUAGUUUUGUGAGUGGAAAAAUAUAAAUAUUUUUAAAGUAUUUAUAAAUUAAGUAUAUUAUCAAAAGGGUAAUUGGCACAAAACGUCCUUACCUUUCAAGUCUAUUAUGGAAAACGUCCCUACCUUUCAUUUUUUGGCAUUUUUGCCCUCAUUUCAACCUUUCUUUGCGCUGGACGUCCUUCCGUCCAUAUUCCGUUAGUUUUUCCGUUAAUUAAAAGGUAAUUGGCACAAAACGUCCCUACCUUUCAAGUCUAUUGUGGAAAACGUCCCUACCUUUCAUUUUUUGGCAUUUUUGCUCUCAUUUCAACCUUUCUUUGCGCUGGACGUCCUUCCGUCCAUAUUCCGUCAGUUUUUUCGUUAAUUAAAUACAAAAAUACCUUUUUCUUUCCAUAAACAAGGAUAAAAUUGUCCUCACCCACUUCACCCCUUUUUCCCGCCAUCAACUUGUCCAUAAGUAACAGUAGCAGCGACAUGAAUCUGAAAAUACUUUAAAUGAUUAAGUUAAAUAAAGAAAAAAUAUCGUGAACACAUUAUAUUUCACAAUUCCACAACUACUAUUGCUGUCAUCUGGUGUCACUGGAAAAUUUUAGAAAGACAUAUUAAAUGAGUAGUUAAUUUAUAAUGAGCCAAAAUGGUGAAUGGCUCUUUUUGGCUCAAUGGAGAAGAUGAAUGGGUUACUUAUGGACUAAGUUGAUGGCGGGAAAAAAGGGUGAAGUGGGUGAGGACAAUUUUACCCUUGUUUAUGGAAAGAAAAAGGUAUUUUUGUAUUUAAUUAACGGAAAAACUGAUGGAAUAUGGACGGAAGGACGUCCAGCGCAAAGAAAGGUUAAAAUGAGGGCAAAAAUGCCAAAAAAUGAAAAGUAGGGACGUUUUCCACAAUAGACUUGAAAGGUAGGGACGUUUUGUGCCAAUUACCCGAAUGUUUAACAGAAAAACUGACGGAAUAUGGACGGAAGGACGUCCAGCGCAAAGAAAGGUUGAAAUGAGGGCAAAAAUGCCAAAAAAUGAAAGGUAGGGACGUUUUCCACAAUAGACUUGAAAGGUAGGGACGUUUUGUGCCAAUUACCCAUUAUCAAAAUAUAUGCAAUUAUGUGAAUUAUUUGCUUCAUUAUGUGAAUACGAUGAAAGUUUUUUUUAUUAUGAUACAUGUGGGAUUUCAAAGAUUGUAUACGGUACAUUGUGAAUUGGAAUAUGAGAUGUGAUUUUGAGAUCGACUAGAAAAGUACCCGUGAUUAUAUAUUUCUUCUAGUUCAUUAAAAGGUCUUGGUCGUGUUCUAUACUACACUGAGGGGUCUUGGACUGGGGAUGAAGAGGUCUCGACCGUGUACAUAUAAUUCACUGAGAGGCCUUGGCCGUGUUCUAGAAUUGAUUACCAGAGGUCUAUGAGACCAACUUUCGUUCACGGAGGGACCAAAGGCCCAUGGCGAAGGUUCUUAGCCCGAGGGAUGGAUUACAGAUUUUAAUCAAAGGGUACAUUUUUUGUGGAUUUUUCAGUACAUUUGAUGUGAUGAGAUUAUAGCAUAAUUACCAUCUUAUGUUUAUAUCAUGAUUUUGAGAUGAUAUUUUACGACCAUAUGUGAAUAUUUCACUUUUGGCUAUAAUUAUAUGAUGUUAUCUUGCGAGUUGUCAAUGAUGUGAACUCGAUUUUCGAUAAUAAUGUAAAAAUGAAAAAAGUAUAAUUAUUUUCGAACUUCUCUACUCGCUGAACUAUCAACUUAUAUAUUUUCCCGUAAUUAUUCUACAGGUAGCAAUUGAUUCUUUUUCGCUGGAAGAGUCUAAUGAUUUUGGAAUGAGAGCCACAUGACAUGUUGAACAUUAUAACUCACAUUGAUGAAUCACAAAAUAAAUAUUUUGGGCCCAUUGCAUUAUGUUUUUCAUAAGCAUUUGAUUUUAUUGCAUUUUUUGAAAUAACUCUUAGUUAACCUUGGUAAUAGAUUUGAUAUCUAGUCAGUAUCUAUCAUCAGCGCACGUCACGUUUCGGAUCCACUAGGGUGAUUCGAGACAGCUCGUGUCAGCAUGGGUUGGAUUAUUUUGAACGUAAUGCUAAUGUGUUAAAUAUGUUGGGUUAUAGUGUGUCACUUUCAUCAUUUACAUUGAUAGAUGAUAAAAGAAUCAUUUAUCAUACUCUAUUAACUUAUACAAAUUGCAUUAUAAUUAUAAUUGAUAGUAUGUAAUUAUCUAGCUAUUCAGAAAUCAAAUGUAUAAAUAUCAAACCACGAGCAUUUAUAGUAUGGAAUUCAAUUCUUUCUUCCACGUCGACUUUUUCUCUGGACACAAAGGCUCUAGUUUCAAAUGCUAGCCGAACAUCGAAGCUACAUGACAAAAGUUAAUGAGAUUUGUUUUUUUUUUUUUCAAAAGUAUGAAGGACUCUUUUAAAAUGUUAGUUGGGCUACAAUAUUUGAAAUAGUAGCAUAAAUAUUUGUCAUGUCAUUUGAAAUAGUUACUAAGGUUUGCUAUAUGGCAUUCAAAAUAGUCAUUGCAGCUCAAAAAAUGAAGAAAAAUUAACAGACCAAGUCAAAAUACUUAGCAAACACCAAACGUUAUAUCUCUACUCACGAGAUAUUAAGAAUAAUAACCCACUUUAUAAGAUACUGAUAUGAACACUCCCGAGGCCCUGGCUGCAAAAUAAAAGAAAGUUAGAGCAUCAGCCAGCAUAAUUUCUAAAGUUCUUAGUUCGGCAUAGAUAAGAUUUAACAAUAUCACGCAUUUUUAAACAAUAAUGAAACACGCUGAAUGCAAAUAACAUAGAAAACUAAAAAAACAAUCAAUAACCACCAAAUUUUUUUUGCCCAAAUCGCAUAUCCUAUCCUUUCAAUUAAUCGACUAAUGUAGAUUGUCUUCUCACUUCAUACUGUAGUUUCCUUCUCAAGAUCUCUCCUUCGACCCUCUGAGUUUCAAUAUCUCAGAUUUUGAGAAUCAGUGUGGUAGGGUUUUCUUUGUCAUAGAGAAAUGAAAGCGAGAGAGAGCAAAACCCACUUUUAAGGGACAUUUUGUGAACCGGUUAAUAAAUAGUACAAACCAAACAAGUGUGAAAACUCAAGUGACAAGAAUGAAUGUCGAUCCCAACUCCAUCUUUUAAGAGUUUUUUAUUUUUAUUUUUAAAUUAAAUAUUAAUAAAAAUAUUACACUAUCUAGAAUGUAAAAAGUUCCUUAUAAGUAAAAAAGCACUUCGAGUUAUUUAAAAGUAAUAAAAGAUUUAUAAUUGUAAAAGCUACUUGUAUGAAAAAAAUAUUAAUUCCUCAUUCUCUUAUAAUUGCAAAAGCUACUUAUAAGUAAAAAUAUAUUAACUUAACAUUUUUUAAAGUAUAAAUAUUUAGAUAUAUUUAAUUUAUUAAAUUAAACAUUAAUAAACAGAUUACACUAACUAGAAUGUAAAAAGUUACAUAUAAGUUUAAAAAAAAUCACUUCAAGUUAUUUAAAAGUAAUAAAAAAUUAUAAUUGUAAAAGCUACUUGCAAAUAAAAAAAAAUAUUAAUUUCAACAUUUUUAAGUACAAAUUUAGAUAUAUUUAAUUUUUUAAAUUAAAUAUUAAUAAAAAUUUACUAUAAGUAAAAUUUUAAAAAGAAAAAAAAAACAUCGUGCAUGGAGUGAAACUCACUCCGUGCACGAAGUGUUAACACUCCGUGUAUGGAGCCAGCACAGAAUGUUGUAUGGAGUGGCUCCACGCACGGAGUGUUGAAUGGAGUGUUAAAAUGUUUGUUUGUUUAUUUGUUUUUUAAAGUAAUUUUUUUAGUAAUAUUUAAUUUAAAAAAUAAAUAUAUCUAAAUAUUUACUUAAAAAUAUUGAAGUUAAUUUUAUUUUAUCUAUAUAAGUAACUUUUACAAUUAUAAAUUUUUCAAUUACUUUUAAAUAAUUUGAAGUGACUUUUUUACUUAUAAGUAACAUUUUACAUUCUAGAUAGUGUAAUCUUUUUGUUAAUAUUUAAUUUAAAAAACUAAAUAUAUCUAAUACUCAUACUUAAAAAAUUUUAAGUUAAUAUAUUUUUUUAUUUAUACGCUGCUUUGCAAUUAUAAGAGAAGGAGGGAUUGGUAUUUUUUUACCUGUAAAUAAAUUUUAUAAUUAUAAUUUUUUUAUUACUUUUAAAUAACAUGAAGUGCUUUUUUUACUUAUAAGUAACUUUUUACAUUUUAGAUAGUGCAAUCUUUUUAUUAAUAUUUAAUUUAANNNNNNNNNNNNNNNNNNNNNNNNNNNNNNNNNNNNNNNNNNNNNNNNNNNNNNNNNNNNNNNNNNNNNNNNNNNNNNNNNNNNNNNNNNNNNNNNNNNNNNNNNNNNNNNNNNNNNNNNNNNNNNNNNNNNNNNNNNNNNNNNNNNNNNNNNNNNNNNNNNNNNNNNNNNNNNNNNNNNNNNNNNNNNNNNNNNNNNNNNNNNNNNNNNNNNNNNNNNNNNNNNNNNNNNNNNNNNNNNNNNNNNNNNNNNNNNNNNNNNNNNNNNNNNNNNNNNNNNNNNNNNNNNNNNNNNNNNNNNNNNNNNNNNNNNNNNNNNNNNNNNNNNNNNNNNNNNNNNNNNNNNNNNNNNNNNNNNNNNNNNNNNNNNNNNNNNNNNNNNNNNNNNNNNNNNNNNNNNNNNNNNNNNNNNNNNNNNNNNNNNNNNNNNNNNNNNNNNNNNNNNNNNNNNNNNNNNNNNNNNNNNNNNNNNNNNNNNNNNNNNNNNNNNNNNNNNNNNNNNNNNNNNNNNNNNNNNNNNNNNNNNNNNNNNNNNNNNNNNNNNNNNNNNNNNNNNNNNNNNNNNNNNNNNNNNNNNNNNNNNNNNNNNNNNNNNNNNNNNNNNNNNNNNNNNNNNNNNNNNNNNNNNNNNNNNNNNNNNNNNNNNNNNNNNNNNNNNNNNNNNNNNNNNNNNNNNNNNNNNNNNNNNNNNNNNNNNNNNNNNNNNNNNNNNNNNNNNNNNNNNNNNNNNNNNNNNNNNNNNNNNNNNNNNNNNNNNNNNNNNNNNNNNNNNNNNNNNNNNNNNNNNNNNNNNNNNNNNNNNNNNNNNNNNNNNNNNNNNNNNNNNNNNNNNNNNNNNNNNNNNNNNNNNNNNNNNNNNNNNNNNNNNNNNNNNNNNNNNNNNNNNNNNNNNNNNNNNNNNNNNNNNNNNNNNNNNNNNNNNNNNNNNNNNNNNNNNNNNNNNNNNNNNNNNNNNNNNNNNNNNNNNNNNNNNNNNNNNNNNNNNNNNNNNNNNNNNNNNNNNNNNNNNNNNNNNNNNNNNNNNNNNNNNNNNNNNNNNNNNNNNNNNNNNNNNNNNNNNNNNNNNNNNNNNNNNNNNNNNNNNNNNNNNNNNNNNNNNNNNNNNNNNNNNNNNNNNNNNNNNNNNNNNNNNNNNNNNNNNNNNNNNNNNNNNNNNNNNNNNNNNNNNNNNNNNNNNNNNNNNNNNNNNNNNNNNNNNNNNNNNNNNNNNNNNNNNNNNNNNNNNNNNNNNNNNNNNNNNNNNNNNNNNNNNNNNNNNNNNNNNNNNNNNNNNNNNNNNNNNNNNNNNNNNNNNNNNNNNNNNNNNNNNNNNNNNNNNNNNNNNNNNNNNNNNNNNNNNNNNNNNNNNNNNNNNNNNNNNNNNNNNNAUUGUACGGUAGUCGAAUCAAUAAAUCUUCUAUAUUCUCUCGAAACUCAUUUCGAGAACUAUAUUAUAGACACAUCGAAUGAUCUAAAUGAAUAUCGAAAAUAAUUAAACAUGUAUCAAACAUGUGUGUUAAAAAAUACGUAUAAUUCGUCUUUUUCUUAAAAAAAUCAAUUAUUUUAUUAAUAUUUAUUAUUUUUUCUCCACAAUUUUCUCAAAAAAUUACUUCAAUUAAUUUAAAAGUAAAAAAACUUAUAAUUAUAAAACUUAUUUAUAAGUAAAAAAUAUUAAAUUAAAUUUUUAAGUAAAUAUGUAGAUAUAUUUAAUUUUUAAAAUAUAUUUUACACUAACACAUUUAUCUUAAUGAAAUUUGAUAAAAAUAAAAUAAAUAUAAAAAAGAUCUAUCUUUCCAAAACAUUGUUUCAUGCACAGAGAACAGAAAACCUCACAUUCUCAUUUUUUAAGAUAAAGAGGGAUUUUUUAAAAUUAAAUAUUUAUUAAUAAAAAAUUACUAUAAAUAAAUUUUUUUAAAAAUUAUCACCACUCCGUGCACGGAGUGGAAUCACUUCAUACACGGAGUGUUAUCACUCUAUAAAGGAGACAAACUCUCCUUUUGAAAGUAGAUAUUCUCUCAGUGGAUGGAGGGAUUCUCUCCGUCCACGGAGAGAUUUUUUUUUAUAAAUUUGAUCUUUUUCAAUUUUAAUUAAUUAAAUAAUAUUUAUGUAUUAUUUAUUUAAUUUUUGUAACUUUCUUUUAUUUUAUUUGUUUAAUAAAAUAAUCUUCAUACAUUCCUUAUGAUAUAAAGACUUUCGUUAAAUUUGAAUUAAAUAAUAUUUAUUUUUUCUUUAAAUCGUUUUAAUUCAAUUUAAAAACUUUAUAAUAAUUUUUUUUAUUUGCAAUUUUUUUAUAUAGUCUUUAUAUUUAAUUUCAUUUCUUUAUUAUAUAAUAUAUGAUAUUGCUUUAAUCAAGUAAAGUGGAGUGUAAAAAUAGAGAAAUAUUGUAGUGGAGGUGACAUCACAGUGAAACGACUGUGAAAAUGGUAAAACGGCGUGAAAAUAAUGCUACAGCACCAUUGAAUAGAAUAAUUUACUAUUGUCAAACCGAUUUUAAAUUAGUUUCGUGGAAAAACCUAUGUGACAAAAAUGAACAAUAAACUUCACAUUCUCUCUUUUAAGAUAAAGAGGGAAUUAACAAAUAAAUUGGGUAAGAGAAACUAGGUGUUAAUGGACUCCUAAAUUUUCUUCUUUUUUUUUCUUUUUUCAAGUAUACAUUUUCUAAAAAAAUACGUAUUGUGAAAUUUAUUCUUAGAAAAAUAUACAUAAAAUAAAUCAUUUUAAAAAGUUGAAGUUAAUGAAAAAAAAAUACAGAGGUGUUAGAUAGAAUCUCGUAAUCUUUGACCUACUCUAGAAUUACAAUAAUGUUUAUUGGAUUAUGUGUAUCUAUUGAUUAUCCAAGUUUAUCACUUUUUAAGAUAAUACAGUGCGGUAUUUUUGCUAUAUCUAAUAUACCUUCUAUAGAUGAAUUAACUAACAAAUUCAGCGAGAGAAAUUGUGUGUUAAUGGACUCCUAACAUUUCUUCUUCUUUAAAAAAAAUUGUACAUUCUAUAAAAAAUUACGUUUUAUGAAAUUUAUUCUAAAAUAUUUAGUGAAUUACAUGUAUCUAUUGACCAAUGACGUGGAUCAUUUUUCGAGGACUGUGCGACACUCGUGUUAUGUUUAAAUUAUCUUUUAUAGAUGAAUUAACAAACAAACUUAGCAAGAGAAAUUGUGCAUUUUUUUGUAUAGACAUGAGAAUCAAGCCGGACUAUUCUCUUAUGUACUAUUUGUUUCAGGAGGGCAUCUAACCCCCUUACUCCUCAUGACUUUUUGUCGAGUUUUCCAGGACUCAAACCCUUGACUUUUCUCUUAAGAAUGACUUAAGUUGAAUUCUAGUACCAAUUGAGUCGAUAAGAUGGGCUUUGGCCCUUUUAAAAGGACAGUAUGUAUGAUAUAACAGUUUAAGCACAAAGGUCAGAUCUUUACAUAUACAUAUGAAAUUUAUUCUAAAAAAAUUUAUAUCACACAAACCAAUUGUAAAUAGUAGAAUAAAAAAUAUAUAUACAGAUGUUUUAAAUAGAGUCUCGCAAUUUUUUACCCACUCCAGAAUUAUGAAAAUAUUUAGUGGAUACAUGCACUUAUUGAUCAAUCUUUUUAAGGGAGUACCGUGUGGUAUCUAUGUUAUGUCUAAUUUAUUUUUUAUAGAUGAAUUAAUAAACAACCUUCGUGAUAGAAAUUGUGUGUUAAUUAAGAUAUUAUAAUAAGAAAUUGUGUUUUAGUUUAUACAUUGGUUCUUUAUAAAAUUAAAGAAACAUUAUGUGGAGUUCGUUUUUCCUAAAUUGAAGUAUUGUUUCAUUAUAAAGGUUCUUUCUCGUUUUCAGUUGUACAAAUUCUUUAGGAUUAUCUUCACAGAAAGGUAGUAAAACGAGUGGACCUAACCCCAAGGAUUCUACUUUAUGAGGUUUGACAAAAUGUCCCAACCAUAUUUCAAUUUUUAAUAUGAUGUAUAAAGACUGUCAUCACAAAAAAGUAUUACAUCUUUGAUCUUAAUAUUGAAGUCUAUACUCAAUGUUAAAUAGUGGUCUACAUAGACAAGCUUCUGAUCGAGUUCAUAUUUUUUAUCCAAAAACCAUACAACUGCAUCGAUUUUUUGCCACUCUCGGAUCAGUGAAUCCAUCAGGAAGGAUUAAACCCAAAUCCUACUAACCAUUCCGAUCAAAACAAAACAUAGAAGAAAUUCACCAAAAAAUAAAACUUAAAAUGUCAGAGUACAAGUUAAGGACACAACGACACAAGAUAUGGUUACAAUGCUGCCUCCGUUUGAACUCAAGACGGAGAUGAUAGAGCCUUGUCUUUAAUACACGAAGGUUUUUUUGCGUUAUAGAAAAAAUGUGCAAUCAUCUGAACCAAAUCAUCUGCUGUUCUUGUUUCUGCAUAUUGUGAAGAACUUGUUAGUAAUGGAGCUAACAAAUGAGAGUAUAUAUUAUAUAACAAUUGAAGAGUUUAGUCUUCGCCUUUCUCCCUAUACAAUAUCCUGUUUCCACGUAAGAACAAAAUUUGUGGGCAUUCUUUAACUUUAAGAGCGUAGGCCAAAUCUCUCUCGAUGUUUAUAUCUAUCUUGACAGUCUAGUAAUGGAAAUUAAAGACAUAGGAUUAUAAUAAACAGAUUACGGAUAGGAAUAGAGGAAAAAAGGUGUCAAAAGAGGAGAUUCAUAUACCCGAGGAGGUAGUCGAUCCUUGGCUUCCCAGUACACCUUUGCUGCUUUUUCUAGUUCUUUCAAAACUUUCCAGUUAUCGCUUGCCCUGAAAUCAGUGACAGAUUUGGAUUACAUCUAGGCAAGUAUAGAUUAAAUGCACUACAUCAUGUUUUACAGAUUCCUUCUUUUCAAGAACUUUUACAGACCUGUUGUAUCUUUCGAAAACGAGAACAAUUAGUGGACUAGGAUGGAAAGCAAAGCUCUCCCACUCAAGACAAUUGAUCUCCUUCACUAAACCAUCAUCGAUCUCUCCCUCCCAGUCAAUUUCAGUACCAUCUUCGCCUACGACAUUUUUUAUAGGAUGUUGCUCGAAAUACUCUGAUGCUCUGAUCCCCCACCCAACGUCAGCAUCCAGAGGCCAAUUGGGAUUCUCCUCCUCUACCAUCAUCUCAUUUCCUCUUGAAUCAUCACCUUUCUCUUCAUCCCUGUCAUCAUCAUCUUCAUCACUGUUGCUAUUGGAAUCAACACCAUCAUCAACUUUAUCUUUCAUUACUUUAUCUUUCAGAAUAUCCGAAUUCUGCUGCCGGAUUGAUUCGAAAGUCCGUUCAAGCGAAUCACGCACAAAAUCCUCAACUGCAGCUGCUUCACUCCGACGACCACGCUUGGGCUUCUUAGAGAUCACUGUAGGGAACUUCCUUCCAGAAUUUUUAUCCUCCUCUCGAGGAACUUCAGUUUUCUCCUGCCGAGCUCUUCCUUUUGGCUUCAAACUAGGACUCUGACUACGAUUCUUGUCGGGUUUUGCAUCAGAAUUCUUUGAACUGGAAAUGCAUACAAAUCGUUUUCCAGUGUAUUUGGAUUUCACAGUCGAUGGAAACAAGAGGAAAUUCGAAUGGCAACAAGAAUUUGUUGUUUCAUGGAGAGACAAUACUGACAAAGAAUGAACACCAGAAUUAUUAUGUAACGCCGAAAGGAACAUCUUUUUAUUCCUCACUUGGAACAAUUCAACCUGUGAUCUUCCUCAGAACACCAAAACUCUCUGGUCAAAUCUCAUGACAGAAAGACAGAACCUGUUGAAGUCGUCAGUAACUUUCCUUCUUUCUUCCGUCCAAGAGGCUGACAUAAGGACAGGGGAACACGUAAAUCAUUGAAAUUCGGAGCAAUUACAUGGACAACUUUCACUAAACAGACAUUAAGAAUAUAGCUGUAGGAAUUGUACGAAAAUGAAGCAAAAACUACAGGGCCAGACUAAUAUCAUUACGCCAAACAUUUCACUUAAUUAACAACAAGCAAGAAAGGAAAAAACAUCAAUAAUAUGAAAAAAGGAAAUCUAAGACAUCAGUUAAUGGAACCCACUUUAAGUACGUUUUUAAAUUCAAGAUUUACUUGUUAACGUUAACGAGAAAUUAAACAGUUCUUAAUCAGACAAAAAAUCAAACACCUGGCAUGCAACUAACAACGGAAUCAUAAAUGACAAAUCCUAACAUGGGAAAUUCAAGAUAAUCAAACUUCUCUUCGCAUGUAUACGUGGGUGCAUACAUUCCAUUUACACAGAGAUACAUACGGGGCGAGAGAGAGAGAGACACUUUUAGAAGUCAAAGCGCACAAAUAAUUUUUGAGUUUAUAAAACCCUUAAAUCACCAAAAUAGGGGCUUUCUAAAAGUACCUUAAAAGGUUCUAUUUCCACAAAUAUAGAAAGAAAUGGCAUUUUAGGAUCUUUUCUAUAUUAUAUGGAUUUCUUUUCUUUUUUUUCUCAAUUUUUCGUCCCAGAUUUAUGGGGACAAAAUUGUCCAAGUACUCAUCAAUUUACGAAUAUUAUUUUUAAAACUUGAUUUUUUUGAACUCGUACUCUUACUUAGUUAUUUGAAGUCUAACAAGACGAGUGUACAUAAUGAAGGCACGUUUCAUUGACAGAUUAUCGUAACUUCAUAUGUGUUACAAAAUGAAAUUGUAAUUAUUAAAAAAAUUAUUAGUUAAAUAGAAGAAGAAAAAAUCCCAUUAAUUAUCGAUGUUGAUUUGUUUCUAUUUUUAAUUUUUACAAAUACUAGUGCAAUUUAAUUAAAGUACUUCCAAACACCCUGAUAGAAAUGCAAGAUGAAAUUACAGUUCUACCCUUAUUAUUAACAAAAGGAAACACUUUGAGUUAGGAGUCAACUGCCAUUAAAUCAAAUGUCACACUAUUUUACGCCAAAUUUUGAUCCAUUCACAUUAGGGACUUUAGGGACCUGGCUUUAAUGGGCUUUCGGGCCCUCUUCCUCCUACUCUCGCUCUCGCUAUUCUCCUCGUCUUCCUCAUCCUCGAUAUCAGAUUCUUCAAUGUCAAUUUGAGAUGAUGAUGAUUGUGCCAUUUCAUGUUGUUGAUCGAUAUUUUUAGACACGUCUCGACUACCGCUAAUCUGAUUUUUCUCGCCUCUUUUUUUGCCCCAACGCGGUCCAAAACCCGAGUAAUAGUAGAAUUCGUGCGGAUUAGAUGACGAACCCACCUUCCUGGCCCGGGGACGCCUAUGAGAGUCAGCCGCCACCUUAUCGACUUUCUUGGCCACCGGUGGAGCCCAAUUAUUGUAGUUCCUUACGAGAGAUAAAUGGUGCUUGCAUAAGGAAUUCCCUUCAGCGGCCUCCCUCUUGCAUUUCCAGCCCUUCCCAUCAGUUUUGCAGCAAAAUAUAAUCUCCCUGUCUUUCUUUGGGACCCCUUCCUCCGCAUUGCCGAUGACGGAGCCGCCCACGAUGACACUGUCUGAAUAUUCCAUUUUCAUAGCCUCGAUCUCCCCAUCAUCCAGAGCCAUUUUCAUCGACACGGCACUGUUAAUAAAGAUCCAGUGGACAACAUUACUGUUCAGCUCAAAUUUCGAAAAAUCAAACUACAAAUAGAAAAAUUCACAAAUGCUGAUUUAUUGCAGAACCCUAAAUGCUUCAACAUCAAUAAAGAGCUGGAGAUUUUGUAAAACAGCCCAAAUUAAACAUAGAAUAGAAAGAUUACCUAUCAAAAGUUGCAAUAGAUUCUCCGAAGCUCCCAUUUCUCGCGAAAUCAUCAUUUUCAUUGACCUGCAGAGAAAUUAUUCUCUGUCGAAAAAAUGGAGCCAGCCAAGCUAUAAUAAACCAAAACAGUGAAAACCCACAAAAGAUUUCAAAUUCCCAAGCCCGAAUAAACAACAAAAACUCUUUGAUUCACAUUUUUUAAUCAACCCUAAUGGUGGGUUUUUAGAAAACCCUAGAAGAAAAAAGAAUAACAGCAAAAAUGGAGGGACAUUUGACAAGAAUCAGAAAUGGGUUUAACAGAUCUGUGCAUAGAAACAAAGUCGAGUCAUUAUAGACUAAAUUAAACUAACCUGGAACGACGGAGGAGGCAGUGGUGGCGAAGGAGUUGAUGGUGGCGAAAAACUCAUAACAUCCCAAGGGGACUGAUUCAACUGGCAAACAUGGGUUUGAAGCACGGUUCCAGGUUUCAAUGAAGAUGCUGCAUAUGUCAAUGAACAAAUUUUGGCGUGCUUCCGUAUUCUCAUGGCGGUUCUGUGGUUUUUUGGGGGAGUUUUUUAGUGGGUAGUCGGGGCAGAAACGCAAAAGAGUAGAGAAGCUUUGUUGGGGGUCCGGGGGUGUGUGUUAGGGGGGUAUAUAAAAGGUUGGGGUGCGUGGGGUUGGCAUGGGUGCCGUUUGCCACGAUGAAAGUAGAUCCAAAAAGGCUUUUUCUUUUUCUUAAAUUUUUUUCUUUCUGUAUGUGCACAGUUCAUUAGUUGUUUUCUGUUUGUUUGGUCAAAAGAAAAAAAAUAUAUAUAUGUAAAUAAGAAAUUAUAAAUAGGUGUGUGACAAAGAAUCUUGUACCAUUUUGGCCCACCAUAACCCUACCAUGAAAGAAAAUAUUUACUAGAAUACAUAAAUUCGUAGACGUUCGAAAACUAUUCAUCUAUGGUGUCGAUAACUUUCAAUACGUUAGGGGAGAUAUCGGUGUUAUAUCUAACUUACUUUGAUAAUCGCGGGUGUGGAUUCGAUUUUUGCUAGACAUUCAAAAGAAACUUUAUUUGAAUUCGAUCUUCAAUAAUUGAAUGGAUACUUUUUAUAACCAAUCAAGACAAAUGACACUACAAAAGAGAAAACACCUUUUUUUGUAAUAUUUACUAAUAAAAAUAUUAACAUGAGUAGAAACUAAGAGAUGUACGAAAACAUUAUUAACAACUACUAUCUUAACACACAGUUGUUACCAUGAGAUAAUAAAGAAUAUGUACGUAAAUCGAAAUUAACUUUGCAUUAUGAAUGUCAUCAUCGGCAUGGUUCUGUUUUGUCUAUUCUUCUAAGAAUGUGUACGCAUGAGAGCAAGUUCAGUACACUCUAAAUACGUAGAAUAAUGUCACUCGACCCUCACAGAUGACACCCCCGAUGACUGCGCCCUUACAUGGAAUGCGUGGGUCCCGUGCGAAUAAAAUAAUCCGGACCCCCCAUAUGUUUGUGCGUGCGAUCAUCCACGUGGAUCGUGUAGCACAGUUGUGAGACGUGUAUAUAUCGAUGUUGUAAAAAUAAUAAUAAUAAUGAUAAUGAUGAUAAUAAUAAUAAUAAUAAUAAUAAUAAUAAUAAUAAUAAUAAUAAUAAAAUUUAAUUUACAGAAAAAUACCUACAUAUAGCUAUAAGCCUAUAAGUGACAAAGAAAAAUCUAACGGUAAAAAGGACUUUUCUAACAUGUUUAGUAGGCUCCAAUCUUCGUUGCUAUUUAGCCCAUGUUUGAGCGACAUUCUAGGAAAAAAAUGUAUUAUUCACGUCAAAUUAAUGAAAAAUAUAUUGUUAAAAAAUAAGAAAUUUUUUUUAGAUUUACAUGUAAUAUUAUUUUAUUGAAGAAUGUGUUGUUGAAAUGAUAUCAAAUCACUGUUGAAAAACAUAUUUUUUUGAAAAUAAUGUGGCUCAAAUAAGGUAGAAUACCUUAUUGGCGGUUGUUGCAUUAAAGUUCAAAUGUCAUUAUAAAUAACUUGUAGUUUCUGCAGAGAAAAUUGAUCAAACGGGCCCUCAAAAUUCUUAAACGAGAUGUCAUGAUAUAAGAAUUUAGGUAAAUUACUAUUUCAUCGCUUACCUUUUAGCAAAGGAGCGAAUUUGCUUUAGAACUUCUAUUUUUUUUUUUUUUUUUUUCCUGUUUUUUUUCCUUAACCUUUUUAAAAAUUUGUAAUUUUUUCCCUACAGGUGUAUCCAUCCAAAAAUCUAUCAAAUUUGUGUAACAUGAAGAUCACACUUUAACAUAAAUAAAUAAAUAAAUAAAUAAAGAAAAAAAAACUUAACAAAAAGAAUUUAAUAAAAAUAAACACGAAAAAAUAAAAAGGAAACGAAAGAGAGAGAAAAAAAAAUUUCUUUCUUCUCUCCUUAAGGGCGUUAAUAGAGUGAGUCAAGCUGUUAAACUGAUCCAUGGGACGAGCCGAGCACCAGUGGUGGGGGGCAAGUGGCUUGCCUAUUUUAUUCUACUAAAAUUGUAUAUUUCAUUCACUAUGUCAAAUGGGCUGUGACCUAACUCGUACAACUCACUCCAUCUAACAUCCAUACUCCAAGCACCUUAACCUAACCUCAAGGUUGUACCAUCUAACUAUGGGAAAACUCUCUCAAUUUAUGCAAGUGGUGGAAAAAUCAAGGAAAAAGCCAAUGGAAUUUGCUUCUGUUUUAUCGCCAUUGUCAGUAGCGGCUAUAACUAAGGGAAAGACCCAGUCGUAUACACAUGCCAUCGACCGUUGGAAAUGGUUUAUUAUUAGUGAAGUUGGUUAAUUUUGAGCCCCAAAUUUAGUGGGACUCGUAUUUCAAUUUUAACGGAACCAAGCAUAUUCAAGUUCUGCUCUGUGAGAUGAUUAACGUGAUAUAUUUAUUUAAUGAAAAUCAUUUAGAAUUUAAUGAUAUAUUUGAUGUUAAAGUAACUCACUUAAAACUAUAUACUAGUAAAAAUUUUGAUUUAUUAAAAAUUGCUAAACAUUUAUCUCCCAUAAGAAAGUUAAGAAACUUUGAUGUGGUUAUAAUGGAAGUUUGAAAAUUAGAUUUGGGCUCCAAAGGGUACCAAUAAUCUUUGAAAGGGAGAGACCUAUAUCCUAUUAGGUUCCGUGCCCAUGUUCUAGUCCGGUUUGACUUGUGUUCGGGUGCAAGGUGCGAGUACGGUUGGAUCCUUGUACUAUAUUAAUAUUUUUGACAAAUUUAUUUAAAUUUUUUGGGCCAUUUUAUAAUUAAUCAAAUUCUUGAGUAGUUAAUGAAAUUAAUUUUGAUUAGCUUAUUUUCGGGUAAUAGUUUGGUUUGGAUUGUCUAUUUACCAACGUAACAGACUUCCGUUAACCGUUUUAACAGAUGCAAUACGGAAUAGUGCUAUCAUUCGAGUUUGAAGGUUGUCUAAACAGUAAUGAUUAUUCUGAAAAUACUUGAAGGAUGUUUGAAUGGCUAAGAAUGAGUCUAUAAAUAGCAUGCACUACUAUUAGAAUAAUUAUAUCAUUUUCAUCGUAAACUUUUUCUACUCUGAAUCUCAUUUUCUCUCUCAUUCUAAUAUUGUUCUCUAAGUGAAAGCACUUCAUUGAAUUCAUUCGAACUCUUGCAGAUUGAUGUGUUGCUUCCGUGGGAGACGAAAUUCGUUAUAUCCUAGAAAACGAUUGUUGCACACUUUUAGUAUAUUUGAAGACACCAAAUUCGUUUUAAGAAAAUAUCGGGAAGUGGAUGGGCUCAAAUUAACAUUCUGAUCAUGUUGAUCAUCUUAUUACAUUGUUUAAAUUACAAUACGAUAAUUUUGACAGUGUAUUAUUUUCAAAUUAUUUGAAAGAGAAUCUUAUACUCCAAGAAUAACAUCAUCGGCAUGGCAAAAACCAUAGGAAAAACCCUCUGUUACAUUGGUAAGGUUUAAGUGGAUGAAAUUUUUUAGGUUUGCCUUUCUAGUUUUUAUUUAUUUAUUUAUUUAUUAUUUUUUUUAUAUCAUGUUUGGAAAUUGUUUAAAAACGAUUUGUUUCAUAAAUAAAUAGAAAUGAGUGAAAAAUAAGUCCAUAAUACUUGUAAUUCUCUAAAAAUGUAUGGAUAAAAAUUAACUUGUAUGUUUAUAAUCAUGGACUUAAUUCCCCUCUUCUUCUUUAUUCCUUUUUCUUUCUUUUUGUUUAUUUAAGUUAAAAGCUAUCAAUUUACAGAAGUGUAAUAGACUUUUGGAGAAAAAUGACUAUAGGGAUGAAAUCUACUAUAUUAGUACAAAACGUCAUUAUCUUUCAAUGUUAUUGUACAAAAUGUUCAUACAUUUCGUUUUUUGAUAUUUUCAUCAUUACCUUCACCUUUUAUUGUGGAAAUCAUUAUUUUCAUCAAAUUUCUCAUGUAAAAUGACAAAUAUACCCCCUAUUUAAAUAAAACAAUAAAAAAAGAUGAAAAAAGUUAAAGAAUAAAUUGCAAACUCCCAAGCUUUUUUAAAAAGUGCAGAUGAGUCUAAAUAAAUUAUUAAAAUGGUAAUUAGCACAAAACGUUCUUACCUUUCAUUCUUAUUGUGCAAAAUAUUCAUACCUUUCUUUUUUGACAUUUUUACCCUUAUUUUUAUAUUUCACUCCAAAAAUCAUUAAUUAUAUACAUUUUCUCAAUUAAAAGCUGUAAAAUAACAAAUAUAUUAUCAUCUUUAAAUAAACAAAAAUAAAGACCAAAUUGAAACUAUAGUUCAAAAAUUAUCAAAAAAAGUACAAAUAUAAUUAUUUGUUUGGAAUUUAUUUAUACUUUUUUGGAAAAUUUGAGAAUAUAGUUGCAAUCUGUUCUUUAUUUUUAUUUAUUUGAAGAGGAUUGUAUAUUUAUCAUUUUACAACGUUUAAUUGAGAAAAUGGAUGAAAAUAAAAUUUUCGUAAUGAAAUAUGAAAUAAUAGUGAAAAUGUCAAAAAAAAGAAAAGUAUAGACGUUUUGCACAAUAAUAUUGAAAAGUAUAAACGUUUUGUGCUAAUUACCCUUUCAAAAAUAUUAUUAUAUAAAAGGUAAAAAAAGAAGUUGAGAGUAGAUCCGCUAAAAUUGGAGACGAAAGGGCAAUAUACCCUGAGAUCCUUAAGAACUACGGACACGAGGUUUCACGGAUAAUCAGGAUACCAAUUUCAAAAUAACAAUAAUAUAAAUAAAUAAAAGAAUUACAAAAUAAGUGCAUAUUUGUCAGAUCUUUACUUAAAAGCAAUAGGUCACAAUGAAUGUAUAACUAAGAAGUAUAUAAAAAUUAUGAAUCAUAUAGAAACUAAUCACUUCAGCAUAAUAUUGUUCACAUUCCAAUGGAUCUUUGAUACUAAUUUUAAUCUAUUUAUAAAUUCUUUCCAAACAAACGAUACAUCUUCAAAACGUCCUUUCACCAAAACUCUCAACUUCAGAUCGAACUCCGUCAAUUUCUCUUCCAAACAUCCCCCACAAUGAUUGUAGUCCAUAACGGCUGCAACAUCACGUUAAUUGCAGCUCAACACCUCAAUUCAACAUUGGCCACGUUAUAUGUAAAUAAACCAACAAAGGUGUCCAACAAAAAGGAGCCAAUCUUGUUUGCAAAGUCAAAAAUGUUACUUUCAAAUAAGUUGUUUAUUAAUAGUAUGUACAAUUAGCAAAAGUUUCUUCUAAAAUUAUAUAAUUAUUAAAUUACAGAAUUGUUUUAUUCUUUUAUAUUUCACUACGUUUUCCAGAAAACAAAUAAAAUAAAAUCAUGACAUAAAUUAAAUCAAGAAGAAAUUUAAGAUUAUAUAUAAAUAAUUUCGAAUGUAACAACAAAACAAAGAACCAUUGACAUGUCUACAAUACCCUAAAUGCAAAAACAGGAACUACAGUUAAACGAGAAUUUAAAAUGCUCCAACGAGUAUGUCGCGCGUGGAAGGGUAGUACCGUAAAAUCAUUGACCAUUUUGUAAGAACCGUACGAGUUGCGUCGGGUUGAAUACACCGGGUAUAUGGGCCCCAUCUGACUUCAACAAAUGGGAUACUUCCAUAUAUCUCUGAUAACUCUCAGCCUCGUUCUCGGCUUUUCUUUGCGGCUCACUUCCCAUUUUCUGACUCGAAGACUGCUUCUGAUUAAAUGUCGCGGCUGACAGAGGAACCACUUCGGCUCGAGCUGGAUCCCAAGGCUGACCAAAUAAGGUACCCUUUGUUAAAAACUCGUUGGCUAGAUACCCAGCCAGAAGGGUAUUAGUAUUGCUGGAAGCCGGCUGAUCUAACGGCUUUGUUGCUGCUGGUCUGUGAAGGCUCGGCUUGGCCAAUGUUUUAGUCGUCACUGUUGACGGUUUCUUCAGGACGUUAGGAGCAUCAUCUCUCCCUUUUCGCUUAUUUGACGGAAAAAAUUGACGGCGUGAGUUGUUCAUCAUCGUCGUACACGUGUCUUCCCUAACACGUACUCACAAUUGCAUAUCGCACAAACUCUCUCCCCACUAAAAUUAAACACAAAAACAAAUCAUUUUCUAAACAUGUGAAAACGACAUCGUUGCACAGUAAAACAUAAAGAAAAUUCGAAUAAAACAGAAAAUUGCUCAUAAUAAACGGGAAAAAAAAAUACAGAUUUAGAUACAGAUCAGAAAUUUAAACAAAAUCUGGUUCUACAGUGUGAAUUUCACACAAAGAAACACGCAAAAAUCACACACAGACACAUAGUAUAUUUGAAGACACCAAAUUCGUUUUAAGAAAAUAUCGGGAAGUGGAUGGGCUCAAAUUAACAUUCUGAUCAUGUUGAUCAUCUUAUUACAUUGUUUAAAUUACAAUACGAUAAUUUUGACAGUGUAUUAUUUUCAAAUUAUUUGAAAGAGAAUCUUAUACUCCAAGAAUAACAUCAUCGGCAUGGCAAAAACCAUAGGAAAAACCCUCUGUUACAUUGGUAAGGUUUAAGUGGAUGAAAUUUUUUAGGUUUGCCUUUCUAGUUUUUAUUUAUUUAUUUAUUUAUUAUUAUUUUUAUAUCAUGUUUGGAAAUUGUUUAAAAAUUAAUUGCUCUUCUUAACCCCACAAAUUAUCCAUUUUUAAUUAUAUAUUAGUAAGAGUUGAAUUUACAUUGCACCUUAUUUUGAAAUAUUUUAUAGGCUCUUGUUUGAUCGUUAUUAUUUUUAAAAUAUAUUUUUUAUAAUUUCUUUUUGAUUACACAUUUUUCAAUAAAAUAAUAUUACUUUUUUCUUAUUUUUCAAUCACACAAUCUCUUAAGGCUGGGCAAAAUUUUCGAAUCGAACCAAACCCGACUCAAACCGAGCAAUUCUUCUUAAGUUAAAUACUCGAACGAGUAUCUAAAUCGAAACCAACGAGUUCAAUUCAAUUCUCAUUUCUAAAUCAAGAAUCAAAUAAUCGAAUAAGAAUCUAAUUUCCUUAAUUUUUUAUUAAUUUAUUUUAAAUAAAUCAAAUUAUUUUAUUUUUUUAAAAUAAAUUUGCUAACUAGUUAAUUUAACUCAAACCCAAAAAUAUAAUUUUCCUAUUUCUAAUUUUUAGUACAAAUCAACUUAAUCAAAUUGACCUAACCGUAGUGUCGUUUCUACCGUUCUGAAGAAAUUGAAAUGAAGCUUGACAACGCCUCUAUUAAUUAUUGUGAGAUCACUAUCUUUCUCUUCCAGUAAUUUUAACAAUCAAAUUUAUGAAGAACUCGGCAAAGAGAGACGCAAAAGACACGAAAGAUUGGACUACGUUAUUUUAUAAGAGUUAAGAUUGAACAUUUCAUUAAUUGAAUUAAUGUAACUUUGUAAAUAUUAAAAAAUUUAAUUAUAAUACGGAACCUGAGAACUUAAUAGAACCGAAUCGAACCAAACCGAAAUGAAUUGAAUAGAAUCGAAUCCCAACGGUUCCAUAAUUAAAUUUGGACCUGACGAUUCUACUUACUAAGUAUCCAAAAGUUUCGAGUCUGGUUCGAGAAUUGUUUUAUUCUUUUAUAUUUCACUACGUUUUUCAGAAAACAAAUAAAAUAAAAUCAUGACAUAAAUUAAAUCAAGCAGAAAUUUAAGAUUGUAUACAAAUAAUUUCGAAUGUAACAACCAAACAAAGAACCAUUGACAUAUCUACAAUACCCUAAAAUGCAAAAACUACAGUUAAAUGAGAAUUUAAAAUGCUCCAAUGAGUAUGUCACGCGUGGAAGGGUAGUACCGUAAAAUCAUUGACCAUUUUGUAAGAACCGUACGAGUUGGGUCGGGUUGAAUACACCUGGUAUAUGGGCCCUAUCUGACUUCAACAAAUGGGAUACUUCCAUAUAUCUCUGAUAACUCUCAGCCUCGUUCUCGGCUUUUCUUUGCGGCUCACUUCCCAUUUUCUGACUCGAAGACUGCUUCUGAUUAAAUGUCGCGGCUGACAGAGGAACCACUUCGGCUCGAGCUGGAUCCCAAGGCUGACCAAAUAAGGUACCCUUUGUUAAAAACUCGUUGGCUAGAUACCCAGCCAGAAGGGUAUUAGUAUUGCUGGAAGCCGGCUGAUCUAACGGCUUUGUUGCUGCUGGUCUGUGAAGGCUCGGCUUGGCCAAUGUUUUAGUCGUCACUGUUGACGGUUUCUUCAGGACGUUAGGAGCAUCAUCUCUCCCUUUUCGCUUAUUUGACGGAAAAAAUUGACGGCGUGAGUUGUUCAUCAUCGUCGUACACGUGUCUUCCCUAACACGUACUCACAAUUGCAUAUCGCACAAACUCUCUCCCCACUAAAAUUAAACACAAAAACAAAUCAUUUUCUAAACAUGUGAAAACGACAUCGUUGCACAGUAAAACAUAAAGAAAAUUCGAAUAAAACAGAAAAUUGCUCAUAAUAAACGGGAAAAAAAAAUACAGAUUUAGAUACAGAUCAGAAAUUUAAACAAAAUCUGGUUCUACAGUGUGAAUUUCACACAAAGAAACACGCAAAAAUCACACACAGACACACACGAAAGCGAGAGAGAGAGAGAGAGAGAAGGGGUACAGGGGUUUCGAAAUGGGAUGAAAUGGGAAAUUUAUAGAAAGAAGGAUGAUUAAUUGCCCCUGAAGUAAGCAAAAAUUACGGGGCAAGGAAAAGCGGUUGUUAAAAGGAUAAAAGUCAACCGGUCUUAAAUGUCGAUUUAAUUGCUCUUCUUAACCCCACAAAUUAUCCAUUUUAGAGAGAGAGAGAGAGAGAAGGGGUACAGGGGUUUCGAAAUGGGAUGAAAUGGGAAAUUUAUAGAAAGAAGGAUGAUUAAUUGCCCCUGAAGUAAGCAAAAAUUACGGGGCAAGGAAAAGCGGUUGUUAAAAGGAUAAAAGUCAACCGGUCUUAAAUGUCGAUUUAAUUGCUCUUCUUAACCCCACAAAUUAUCCAUUUUUAAUUAUAUAUUAGUAAGAGUUGAAUUUACAUUGCACCUUAUUUUGAAAUAUUUUAUAGGCUCUUGUUUGAUCGUUAUUAUUUUUAAAAUAUAUUUUUUAUAAUUUCUUUUUGAUUACACAUUUUUCAAUAAAAUAAUAUUACUUUUUUCUUAUUUUUCAAUCACACAAUCUCUUAAGGCUGGGCAAAAUUUUCGAAUCGAACCAAACCCGACUCAAACCGAGCAAUUCUUCUUAAGUUAAAUACUCGAACGAGUAUCUAAAUCGAAACCAACGAGUUCAAUUCAAUUCUCAUUUCUAAAUCAAGAAUCAAAUAAUCGAAUAAGAAUCUAAUUUCCUUAAUUUUUUAUUAAUUUAUUUUAAAUAAAUCAAAUUAUUUUAUUUUUUUAAAAUAAAUUUGCUAACUAGUUAAUUUAACUCAAACCCAAAAAUAUAAUUUUCCUAUUUCUAAUUUUUAGUACAAAUCAACUUAAUCAAAUUGACCUAACCGUAGUGUCGUUUCUACCGUUCUGAAGAAAUUGAAAUGAAGCUUGACAACGCCUCUAUUAAUUAUUGUGAGAUCACUAUCUUUCUCUUCCAGUAAUUUUAACAAUCAAAUUUAUGAAGAACUCGGCAAAGAGAGACGCAAAAGACACGAAAGAUUGGACUACGUUAUUUUAUAAGAGUUAAGAUUGAACAUUUCAUUAAUUGAAUUAAUGUAACUUUGUAAAUAUUAAAAAAUUUAAUUAUAAUACGGAACCUGAGAACUUAAUAGAACCGAAUCGAACCAAACCGAAAUGAAUUGAAUAGAAUCGAAUCCCAACGGUUCCAUAAUUAAAUUUGGACCUGACGAUUCUACUUACUAAGUAUCCAAAAGUUUCGAGUCUGGUUCGAUUCUCGUUAGAAUCAAACCGAAUCAUAUCCAGUCCUACAAUCUCUAUCAAUCUACUAUUCAAAAAUAUUUUCCACAUAUAAAAUGGGGCUCAAAUAGGCUUUAUGUGCUUGUAAAAGUAACAUUUGAUAUGAGGAGCCUUAAUUUUGAUAUGCUACAGCAUUAGAAGAAUAUGGAAGAAAACAAAAUUUAGGAUAAAAAUUUAAGAGAAGAAAGUUGUACUCUCUCAAUUUGAUUCCAAUUUUUUUGUGAUAAUGAAAUACUACAAAUGAGCAACAUUUCUAUACUACAUUUGGUACAUAAGAAUUAAUGGCUAAUACAUGAAUUUAAACAUCCAUUAAAUUCCCUAAAUAUAUGAAUAUAAAUAAAAAUCAUCCAUGAUAACUCUGGAUUUACAUAGAUCAAGAUACAUCAAAUCAAAAGUCAUUGGGUCUAGAUUAAUAUGAAUGCUAAUUAAUUGAAAAUUAAUAAUACGAAAUUCAUACAUGAUGAAGGAUUGUGUUUUAUUUAUUACAAAUUGAAAAACGAAAAAUAAAGUAUUAUUGAAAUAAUUGAAUUGUAGUAGAGUUAAAAUCGUCCAUAAAAAUGAUUUUCAAAUGCAUUACACAUUAUUUUGAAAAUACUUUAUAAAUGCUGUAAAAAGUAAUAUUUGGCAUACUAAGCCUUGAUUUUGAUUUGCUGCACAAUAAACAGAAUAUGGAAAAAAAUAAAAUUUAUGAUAGAAAUUUAAAAAAAGAAAGUUAUACUCUCAAAACUCGGUUUAAUUCAAAUUUUUUAUUUUGAUGAAAUACUACAAAUGAGCAACUUUUUUAGACGAUACUUUGUACAUAAGAAUUAAUUGUUAAUACAUGAAUUUAAAUAUCUAUUUCAGCCGCAUUCUUUUAAAAAAAUACAUUUUCAAAUAGUGAUUUGACAUCAUUUCAAUCACAUAUUUUUCAAUAAAAUAAUAUUACACAUAAAUUCAAAACUUUUCUUUCUAUUUUAACCACAUAUUCUUCAUCAAUCUACUAUUCCAAAAUACAUUCUUCCAAAAUAAUGUGGCUCAAACACACGCUAAUUUUUCUAGAUAUGUGAAUAUAAAUAAAUUCAUCCAUAAUAACUCUAGAUUCAUAUAUAUUAAGAAUUAUUAAGUCAAAAUUCAUUAAGUUUAGAUUCAAGUAAUUAUUAAUUAAUUGAGAAUUAAUAACACGAAAUUUAUACAUGACUAAGAAUCUUAGAAUUCGUUUGAUUACAAAGAUGGAAUUUGGGUGAAAAGAAAACAAAUUUCAAAAAAUUGAAUUGCAUAGAAAUUAUUUUACCGGGAAUUCUCAAUUAUUGUGUUUGAAUAGUAUAAUUUUUUAUGUGAAAAAUGUUGAAAUAAAAGUGUUUUUUUGUGUUUAUUUGAUUUUUUACAUAAAAAUUAUCAAUUAAAUGAAUAAAAUUUACUGGUAUUGGGGAUAUAAUUUGUUUCCAUUGCCAAAAAAAAGUCAAGAAAAUCAUCUAUCUUUUGGUAUUCAUUUGACUUUAUUUUAUAUGAAAAUUAUCAAUCAAAGGAAAAUAUUUUUUUAUAAUUAGAGAUAAAAUUUGUUUUCAUUGCAAAUAAUAAUAAUAAUAAUAAUAAUAAUAAUAAUAAUAAUAAUAAUAAUAAUAAAAUUGACAGCCUACCUAGAAAAACAAUUCCCAUCAUAUAGGUGGGAAUUGGUUUUCCUUGAAAACUAAAAAAAAUCAACACUUUUCAAGAAAAUCAAUUUCAUGGAAAAAAAUAUACUAUCAAAUAAUCAAAAAGUGAAAGUUGAAAUUUGAAUUCUAUUUUCCAUGGAAAAUAAUGGCCAAUCAAACAUGGUCUUAUAGUAUUUAUUACAUAUCGAAAAAAUGAAAAGUAAAAUAUUAUUGAAAUGAUUGAAUUGUAGUAAAAUUAUAAUUAUCAAAAAAUGGUUCUCAUUUGAGGUGAUACUUAAUAUAUUAUAGAUUUAACGAUUAAUUGUUACUUUCUUAGGUACGCAAAUUCGAUUUUUAUAGAAAAAGUUACACUAUAAUUUUCUAAUUUAUAAAACAAUUUGAUUUUCGAUCCCUUUUUCUUAGCAAUAUGAUCUCCAAUUUCUAAUCUGUAGUAUUAUUGGCCCUCCUCAUAAAUUACUUAAACAUUUGAAAAUGCUUAAAUUGAAUAUAUAAUUAGUUAAUAAAUGACUUUUGACCAAUCAGAUGUACAAUGUUAAACAAUAUCAAAAUUGGACUAUUUUUCAAAAUUUUAAAGAUAACAAGUCACUCAGAUUAAUGUUGGGGAAUAAGCUUACCCGUUCCCCCGUGACAAAAGCAAGUAAUCAAUAGUUAAAAUAUCCAUUAAAUUGUGAAUAGAUUUCGAAAAUUUUGACAUCAUAGCUAGGUUUGUCAAAAUAACAAUGCUAGGUAUACAUCAUUUGGUGUACAUCCCGGCUAACAACCAUCUAAUAUGGGGUGGGGCCUGCGAUAUAUUAUUAGAGGACUGUCAAAUUAAGUCAAGCAUUGAUGUGUGAACAGAAAUUGUACGCUCAGAAACACUACAGAACAGACAUAGCACCGAGGGUGGGUAAUUUUUUGACCUUUUUUUUUUUUUUUUUUUUUUUUUUUUAUCACAACUUGGGGUACAGACAAUGUAAAAUUUUUGGUGCAUUUCUGUGAAACAAUUUUUUGUACAAAUGAAAUUGCUGAAAUAAGUCUACACCAAAGGGUGCAUUUUUCUUGUCAAAAUGUGUGAGCUGUCUAGACCAAUUCACUUGUAUGUAAGUUCGGCUAUUGGCACAUGAUGACUUGAACUAAUCUGUUGAUAGACUAAUUUAUCUUCAAAAUCUUAGGGCCUGCUUGCCGCGAAUUUACUAAUAGUGUGGACUAGCCCGGUCUGAGAUGGGCCAAACUUGUUAUUUUUUAAUCUCUAAAUAAGCACUUUACACUUAUAAUACUAAUACUGGUGCAAUAUUUUUUUUAAUAAAUCAAUCCGAUCGGGGCUCGUCCUCAUGAUGCUCUAGUUUGAAAAACUCAACCGACACGACCUGCCAUUAUUGGCAAACUAACUCACGAGCUCACGUGAGAUGAACUCGAUUGAUUGAUUUGUAUGAUUUGUUAUCGAGAUGGGUCGUUUUGAAUUUUGGCCUAGAUAGGUUGCCUAUUUUAACACCACUAGUAUUGACAAACAAACUGCUAGCUAUGUCAUGACAAUUUUUUGGUAUAGUGGUAGGAUUUUUGAAGGGCCCGGCUGGAUAGGAUGAAAAAAUCUCUACUUCUUGUUUUGUUUAAAUAUUUAUUUUUAUUUAUUUUUCAGGUACUAUUUAAAUUUAAAAAUUAAAUAAAAGAAAAAUAAUACCCCGCCCUUGUUCCAUUACGAGGCGACGCUAGCGGGACAUCUGCCAUCCUAACAACUUAAAAAGUUAUGUAUUAAAUCCUUAUUUGAGUCACAUUAUUUUCAUUAGAAUGCAUUUUUGAAUAGUGUGUGGAAAGGCCUGACGGGAUAGGAUGAAAAAACCUCUACUUCUUGUUUUGUUUAAAUAUUUAUUUUUAUUUAUUUUUCAGGUACUAUUUAAAUUUAAAAAUUAAAUAAAAGAAAAAAAAUACCCCGCCCGUGUUCCAUUACGAGGCGACGCUAGCGGGACAUCUGCCAUCCUAACAACUUAAAAAGUUGUGUAUUAAGCUCUUGUUUGAGCCACAUUAUUUUCUUUAGAAUACAUUUUUAAAUAGUGUGUUGAUGGAAAAUUUGUCAAAAAAUAAGGAAUUUUUUUGAAUUUAUGUGUAAUAUUAUUUUAUUUAAAAAUGUGAUUGAAAUAAUGUCAAAUAACUGUUUAACAAUGCAUUUUUUUAAAAGAAUAUAGGUCAAACAAGGUGUAAGUUAUAUCGUAUUUAGUUCAAUAUUAAAAUAUCGAACAUUGUUAAAGGAUUAAAAUAUAUCUUUAUGUGUUGAUUAUUCAUUUCAUCUUUAUUCAAUGUAUAAUUUAUUAUUUAACAUGAUCAUACAAAAUGGUGGCUCAAUUGAAUAAGUCAAUUUUAAAAUAUAUUUGCUCAUUUGACAUUCAGAUCAAACUGUUCAUUUUAUUUAGGAUAAUUCUCCAUGUAUAUUAUGAUAUCCAUAAGGGUAUCCAUAAUGUACACGUGAAAUUCCAUGAUUGAAGGGUUUAAAAACUAUUUUUCAAUCCUCCAAUGAUGUUAUGCCACUUGCAUAUUAUGGACACUCUUAUCGACACCAUAAUGUACAUGUAGUAUAACCCUUUUAUUUAACGGUGGUGCUAUUGGUACGUAGGGGUAUACCUAAGCAUGUAUGCCCCUCUCACAUAGGGUGUGGGAUCCACCCGAAUAACAUUUUAUUCGGAUGGAUUCCACACCCUAUGUGAGAGGGGCGUACACGCUUAGAAACAUCACAUUAUGUAUCACCAAAUUAAUUGUUUAUUUAAUGAGCUCUGAUAGAGUUUUACUUUUAUAUAUUAAUAAUUUAUUUUAACUUUAUUUGAUGAAGGAUUUAUCGCUCAACCAGUCGUGUCACUAUAUCACCCACCUUUUCAUAAUCACAAAAUUAGGGGUGUACUGCAUGACAAAUGUAUCACGAUUAGCUGAUCUUAAUUUUAUGAUCUUAUUAGGGUUUUUUUUUUUUUUUUUUUUUUUUUUUUUUUUUUUUUUUUUUUUUUUUGUCACUAUAUCACCCACCUUUUCAUAAUCACAAAAUUAGGGGUGUACUGCAUGACAAAUGUAUCACGAUUAGCUGAUCUUAAUUUUAUGAUUUUAUUUGCUGUUUUUUUUUUUUUUUUUUUUUUUGGGUUUUUUUUUUUUUUUUUUUUUUUGGGAAUUUUCAUUUUAUUUUAUCAAGGUUUAUUAAGCCCAUGUUUGACGUCCAUUAUUUUGAAAGUGAGUUUUAAAUAGCGAUUUUUUGGAAAAUAUGUAGUUAAAAAAAUAAAAGUAUAGAAAAGUUUUGAAUUUACAUAUCAAAAUAUUUUAUUGCAUAAAUGUGUAGUUGAAAGUGAGCACAAGAAUAAAAAAAAAAUUAUUUUAAAAGGAGAUUAGCAGGGACUAAGUUAUUGAUUUCAUUUUAUUUCUUGCUUUUGUCAUGGGCAAGCUUAUUUCAAACAUCAUUAUUAACGUGGAUUGACUUGUUAGCUUCUAAAAAAUUAAAAAGGAGCCCUCUUGAAGAGGAUAUUGUCUAGGUCUUAAUGGUCACAUUCAUUACAAGUAUAUGGUCCCAACAUUUUUAAUCAAUACAUUUCACGCUUAAUAAAAAUAAAUCGAUAAAUACAAGAAAUAACAUUUGUAGACAGUAUACAAAAUUAAGGUCAACUGAUAGGAUAUGAUUCUACUUGUGAUACAUACAUUGUAUCUUUAUCAAAACACGUAUUAGUGAACAUAACAAGUAUUGCAUGAUUAAGAUAAUUGAUUACAAAUUUCCAAUAUCGAAAAUUGUCUUUUGUAUACCAAUAAUACUAUAAUUUUGAGAUCAUCCCAUCAAAGAAAAUAGAUUGAGAAUCAGACUGAUUUAGAAGUUAGAGAAUAUAAUGCAUUUUUCAAACCAUAGAAUUUAGGUACCUAAACAUUAAUAAUUCAUCUUCCCUUAAAAACAUUGCUUUUCUAUUUUUGUCCAUGACUUGUUCCUUGUCUACACAAGUCUCAAUCAAACGCAAAGCUAUGUUAAAUUGAAUAUGAAGAAAAAAAUUUAAUCAUUUCGUCUAAUAUUAUUCACUUCAACAUGAAGAAUAGCUACUCGUCAGUGUGAAGUAGACAUACUUAGCGGGGUUGUUAUUGCUUGCAGCGGGCUACAAAUGUGUCCCGGUUGAUCAGGCCGGCCCAAAUGUUACUGGUUCUAUGUUGGGUCAAUUCCAAAAAGUGGUUCAAUCAAAUUAUAAUUUGGGUCAAGAGCUUACUUAUUUUUAAUUCUAAUAUGUUGCAACUCUUAGUGGAGAUCUUUCUUUAAAAGUAACCUUGGUUAUAAAAAUAUUUGGUUUAAUCCUGACAAACCAAUUUUUUCUCAUAUUUCCUUUUUCAUUAAUUGUAUUCAAUAUUUCCGAAUCUAAAAAUAUUAAAUGUGCUAUAAAUACAUGAUAUGAAAUAUAUAACUUAAACAAUAUGAGCCACACGGGUUUUUCAUGGGCCUAGCACAACUCGCUUUUACAAUUUUUUAUGUUACAUUUUUGUUAAUUCCUAAGGAAAAAGUUUGAAAGGCGACACAGGGCAUUUUUUGUCAUAUUUAUCAAAAUGUAGCGUAGAGUAUAUUAUUUAUUCCCUACUUUUGAAUAAAGUAGUAGACCUACGUUCAACAUUUUUUUUGUGAAUUUUUGUGCCUGAUCUUUGGAAAAUUAGUAGAUUUCAUCCAUAUAAUGCAAUCUUACCCCCUAACUUGAAUAAAACUUAAAUUUUAUUUUUAUAUGUUCUUUUGUUCUGUUCCUUUAUAUAUUUUUGUUUUUUAUGUUAAAAAAAAAAGCAAGUUUGCCAUUUUAUUUAAGUUUGACAGAUUUUGGGGGGGAAGCGGCUUUACUAAAUUUUCAAAGGUUAAGUGUAUGUCUGUUAUUUUGCUCAAAAGUUUGGAACGAAUAUUGCAAAUUACCCUAAAGUGUACCUCUCAAGAUCUUUAAAGUCGGGCACAUAAUCUAGAAGUUAGCUUACCCCUUUUUUUUUUCCCAAAAUUUUAUCUUUAUGGCCAUAGGAGACUCGAAUCUAGGCGGUAAAACUUUAUUCUUUUUUCGUGCUAAUGAUAGAUUGGUAAAAAUGUGUACACAAUAGGCUAUAUAAAGCAAAUAUAAGAAUUCACUUCAAUCUAAAACAAAUAUAUUUAGGACAUGUUCGGUAGUGAUUAUGAGAACCAAUUUUGUGAUCUUUAGGGGGAAAAGUGAAUCCUACUUGUGAGUAAAGAACUAAAAAAUGACAACAGACUAUUGAAACUAGUGAUCAAAAUAUUGAUUUUUUGGGGUAAAAAAUAAAAAACAAACGAGGGAUUAAUCUCUUAUUAAAAUACUAUCUAAAAAGUUCGUUAAAAUGUCACGUACUAUUAGUCUCCAUGAAGAAAUGGAUCAUACCAACAUGGAUUCGACAGUAUCUUAUGGCCUCAUGCUGGUUCAGUUUGUUAUUAUAUUCUCUUUUUUCCUUCACUGCAGUCACCUAAAUAAUUUAUAUUCUUUAGUUUUAUAAAGAUUCUUUGCGCUUAUCAGGCUUAUAAUGGUCUUUGUUUUGAAUAAUAUCAAAUGUAAUAUUUUAUUAAAUGUAAUAUUUAAUGCACAGUGAUUCCAUUAAUACAGGUUAUGACUGUUAGAGCCAUCUAUAUAAAUAACAUCUGAAGAUUCUCUGAGCAUUUCAAUGAUAUUUAACACUACUUAACAAAUUAUAGUUUGAUAUUCACAAGAUAGUAACUGUAACAUGAACUUCUGCUUAUGAGAACUUCAGAAAGUUCAGAUAUCUGCAUUUCUUGCUAGUUGCUAAUUCCUCUUCAUUUUUUUGUCCUUUUUAUAUUUUAUAAGGAAAGGGAAAGGCACUGGAUAACUAGUGUAUAAACAAUUUAUGACAUUGAUGAAUUGACAAAUUGUGAAUGGUUUUCUGAUUUAUGAUUUCAUCAUCUUUGCAGAAGCUGUUCAAUCAUGCACAGUUAUUCUGGACAUUGUUGAAUCUUCAUUACCAGCAGGCUUGCCUGAAAACUUUGGCGGUGACUGUAAAUUGCAGGAAACUAUAAACGAGGCUGUAGAGCUGCUUCCAGGAUUAUGGAAACUUGCUGAUUGUCCCAGUGAAGCUAUUUUGUCUUACCGUCGGGCCCUUCUACAUCAAUGGAACCUUGAUGCACAAACUACAGCUAAGAUACAAAAAGAGUUUGCCAUUUUUCUUCUGUACAGUGGAGAUGAAGCCAUUCCCCCAAGUCUGCAAUCCCAAAUGGACCGUGCAUUUGUGCCUAGAAACAAUACUGAGGAAGCUAUUCUUCUUUUGAUAAUUCUUUUAAGGAAAUUUACCCUCAAGAAAAUUGAGUGGAAUCCAUCAAUUUUGGAUCACCUUUCAUGUGCGUUAUCUAUAUCAGGUGGGCUGGGCUUUAGCUGAUCAAGUGGAAAAAUUACUGGAGUUUCCAUUUUUUAUCCAUAUCAAAUGUAACUAAAUAUUCGAAACAUCAAGAAAAUGCAUUAAACAAAAGUACAAUAUUACCCUUUCUAGGCAAAGGUACAAAAUUAUUAAAAACCAUACAUUUUUUGUUUUUACACGAGUAUUCCUUCCCAUCACAUUAGAGACAUUAGUGAACUUGCUUUAAUUGGCUUUCGAGCUCUUGUUCUCCAACUUUCGCCAACCUCCUCAUCUUCUACCUCAUACUUAAUCUCAGAUUCUUCAUUGUUGAUUUGAGAGAAUGUGGGGUGUAUCAUUUCACGUUCCUGCUUGACAUUUUUAGGGAUGUCAAGACUGUUCUCGCCUCUCUUCUUGUCCCAUCGUGGUCCAAAACCUGAAUAGUAGUAAAAAUCAUACGGAUUUGAUGUCAAAGUUGCCUUCUUAGCCCAUGGCGUGCGUUGAGAGUCAGCCACCACCUUAUCUUGUCUCUUCUUUGCUGGAAGAGCCAAGUAGUAGUUUCGCUCGAGAUAAGUAGAUCAUUUUUUAAGAGACUACCGUGCGGUUUUCGUGUUGUGUCUAAUUUACCUUCUAUAGAUGAUUUAACAAACAAAUUUGGCAAGAGAAUUGUGUUUUAAUGAACUCCUAACUUUUUUUUUUAAUUAUAAAUUCUCUAAAAAAUUACAUUUUACGAAAUUGAUUCUAAAAGAUACAUAUGAAAUAAAUCCUUUGUAAAAGUAGAAGUUAAUGAAAAAAAUACAUACAAACGUGUUAGAUUGAAUCUUGUAAUCAUUGAUUCACUCUAGAAUUACGAAAAUAUUUAGUGGAUUACGUGUAUCUAUUGAUCAACGACGUGGAUCACUUUUUAAGAGAGUACCGUGCAGAUCCAUGUUAUAUCUAGAUUACCUUCUAUGGAUAAAUUAAGAAACAAAUUUGGCAAGAGAACACCUUCUAUCUAUAAAUGAACAAACAAAAUGGACUCCCAAAUUUUUCAUUUUUAGUUAUACAUUCUAUAAAAAAUUACAUUUUACAAAAUUUAUUCUAAAAAAUUUUCAUCAAACAAAUCUUUUGUAAAAAGUAGAAGUUAAUGAAAAAAAUACAUGCAGAUGUGUUAAACAGAAUCUCAUAAUCUUUGACCUACUAUAUAAUUACAAAAAUAUUUAGUGAAGUACUUGUAUCUAUGUUAUGUUUUAUUUACCUUUUAUAGAUGAAUUUACAAACAAUUUUGACCCGAGAAAUUGUGUGUCAAUGGACUCCUAACUUUUCUUGUUUUUUAAUUAUACAGUCCCUAAAAAAUUACGUUUUACGAAAUUUAUUCUAAAAAUUUUACAUCAAACAAACCCUUGAAGGAUAUAUUGUUGCUGGAGGAGAUCAUGGGACAGGGUUGGGGUGGUGCUGGUUUAGGUUCGGGAUAUGAACAUGGAGUAGGAGGUGGUGGUGACGGAGGAGCAGAAUGUGGUGGUAGUGGGUAUGGUGGAGGUGGCGGUGGAGGAGAUGAAGUGUCGUGUUUUGAACUGAUAGAAAUGGCACUGAGUUGGAAGAAGUUAAUGGGCCAAGUCAUAUUUCCAUCUUUUGCAUCUGCAUUAAAUGAAAUGCUAUCUACUCGAUGAGUAAUGGAUAAUAAUGGAGUGAAGUUCAGUGGCUACAGGGAUGCUUUGAGAAGUUUGGUGAGUAAGCUGUGACACGGUGCAUAGUUCAGUCGGCAUUCAAACAUUUAACUUGUGGCAAAGAAUAUCAAGGUUUAAGACUAUGUUUAAAACUUCUGGAAUUCCACACUUGAUUUCUCCCCAUACAUACCACAACACGUACCUUACACUAAACAUCGCCAUCAUCACAGUGCUGGGACGGGACUUACACUUUUGCAUCGCACUCUCUUCCUAUACAAUAUCACCUCUUAAGAACGAAAUUUGUCAGUGUUCUUAUGCGAAAUCUCUCUCAAUGUUUAUAUCUAUCUGCACUAUCGGAUCAUGGAAAUUAAAGAUGUUGAGUAGGGGAUCUUUGGCUGCCCUGUACACCGUUGCAGAUGUUUUGAGCUCUUUUAAAGCAUUAUAGCAAUCACUUUCCCUCAAUAACCAUUGCUGAAUUAGCAUUAUUACAUCUAAUGAAGUAAAUUGUUUCAUAGGCAACUUAACAAAUGCAAGAUAUCUUGAUUCUUAGGCAACUCUGUGAAUAUUAGUCUAAAACGUUCGAUUAUCUUUGUUAGAUUCUUUUCCAGAAGAACUCUCACUUGCCUAUUGUAACUGUUGCGGAAACUCUCUUGAAAGAUCUUCAAAUCGAUGAUUUUCGGGCUCAGCCCAACGCACUUUUCUCAACCAACAACCAGUACAAUCGGCUCCAAACCACAACCAAUUAAUUCUCCUCGAUUGCUAUUCAAUCUUACCCACGUAGGAUAAGAAAAGAUGAUGAUUUGUGACCACAAAGGCUAGGAGAAGACACCACAAAGGUAUACUAUGAAGAAUCCACCAAUUGCACACGUUAAACAAGCGUUUUGAACACUUCUAGAGACCUUUAUUUCACACACAAAGGGGGCAGCCGGGAUUCCUCUAUUUAUCUCUCAAAACCACACAAAACAUGAAAAGAAAGUGGCUAGGGUUAUAUAUAUAUAUAUAUAUAUAUAUAUAUAUAUACACACACUCUAGGGUUAGGCUUUAAGUUGGACCUUUAAAGAGGUAAACGGGCCAAGAUUCAAGCCAUCCAAGAGGAAAUACAAUUGGGCCUGGUGUAACUCAUGGACUUGGUUGUUGGACUUAUUUCAUUCAUCGAUCUAUGUCUAUGAAAUAAUAUUAACCCACAUUAGCAUCAUAGCUCGAGAUUUAUUGGGUAUCAAAAAUUCAAUAGUAACGUUUGAAACAAGAACACAAUCUCAUCGCUGUAUUUGUCUGUGAUAUUUUUUACCAGGAGCUGCUCAAAAUACUCAAAUGCUUUGAUCAUCUGCAUCCAGAGGCGAACUAGGAUUCUCCUCCUCGACCAACAUCUUGAGUCAUCACCUUUCUCUUCGUCCCCAUCCUCUUCAUCACUGCUGCUUUUGGGAUCAAAAUCACCCUUUCAAGCGAACAAUCCUCAACAGCAGCCCAACGACUUGAUUUGCCUUCUUAGGGAUCAAUGCAAGAAACUACAUUCCUAAUUUUCAUCCUCAUCUUGAGGAACUUUGUUUUUCUUGAGCUGAAUUUUUCUCUUCAGCUUCUAAGUAGGAUCAUUGUUAGGCUUUUUUUUUUUUUUUUUUGUUUGGUCCAUUAGUAUAUUCCAAUUUCACAGUUGAUGGGAAUAGAAAGGUAUUUUUUGGAGAAAGGGGCAAAAUUGUUCAAUAACUCUAGUUAUGUUAUGAAAAUAUUAGAGUUCCUAUUUUUUAUCAAUAUCAAAUGUAACUAUAUAUUGAAAAAUGAAGAAAAUGCAUUAAAGAAAGGUACAAUAUUGCCCUUAUUAGUCAAAGUAAGGGCCAUAAAAUUAUUAAAAACAAUACAUUUUUAGUUUUUACACAAGUUUUUCUUCCCAUCACAUUACAGAUUUUAGUGACCUUACUUUAAUUGGCUUUUGGGCUCUUUUCCUCCCACUAUCUCCACCCUUCUCAUCUUCUACCUUAUUCUCGAUCUCAGAUUCUUCGUUGAUGAUUUGAAAGAAUGUGGGAAGUAUCAUUUCCCUUUCUUGCACAAUAUUUUUAGGAAUGUCAAGACUGUUCUCGCCUCUCUUCUUGUCCCAUCGCGGUCCAUAACCUCGAAUACUAGUAAAAUUCAUAAGGAUUUGAUGUCCAAGUUGCCUUCUUAGCUUGUAGCCCGUGCUGAGAGUCAGCCAUUACCUUAUCUUGUUUCUUCUUUGCUGGAAGAGCCGAGUUGUAGUUUCGCACAUGAGGUAAGUAGAUCAUUUUUAAAGAGAGUACUAUGCGGUAUCUGUGUUAUGUCUAAUUUACCUUCUGUAGAUGAAUUAACAGACAAAUUCGGCAAGAAAAAUUGUGUGUCAAUAGACCCCUAAUUUUUUUUUUAAACUAUACAUUCUCUAAAAAGUUAUAUUUAACGAAAUUGAUUUUGAAAAAUAUCUACAUUGUGAAAAGUAGAAGUUAGGCCCUGUUUGAUAGGGCCAAAUUUCAUUUUUCAUUUUCCACCUUUUGGCCUGUUUGAUUGCAAUAAUUUUCUAGGGAAUUCAUUUUCUUUCCUCUCCCCACAUAUGUGGAAUUUCCUUGGUUUUGUGGAAAACCAAUUCUCACCAAACCUAGGGAAAUUGGUUUUCUAGGUAUCUUUUUUAUUUUAUUUAUUUAUUUAUUUAUUUUUUGACAAUUGGAACAAAUUCUAUCCCCAAUUGUAACAAAUUUUAUCCCUUUAAUUGAUAAUUUCCAUGGAAAACAAAGUUAAACGAACACCAAAAGAUAGAAAAUUUCAAUAAUAUUUUCCACGUAGAAAAUUAUACCAAUCAAACGCAUUAAUUGACAAUUUUUAGGAAAACAAGUUCUAGGCAAUUAAAUUCCCCGAGAUCAAUUUUCUUUCCACCCAAAUUUCAUUCUUGCAAUCAAAUAGACCCUUAAUGAAAAAAAUAUAUACAAACAUGUUAAAUAGAAUCUCAUAAUCUUUGAUCCAUUCUAGAAUUACAAAAAUAUUUAGUGGAUUAUGUAUAUCUAUUGAUCAACAACAUGGAUUAUGUUUUAAGAGAGUAUCGUGCGGUACUUGUGUUACGUCAAAUUUAGCUUUUAUAGAUAAAUUAACAAACAAAUUCUGUAAGAGAAAUUGCGUGUUGUUGGACUCAUAACUUUUCUUUUUUUAGUUAUACAUUCUCUAAAAAAUUAUGUUUUACAAAAUUUAUUCUAGAAAAAUUUACAUCAAACAAAUAUUUUGUAAAAAGUUGAAGUUAAUGAAAUAAAUAUAUGCAGAUGUGUUAAAUAUAAUCUCAUAAUCUUUUACCCACUCUAGAAUUACGAAAAUAUUUAGUGAAUUACCUGUAUUUAUUGAUCAACGGCAUGGAACACUUUUUAAAAGAGUACCGUGCUAUAUCCGUGAUAUAUCUAAUUUACCUUCUGUAGAUGAAUUAACAAACAAAUUCGACAAGAGAAGUUGUGUGUUAAUGACUCCUAACUUUUCUUCUUUUGUAAUUAUACAUUCUCUCAAAAAUUACAUUUUACAAAAUACAUUCUAAAAAAUUUACAUCAAACAAACACUUUGUAAAAAGUAGAAGUUAAUAAAAUAAAAUAAAAUACAUACUUGUUAAAGAAUAUCAUAAUCUUUUACCCAUUCUAGAAUUAUGAAAAUAAUUAUUGGAUUAUAGGCAUUUAUUGAUCAACCGCUGGAUCACUUUUUAAGAGAGUACCUUUGUGGAAUCAGUGAUAUGUCUAAUUUACCAGAUGAAUUAAUAAACAAAUUCGGUAAGAGAAAUUGUGUGUUAAUGGACUCCUAACUUUUCUUGUUGAAAUACCCGUGUGAAAACCUUCGAGACGUGUAAUACGUAACUACUGUGAAACUGUUUCAAUUGAUUAUUGACUAGUGUCAAAGUGUUUCAAUUUAUUACGGAUGACAUCUGAGAUCCAAUAAGAAAAAGUCACAUAAAUUAUCAGAUAAUGUUGUUUCUAUUUUACCAAUAUCAAACGUAACUAAAUAAUCGAAACAUCACGAAAAUGCAUUAAAUGAAAGUACAUUAUUACCCUUGCUAGUCCAAGUAACGGCCACAAAAUUAUUAAAAACCACACAUUUUUAGUUUUACACAAGUUUUUUCUUCCCGUCACAUUAAAGACUUUAGUGACCUUGCUUUAAUUGGCUUUCAGGCUCUUUUCCUCCAACUCUCACCACCCUCCUCAUCUUAUAACUCAUACUCAAUCCCGGAUUCUUCAUUGUUGCUUUGAGAGAACGUGGGAUGUAUCUUUUCACAUUCUUGCUCGACAUUUUUCAGGACGUCAAAACUGUUCUCGCCUCUCUUCUUGUCCCAUCCCGAUCCCUAACCGAAUAGUAGUAAAAAUCAUACGAAUCUUAUGUCCAAGCUGCCUUCUUGGCCCAUGGCCUGUGCCGAGAGUCAGGCGCCACCUUAUCUUGUUUCUUCUUUGCUGGAAGAGUUGAAUUAUAGUUUCACAUUUGAGAUAAGUGGAUUAUUUUUUAAGAGAGCAUCGUGCGGUAUCCGUGUUAUGGCUAAUUACCUUCUAUAGAUGAAUUAACAAACAAAUUCAACAACAAAAAAAAAAGUGUAUUAAUGGACUCCAAACCUAUAUUUUUUUUCAAUUGUACUUUCUAUACAAAAUUACAUUUUACGGAAUAGUUUCAAAAAAAUAUACAAAAAAUAAAUCCUUUGUAAAAAGUACAAGUUAAUGAAAAAGAAGAUAUAUAGGGAAGUGUUAAAUAAAAUUUAGUAAUCUUUGAGCCACUCAAGAAUUAUGAAAAUACUUAGUGGGUUACGUGUCUGUGUUUAUCAAUCAUGUGGAUCACUUUUUAAGAGAAUAUGGUGUGGUAUUAGUGUUAUGUCUAAUUUACCUUCUAUAGAUUUGCUCACAAACAAAUUUGGCAAGAGAAAUUGUGUGUCAAUGGACUCCUAACAUUUCUUGUUGAAUUAUCCAUGUGAAGCCUUUGAGAUGUGUAAUAUGUAAUUAAUGUGAAAGCAUUUCAAUUUGAUUAUUGACUAGCAUCAAAGAGUUUCAAUUUAUUACUGACGAUGUCUGAGACUCGAGGUGGGUAAUAUGUAAUAAACAUGAAAGUGCCUUAAUUAAUUGGUGGCCACUCUUGAAAAUUCUUUAUUUUUAACUUUUAGUUUAAUUAAUUGAAUGAGAAAAAGUCACAUAAGUUAUCAGAUAAUGUUGUUUCUAUUUUUACCAAUAUCAAACGUAACUAAAUAUUCGAAACAUCACGAAAAUGCAUUAAACGAAAGUACAAUAUUACCCUUGCUAGUCCAAGUAAUGGCCACAAAAUUAUUAAAAACCACACAUAUUUAGUUUUUACACAAGUUUUUUCUUCCCGUCACAUUAACGACUUUAGUGAACUUGCUUUAAUUGUCUUUCGGGCUCUUUUCCUCCUCCAACUCUCGCCACCCUUCUCAUCUUAUACCUCAUACUCGAUCUCAAAUUCUUCAUUGUUGAUUUGAGAGAACGUGAUGUCUAUCUUUUCACAUUCUUGCUCGACAUUUCUCAGGACGUCAGGAGUAUUCUCGCCUCUCUUGUCCCAUCCCAGUCCAUAACUGAAUAGAAGUAAAAAUUAUACGGAUUUGAUGUCCAAGCUGCCUUCCUAGCCCAUGGCCUGUGCCGAGAGUCUGGCAUUAACUUAUCUUGUUUCUUCUCUGCUGGAAGAGCUGAAUUGUAGUUUUGUAUUAGAGAUAAGCAGAUUAUUUUUUAAGAGAGCAUUGUGCGGUAUCCGUGUUAUGGCUAAUUACCUUCCAUAGAUGAACUAACAAACAAAUUCAACAAGAAAAAUAGUGUGUUAAUGGACUCCAAACCUAUCUUCUUCUUUUUUUAAUUGUACUUUCUAUAAAAAAAUUAAGUUUUACGAAAUUGUUUAAAAAAAAUAUACGUAAAUAAAUCCUUUGUAAAAAGUAUAAGUUAAAGAAAAAAAAAUAUAGAGAUAUGUUAAAUGGAAUCUAGUAAUCUUUGACCCACUCAAGAAUUAAGAAAAUAUUUAGUGGAUUACGUGCAUCUAUUGGUCAAUCGCGUGGAUCACUUUUUAAGAGAAUACCAUGUGGUAUCAGUGUUUUGUCUAAUUUACCUUCUAUAUAUUUGUUCACAAACAAAUUCAGCAAGACUAAUUGUGUGUCAAUGGACUCCUAUCAUUUCUUGUCGAAUUAUCCAUGUGAAGCCUUUGAGAUGUGUGAUAUGUAAUUAAUGUGAAACCAUUUCAAUUGAUUAUUGACUAGCGUCAAAGAGUUUCAAUUUAUUACUAACAACGUUUGAGACUCAAGAUGGGUAAUAUGUAAUAAACAUGAAAGUGCCUUAAUUAAUUGGUGGCAACUCUUGAAAAUUCUUUAUUGUAACUUUUAGUUUAAUUAAUUGAAUAAGAGAAAGUCACAUUAGUUAUUGGAUAUUGGAUUUUCUAUUUUUUUAUCGAUAUCAAAUGUAACUAAAUAUUCAAAACAUCAAGAAAAAACAUUAAACGAAAGUACAAUAUUACCCUUAUUAGUCAAGUGAGGGCCACGAAAUUAUUAAAAACCACACAUUUUUCGUUUUUACACAAGUUUUUCUUCCUGUCACAUUAUAGACUUUAGUGAUAUUGCUUUAAUUGGCUUUCGGGCUCUUUUCCUCCAACUCUUGCCACCCUCCUCAUCUUAUACCUCAUAAUCAAUCUUGGAUUCUUCAUAGUUGAUUUGAGAGAAUAUGGGGUGUAUCUUUUCACAUUCUUGCUCGACAUUUUUUAGGACGUCAAGAUUGUUCUCGCCUCUCUUCUUGGCCCAUCGUGGCCCAUAACUGCAUUGCAAUAAAAAUCAUAUGGAUUUGAUGUCCAAGCUGCCUUCUUGGCCCAUGGCCUGUGCAGAGAGUCAGACGCCACCUUAUCUUGUUUCUUCUUUGUUGGAAGACCCGAAUUGUAGUUUUGCACUCGAGUUAAGUGGAUUAUUUUUUAAGAGAGCAUUGUGCGGUAUCCGUGUUAUGACUAAUUACCUUCUAUAGAUGAAUUAACCAACAAUUUUGACAAGAAAAAUAGUAUGUUAAUGGACUCCAAAUCUUUCUUAUUUAAAAAAAAAAAAUUUACUUGCUCUAAACAAUUAUGUUUUAUGAAGUUGUUUCGAAAAAAUAUACAUAAAAUAAAUCCAUUGUAAAAAGUAUAAGGUAAUGAAAAAAAUAUACAUGGGGAUGUGUUAAACGGAAACAAUUAAGUUUUGAACCACUCUAGUAUUAUGAAAAUAUUUACUAGAUGACGUGCAUGUAUUGAUCAAUCGCGUAAUCACUUUUUAAGAGAAUACUGUGUGGUAUCCGUGUUAUAUCUAAUAUACCUUCUAUAGAUUUGUUAACAUAUAAAUUUAGCAAGAGAAAUUGUGUGUCAAUGUAAUCCUAAUGUUUCUUGUCGAAUUAUCCAUGUGGGACCUUUGAGAUGGGUAAUAUGUAAUUAAUGUGAAAUCGUUUCAAUUGAUUGUUGACGCGUCAAAGCAUUUUGAUUUAUUAGUGACGAGAUCUGUGGACCAUGAUGGGUAAUAUCUAAUAAACAUGGAAGUGCCUUAAUUAAGUGGUGGCGACUCUUAAAAAUCUUGUUAUUCAUACUUUGAGUUUAAUUAAUUAAAUAAGAGAAAGUCAUAUUAGUUAUCGGAUAAUGGAGUUUCUAUUUUUUUUUUAUCAAUAUCAAAUGUAACUAAAAUUUCGAAACAUGAAGAAAAUGCAUUAAAUUAAAGUACAAUAUUACCCUUACUAGUCAAAUUAAGGGCCACAAAAUUAUUAAAGACCACACAUUUUCAGUUUUUACUCAAGUUUUUCUUCCCGUCACAUAAAGACCACACUUUUCUUCCAACUCUCGCUACUCUCUUCAUCUUCUACCUUAUACUUCAUCUCGGAUUCUUCAUUGUUGAUUUGAGAGAAUGUGGAAUGUAUCAUUUGACGUUCUUGCUCGAUAUUUUUAGGGAUGUCAAGACUGUUCUUACCUCUCUUCUUGCCCCAUCGUGGUCCAAAACCCAAAUACUAGUAAAAUUCAUAAGGAUUUGAAGAGCCAAGAUGUAGUUUCAUACUUGAGAUAAGUGGAUUAUUUUUUAAGAGAGUACCGUGCGGUAUUUGGGUUGUUUCUGCAGAUGAAUUAACAAACAAAUUCGACAAGAGAAAUUGUGUGUUAGUAGACUCCUGCUUUGUUUAAUUAUAAUUUCUCUAAAAAAAAUUACAUUUUACGAAGUUGAUUCUAAAAAAAAUAUGCAUUGUAAAAAGUAGAAGUCAAUGAAAAAAACAUAGACAGACUUGUUAAAUAGAAUAUUGUAAUCUUGGAUCCAGUCUAGAAUUACAAAAACAUUUAGUGGAUCACGUAUAUCGAUUGAUCAAUGGCGUGGAUCAUGUUGAAAGAGAGUACCGUGCCCGUAUUACGUCCAAUUUACCUUAUAUAGAUAAAUUAACAAACAAAUUCUGCAAUAGAAAUUAUGCAUUACUGGACUAGUAACUUUUUUUUUUCCUUUUUUUCUUUUUUUUUUGAGUUAUACAUUCUCUAAAAAUUAUGCUUUACAACAUUUAUUCUAAAAAAAUUUACAUCAAACAAAUAUUUUAUAAAAAGUUGAAGUUAAUGAAAUAAAUUUAUGCAUAUGUGUUAAAUAUAAUCUCAUAAUCUUCGACCUACUCUAAAAUUACGAAAAUAUUUAGUGAAUUACGUGUAUUUAUUGAUCAAUGGCAUGGAUUCUUUUUAAGAGAGUAUCGUGCGGUAUCCGUGUUAUGGCUAAUUACCUUCUGUAGAUGAAUUAAAAGAAAAAAAUUGACAAGAAAAAUAGUGUGUUAAUGGACUCCUAACCAUUUUUUUAUUUGUACAUUCUCUAAAAAAAAAAAAAAAAAAAAAAUUCAUUUUACGAAAUUGUUUCAAAACAUAUACAUAAAAUAAAUCCUUUGUAAAAAGUAUAAGUUAAUGAAAACAAAUAUAUAGGGAUGUGUUAAAUGGAGGGAUCACUUUUUAAGAGAACCGUGUGGUAUCAAUGUUAUGUCUAAUUUACCUUCUAUAGAUUUGUUAACAAAUAAAUUCCUCAAGAGAAAUUGUGUGUCAAUGCACUCCUAACGUUUCUUGUGAAUUAUCCAUGUGAAACCUUUGAGAUGGGCAAUAUGUAAUUAAUGUGAAACCGUUUCAAUUGAUUAUUGACUAGCGUCAAAGAGUUUCAAUUUAUUACUGAAAAAAUCCGUGACCCAAGAUGGGUAAUAUAUAAUAAACAUGAAAGUGCCUUAAUUAAUGGUGGAAACUCUUAAAAAUUGCUUUAUUGUAACCUUUUAGUUUAAUUAAUUAAAUAAGAAAAUGUCACAUUAGUCAUCGGAUAAUAGAGUUUCUAUUUUUUUAUAAAUAUCAAAUGUAACUAAAUAUUCAAAACAUGAAGAAAAUGCAUUAAAGAAAAGUACGAUAUUACCCUUAUUAGUCAAAGUAAGGGCAACAAAAUUAUUAAAAACCACACAUUUUUAGUUUUUACACAAGUUUUUCUUCCCGUUACAUUACAGACUUUAGAGACCUUACUUAAUUGGCUUUCGGGCUCUUUUCCUCCCACUCUCUCUACCCUUCUCAUCUUCUACCUCAUACUCGAUCUUUGAUUCUUUGUUGUUAAUUUGACAGAAUGUGGGAAGUGUCAUUUCACUUUCUUGCGCAAUAUUUUUAGGGAUGUUAAGACUAUUCUUGCCUCUCUUCUUGCCCCAUCGCGGUCCAAAACCCCAACUACUAGUAAAAUUCAUAAAAAAAUUGAUGUCCAAGCUGCCUUCUUAGCCUGUGGCCCGUCCUGAUAGUUAGCCAUUACCUUGUCUUGUUUCUUCUUUGGUGGAAGUGCUGAGUUGUAGUUUUGCACUAGAGGUAAGUGGAUCAUUUUUUAAAUGGAGUACCAUUUAGUAUCCUUGUUAUGUCUAAUUUACCUUCUACUGAUGAAUUAACAAACAAAUUUGACAAGAGAAAUUGUGUUAAUAGACUUAAAAAAAAAAUUAAUUGUACAUUCUCUAAAAAAUUACACUCAACGAAACUGAUGCUAAAAAAUAUACAUUGUAAAAAGUAGAAGUUAAUGAAAAAAAUUUACACAGACUUGUUAAAUAGAAUCACGUAAUCUUUGAUCAAGUAUAGAAUUACAAAAAUAUUUAGUGGAUUAUUGAUCAAUGGCAUGGAUCAUGUUUUAAGAGUGUACCAGCUGAAACCCGUGUUACGUCAAAUUUACCAUCUAUAGAUAAAUUAACGAACAAAUUCUGCAAGAGAAAUUGUGUGUUAUUGGACUCGUAACUUUUUUUUUCAGUUAUAUAUUCUCUAAAAAAUUAUGUUUUACAAAAAUUAAUCUAAAAAAAUUUACAUCAAACAGAUAUUUUGUAAAAGUUGAAGUUAAUAAAAUAAAUAUGUGUAGAUGUGUUAAAUAUAAUCUCGUAAUCUUUGACCCACUCUGGAAUUACAAAAAUAUUUUGUGAAUUAUGUGUAUUUAUUGAUCAACGGCGUGGAUCACAUUUAGAAGAGUAUCGUAUGAUAUCCGUGUUUUGUCUAAUUUACCUUUUGUAGGUGAAUUAACAAACGAAUUCAGCAAAAGAAAUUGUGUACUAAUGGAUUCCGGACUUAUUUUGUUUUGUAAUUAUACAUUCUCUAAAAAAUUAUAUUUAAGAAAUAGAUUCUAAAAAAAUUUACAUAAAAAAAAAACACUUUCUACAAAGUAGAAGUUGAUAAUAUAUAUCAUAAUCUAUGACCCACUCUAGAAUUAUGAAAAUAUUUAGUGGAUUACAUGUAUUUAUUGAUCAACUGUGUGGAUCACUAUUAAAGAGAGUACCUUGCGAAAUCUGUGUUAUUUCAAAUUUACCUUCUAUAGAUGAAUUAACAAACAAAUUCAGCAAGAGAAAUUGUGUGUUAAUGGACUCCUAAGUUGUCGAAAUACCCAUGUGAAAACCUUCGAGAUGGUAAUACGUAACGAAUAUGUAACUGUUUCAAUUGAUUAUUGACUAGUUUCAAAGCAUUUCAAUUUAUUACUGAGGAAAUAUGUGACCCAAGAUGGGUAAUAUGUAACAAACACAAAAAUGCCUUCAUUAAUUUAUGGCAACUCUUAAAAAUUGUUUUAUUGUAACUUUUAGUUUAAUUAAUAAAAUAAGAAAAAGUCACAUAAGUUAUCAGAUAAUGUUGUUUCUAUUGUUUAUCAAUAUCAAAUGUAACUAAAUAUGCAAAACAUCAAGAAAAUGCAUUAAACGGAAGUACAAUAUUACCCCUGCUAGUCCAAGCAAGGGCCACAAAAUUAUUAAAAACCACAUAUUUAUAGUUUUUACACAUGUUUUUCUUCUCAUCUUCUACCUCAUACUCGAUCUUGGAUUCUUCAUUGUUGAUUUGAGAGAAUGUGGGGUGUAUCAAUUCACAUUUUUGCUUGACAUUUUUAGGGACGUCAAGAUUGUUAUUGCCUCUUUUCAUGUCCCAUCGUGGUCCAAAACCCGAAUAGUAGUAAAAAUCAUACGGAUUUGAUGCCCAAGAUGCCUUCUUAUCCCAUGGCCUGCAUUGAGAGUUAGCCGCAACCUUAUCUUGUUUCUUCUUUGCUGGAAGAGCUAAAUUAUAGUUUUGCACUUGAGGUAAGCGGAUUAUUUUUUAAGAGAGAAUCGUGCAAUAUCUGUGUUAUGGCUAAUUACAUGCUAUAGAUGAAUUAACAAACAAAUUCGACAAGAAAAAUCAUGUGUUAAUGAAUUCCUAACCUUUCUUCUUUUUUUAAUUGUACUUUCUCUAAAAAAUUACGUUUUACUAAAUUUUUUCAAGAAAAUAUACGUAAAUCAAAUCCUUUGUAAAAAGUAUAAGUUAAUUGAAAAAAAUAUAGGGAUGUGUUAAAUGGAAUAUAGUAAUCUUUGACUGACUCAAGAAUUAUGAAAAUAUUUAGUGGAUUACGUGUAUCUUUGAUCAAUUGCGUGGAUCACUUUUCAGGAGAAUACCGUGUGGUAUCCAUGUUAUGUCUAAUUUUCCUUCUAUUGAUUUGUUAAUUAACAAAUCCGGCAAGAGAUAUUGUUUGUCAAUGGACUCUUAACGUUUCUUAUUGAAUUGUCCAUGUGAAACCUUUGAGAUGGAUAAUAUGUAAUUAAUGUGAAACCGUUUCAAUUGAUUAUUGACUAGCAUCAAAGAGUUUCAAUUUACUAUUGACGACAACUGUGGCCUAAGACCCUUACUAGUCAAAGUAAGGGCAACAAAAUUAUUAUAAACCACACAUCUUUAGUUUACACACAUGUUUUUCUUCAUGUCACAUUAGAUACUUUAGUGACCUUACCUUAAUUGGCUUUCAGGCUCUUUUCCUCCAACUCUCGCCAACCUCCUCAUCUUCUACCUCAUACUCGAUCUCGAAUUCUUCAUUGUUGAUCUGAGAAAAUGUGGGGUGUAUCAUUUCACAUUCUUGCUUGAGAUUUUUAGGGGCGUCAAUAUUGUUUCGCCUCUCUUCAUGUCCCAUCAUGUUCCAAACCCAAAUAGUAUAAAAAUCAUACGGAUUUGACGUCCACACUGCCUUCUUGUCCAAUGGCUUGUGCUGAGAAUCAAUCGUAACCUUAUCUUGUUUCGUCUUUGCUGGAAGAGCCGAAUUGUAGUUUUGCACUUUAGAUAAGUGGAUUAUUUUUUAAGAGAGAAUCGUGCGAUAUCCGUGCUAUGGCUAAUCAUCUUCUAUAGAUGAAUUAACAAACAAAUUCAACAAGAAAAAUAGUGUGUUAAUGGACUCCUAACCUUUCUUCUUCUUUUUUUAAUUGUAAUUUCUCUAAAAAAUUAUGUUUUGCUAAAUUGUUUCGAGAAAAUAUGCAUAAAAUGGAUCCUUUGUAAGAAGUAUAAGUUAAUAAAAAAAAAAAAAAAAUAUAUAUAUAUAUAUAGUAACCUUUGACCUACUCAAAAAUUAUUAAAUAUUUAGGGGAUUGAGCGUAUCAUUGAUCAAUCGCGUGGAUCAAUUUUUAAGAGAAUACCAUGUGGUAUCCAUGUUGUGUCUGAUUUACCUUCUAUACAUUUGUUAACAAACAAAUUUGGCAAAAGAAAUUGUGUGUCAAUGGACUCCUAACAUUUCUUGUCAAAUUAUCCAUGUGAAACCUUUGAGAUGGUAAUAUAUAAUUGAUAUGAAACUGUUUCAAUUGAUUAUUGACUAGCGUCAAAGAGUUUCAAUUUAUUACUGAGACAAUUGUGACCCAAGACCCUUCCUAGUCAAAGGGCCACAAAAUUGUUAUAAACCACACAUUUUUAGUUUUUACAUAUGUUUUUCUUCCCUUCACAUUAGAGACUUUAGUGACCUUACUUUAAUUGGCUUUGUGCUCUUUUCCUCCAACUCUCGCCACCCUCCUCAUGUUAUACCUCAUACUUAAUCUCGGAUUCUUCAUUUUUGGUUUGAGAGAAUGUGGGGUGUAUCAUUUCACAUUCUUGCUCGACAUUUUUAGGGAUGUCAAGACUGCUCUUGCCUUCGUUCUUAUUUGUCGCGGUCCAAAACCCGAAUACUAGUAAAAAAUCAUAUGGAUUUUGAAAAUUCACAGGGAACGCUCUAAUAACGCUUGAAAAAUCACCUAAUGCGUUGCAACAUCAAAUUCAAAAUUUAAGCUUACCAAGUUUACGUUCCAAUUAACAAUUAUUCGACCUUACUGCGAAAUUACUAAUAUAAGCAACAAGUCACUUAUUAUUAGUCGUCUAGGUGGUUAAACAAUCAAGUUCAAUUAAUUCCUAAGGUUGAAUUGCCGAUUUGUAAUGCAUAAAGUAAAUAAAACAAUAAAAAUAUAACUUACGAUAUGAUGAUGGAGAAAUCCUAACGUGGAUAAAACUCCGGAACCAAGCCAGUGACUUCCACUAUUCCAAUUCAGCAAGUGCAAGUUCCCAAAUUCCGUACCCAAUCAGAUCCGCUGUUCUAAUCUCACGAUCUACUGCCGUAGAUGCAACUAGCCUCUUACUAGAUUUCCCGAUCUACCUUCUGCAGCCCAAUCUGCUGUCUACUACAGCCUCCUGGUUCUUAGCUGAUUGUAUCACCAAGUGAAAUUUCAAGAACCGUCUGUUCUUGUCCAAUUCACUGCGCUUGUCGUUCACCUCUCUCAAUCCCCAAUGAGAGAGUCCCUUCCUUACAAAAUUAAGGAAGCACCGGUGUUUUGUCUUCAAGACCUUUGAUUUUUUCUACUGAAACAAUGGUUGUCGGAUCACAAGAGUGAUAUAGAUGGAACCAUCAAUUAAUUUAGCCUUGGAUCACUUCGAUAAUAAAAUGGAUGUUAUGAAGAUGAAAGCUCAAUGUUGCAACCACGGCCGCCGACUUUAUUUAUUUAAGAGUUCAAUUCCAGCUUCCUUAAAUUUAGUCGCAAAUUUGCCCAACUUGUGUGAGAACAAGAUUCAAUUCCCAGAUUUUUUAACUCUCUAGAUCACAAGAUGCUAGCACCAAAGUAUGUAUAUAAACAAUAUAAUUCAGCCCCCAGUCGGCAGUCCACUUGUCCUUCAAUUCUCUCAAAAUUGUUGCCAAUAAUGUUAUGUUUGUAUAUAUAUAAAUUCAACAGCUCGUCAGCCCUUCAAUUCUGUAAUUUAACCCCCCCAAUAUGUGUAUAUAUAUCUUAGAAUUCAGCAAAUGCAGCCUCCAAAAUUAGUCGUUUAUAUUUGUAUGUUUUGCUCCAGUUUCCUCUUCUUUCGGCCCAAAAAGAUAGCCUCCAUUUUGGUACGAAUAUAUAUGUUGAAAUUCAGUAGCUUGCCUCAAUUCUUGACCAUUCAAAGUAGCUCCAAGUGCUAUAUAUUGUGUUUGCAAAUUAUUCCGAAGGCCGCCUCAAAUUCCUUGUUCCUAAUUUUGUCUCCUCAAUAGCAACCGCCCAAUUUGAUUCACAAAAUUGUCUUUGCAUGCAUGUGAAUAUAGACAAUUAAAUUCAGUAGCUUGCCAGCCCUUUUCUGCCUCAAUUUUCGUGUAUAUUUAUGGCACAAUUUCAGUACCACCACUUUUUUUAAUUCCUCCAAAGAGCAGCCAGCUGUUCUUAAUUCUUCCAAGCUGCUGUCGGUGUAUGUAUGUGUGUGUGUGUGUGUGUAUUGGCUGCUCUCCCUUUUCAGUUCACCUGCAUGUCUAUAUAAAUAGACUUUGACUUAUGGGCCAUAAUUUUCCAAGCUCAAACCCUAGCCCAACUCAAGUUGCACUUCAUGCCUUGACUUUUAGACAUGUUUAAUUAAGUCCUAUUUUGUUCAUAGAAUGCUAAUUACAAUUAAAAACCAAACAAUCUCCCUCUUUGGCAUUCUGUGACAAUUAUACAAAUUCAAGUCAAGGGAUUACAAUCAAUUAAAACAACCUAAACUACCCAAAAUUCGAAUCACCGAGUCUUGCAUUCCUUGUUGUACCUAUUUCCUGAAAUCUAAAAACUCACAUACCCAGUGUACAAGAACGUGAUAUAGAAAAUAUAAAAACUAAAGCACUUAAUCACAAUUCAACAUGCUAGUUUGAGACGUGACAUUGAUACUAAUCAAAAUACCAACCGAAACACCAAUAUUACUAAACAUCAAAACUCAACAGCAAUGGAUAUGAUAUGGAAUGCAAUGCAAUGCAACGCUCUCCCUUAUUGCAAACUCUCAUAAAUGUUAUGCAGUAAAUCAAUGUAUCUAUGUCUUCUCCUCAGUUAUACUUUUCUCUCCCCUUUUUGUCACAAAUGCUGAAAGGUAUUGUGUCAAGUACAAUCUGAGCAAUAACACAUAAUAACUGAAAAACGUAGAUGAUAGCAUACAAAAGUCAAAUCAAUAAGUUAUAGACCUCCCCACAUACUCAUUUUAGAUCAGAAUGGAGUAAAAAGUGUACAAAUCCAAUGCAAGCAGGACUCCAAACCUUAAAUUUGUGAGAAAAGCCAUGCUAAUCAUUGCCAAUAAGUGUAUUCUCCUACUAAUGAAAGUCUAACCAUGUAACGUGUAGUAGGAUCUAUACUUAAUUAAUUUUUACUUAUCUCCCUCUACUAUGAGCUUUUAUAUUUUUCAGAUUUUCAUAUUAUUCCAGCUCUUCAUAUUUUUCUCAUUUUUCUAGCUCAUUAAUUUUUCAUCUUAAGUGCAGGUUCUUCUCCAUUAGGCAACUAAGAUGACCCUGUACCGAGUUUUAGGCCGGUUAACCCAAGUCAGUUGACCAUAGGCACCAGGUUUUAAGUGACCCCGCAGGCUUAAUUGCUCGAAUCAAAUAGGCCCAAUUGCUCGAAUCAAAUAGGCCCCGAAGAAAAACAUAAAAAUAUGAGCUUUCAUAUAAUGCGGGAAUUAUUUUUGGGUUUAGGUCUACUAAAUAUAGGUUAAUUGAUGUCCAAAGUCACCCUAUUAAUAUGUGACAGCCAUCCCAAAUCUCACACACACAGUAGAGUCCCACUAACAAAUUCAUAGUAAGUGCAGUACAGGUGGUACAUGAAGACACCUAUACUAAGUACUUCAUGAUGAUCUAAUCAAGCAAUGGAAAUAAUGCUACAACUUAUCCAUUUUAGCUCAUACACUGUCACAACAUACAAGUUCAGAAUUAUAUAUCAUGCUGUAGAAAUUUCCAUUUUUUUUAAUUUUUGUUUUGAAUAUUUUUUAACAUGAAUGCGCCACACAGUUGUGUCACUUGAAUUUUUUUUUUUUAAUUUUAUAUGAUGAGACUAAAAACAUAUGAAAAAGACAAAUGUAAACAAAAUAAACAUGCAAUGAAAUGAAUGCAAAAAGGAACAUUCAGGUGAGCUGAACAUGAAUGUUCCUAUAAAACUAGUCAAGGAGGUACAUAAAUACCAACAGCCUUCCUAAGUAACUCAAACCUCAUACCAUCUAAAGAUUUAGUGAAAAAAUCUACAAGCUGAUUUUCUGUAGCAAUGUGUUUAAGGGAUACCACAUUGGACUCAACAAGUUCACGAAUGAAGUGAUGACGAAUAUCAAUAUGUUUAGUCCUAGAGUGUUGAACAUGAUUUUUGGAGACGUUGAUAGCGUUGGUGUUAUCACAAAACACGGUCAUGGUGCCCUAAUUUAUCCUAUAAUCACUCCACAUUUGCUUUAUUCAAAGCAAUUGAGUGUAGCAGUUACCAGCUGCAAUGUAUUCUGCCUCGGCUGUAGACAGAGAAACUGAGUUUUGUUUCUUACUCAUCCGUGACACAAGAUUAGAACCAACAUAGAAGCAUCCACCCGAGGUACUCUUCCUAUUAUCGGCAUUUCCAGCCAAAUCAGCAUCAGAAUAGACUACGAGUUCAAGAUUUGACUCUCUGGAAUAUAAAAUCCCAUGAUUUACAGUCCCUUUUACAUACUUAAUGAUACCUCUCACUGCACUCAAAUGGGAUUCCUUAGGAUCUACCUGAAAUCUCGCACAUGCUCCAACACUGAAAGCUAUGUCAAGUCUACUGGCUGUAAGGUAGAGUAAGCUACCUAUCAUACUCCUAUACAAUGUCUGAUCAAUACUUCUGCUCAUAGGAUCAUGACCUAACUUAGCACUCGUGCUCAUAGGUGUCCUUGUGUGUUUUUACUGUCAGUCCAAAUCACUUAACUAGGUCUUUGCCAUACUUUGAUUGAGAGAUAAACAACCCAUAGUCAGUUUGCUUUAGUUGAAGGCCAAAGAAGUAACUUAGCUAUCCAACCAUGCUUAUUUCAAAUUCUUGUUUCAUACAUUCAACAAAUUCAUAAGCAAGAGAGUCAAUGGAAAAGCCAAACACAAUAUCAUCGACAUAGAUCUAUGCUAUAGUUAUGGUUUCUUCAAUAUGUCUAAUGAAUAGAGUUCUAUCUACACCACCUCGUGAAAAACCAUGGUCAAUGAGAUAUAAAGUGAGUGUAUCAUACCAAGCUAUAGGAGCUUGUUUCAGACCAUACAAGGCUUUAUUCAAUUUGUAGACAUAAUGGGGAAACUUAGAAUCGAUGAAUCCUUUGGGCUGUUCAACAUAUGCCUUUCCUUGAAGUAUUUCAUUCAAGAAGGCACUCUUGAUAUCCAUUUGAUACAGUUUGAACCCUAAAGAAUGAUGUGAAUGGACUCAAGACGUGCAACAGGGGCAAAUUUCUCAUCAAAAUCUACCCUUUCAUCCUGAGUAUACCCAUAAGCAACUAGCCUAGCCUUAUUUCUCAUUAUGGUACCCUAGUCAUCGAUUUUGUUCUUGAAAAUCCACUUAGUAUCUAUCAAAUUGCAAUCUUCAGGUCUAGGCACUAGAUACCAAACAUUGUUUCGAACAAAUUGAUUAAGCUCCUCAUGCAUUGCAUUCACCCAAAAUUCAUCUCUAAGAGCUUCCUCAACUUUCUUAGGCUCAAUCUGGGAUACAUAGCUUGUAUAGGUUAGGUUAUUCAGAACUCUCUUUCUUUACCUCAUACCUUCAUCUAGAUCCCCAAUGAUGUUGACCUUAGGAUGGUUAGAUUUGACCCUGGAUGAUGGUUCUCUAGGAAACUUAGUUUGUUUACUAGGUGAAGGAUCCUUAAUAGAAAUGUCUAUGCCGUUGGGGGACCGUGGAGAUUUUGGAAUUGAUUGUUCUUUAUCCUCAGUUGUGGGUCCUUGAUCAUCACUUAGAUAAGCUAAAUCUACCACAUUUUCAACACUCUCACCCUUAGAGAAAGCAUCAUCAUCAACAACAUUUAUAGACUCCAUGACACUCUGAGUACGCAAGUUGUAUACUCGAUAGGCUAUACUGUUCCUAGAAUAUCCUAGAAAAACCCCUUCAUCACUUUUGUAAUCAAACUUACCUAAGUUUUCUCUAUCCCUCAUAAUGAAACACUUGUUGCCAAACACAUGAAAGUAUUUAACAGUAGGCUUCUUACCCUUCUAGAUCUCAUAAGGAGUCCUAUCAGUUUUUAGUCUCAGGUAUACUCUGUUCACUAUGUGGCAAGCAGUGUUAAUAGCUUCACACCAGAAAUGGAUUGCUAGAUCCUUGUCGUGAAGCAUGGCUCUAGCCAUUUCCUGAAGCACUCUAUUUUUCCUCUUGACAACCCUAUUUUAUUGUGGACUGAUUGGUGAGGAGAACGCAUGCUAAAUCCCCUCUUCCAAACAUAAGUUUUCAAGAUUAGAGUUUUCAAACUCUUUUCCAUGAUCACUUUAAACCCUAGAAAUGGAAAGAUUUUGUUCAAUUCUGAGUCUUUUACACAAGGAUUUAACCAGAUCACAAGUCUCAGAUUUUUCUCUUUGUAGCUCAAUCCAGGUGUAUCUAGAAAAGUCGUCUACCACAACAAGAAUAUAACGUUUACCUCAUAGGCUCUCAAUCCUAGAAGGUCCCAUUAAAUCCAUAUGGAGAAGUUCUAAGGGUCUGUUUGUCAAGAUUUUGGAUGUUUGUUUAUGGUUUAUCCUAAAUUGUUUUCCUUGUUGACACGGCUUGUACACAGCAUUUUCAUUUUGUUCAAUUUUAGGUAAACCAUCAACAAUUUUCUUUUUGACCAAUUUUGACAUGUUUUUAUAGUUAAUAUGGCCGAAUUUUUGAUGCCAAAGUUCAGUCAUAUUAAUUUUAGCACUACUGCACACAUAGUUAGAGUUUGGGAAAACUCCAUAACAGUUAUCAGACGUUCUAACACCUUCAAGGACAACACGACCUGAAAAGUCAUAAAUAGCACAUCUCUUUUGAACAAAACUCACUUCAUAGUCAGCAUCACAAAUUUGACUAAUGCUCAAUAGAUUGGACUUAAGACCCUCUACAUAAAGCACAUUAGAUAUAGUAGGAAGUCCAGAUAUGUUGAUGGUGCCUUUAUCAUGGAUAGGUGUCGUAGCUCUGUCUCCAAAGUUAACUACACCAAUGUUGUAGUCAUCAACGGUCAAAAAUAAGGCCUUAUUACCACAUACGUGUCUAGAACAAGCACUAUCAAGAUACUACAUAUAUGUAUUUUGAGCCUUCUAUGCAACAUGAGCUACAAAACAAUUUAAAUUCUCAUAAUACCUACCCACAUCAGAUUUCUUGGCCCAAACUUUUCUAGAGGUUGAGGUGAUCCUAGUCAAUUUUAUCACCAUCUCAGUUUAAGUGACUAACCUGAUUUGAAAGGAAGUUUACUUGACUAGGGAUAUCCUGACUUCUAUUCCUAUUUGCUAGCUUAUGACACCUAGGUCUCGUGUGUCCUAAAGCACCACAAUGAUGACAAUUGGGUUUGAACCUAGGCUCAAAUGCAUGUGAUUUGUUGGUGCUGAAAUUUUGGUGUGGAAAUCUUACGGGCUCUAGUGAUGUUCAGUUCAGUGACACUCUUAUUUUUGGAUUCACGAUUGAUUGAAAUACUAGAAUUGUUGGAAGCAGGCAUGAAUGUGGUCUUGGAUGAACUACUCACAUUGCUAUCACUCUUUUCAAAUCCUAGACCUUGCCUAUUUCCAGCUGGUUUGUUCAUUCCUAACAGGUCGUCUAGUUUCUUAGUCCUACUCAUAAAAGACUAUAGUUGAGUAAUAGAUUUCUCUAACUCACAAGUUAGUGUCUUAACCUUGUUCUCUAACUUCUCAUUGACACACUUCAACUUACUAUGGUUUUUAGAUGAGACCUGAAGAUCACUAGUGAGUCUCUUUUUCUAUCUCUUUAGCUCGUCUACCUUUUAAAAUAGGGCCUUAUUUACAUUUUUUAAUCUUGAGGCUCUCCUUAAACAGAAGUUGAUAAGCCUCAUGUAUAUCCAUCUCAUCCUCAAUAUCGUCAUUAAACUUCUCACUCUCUACAUCCUCCUCAACCUUCUCGCUGUCCUUAUCUGACUCACUCUUAACUGUAGACACAAAAGCUAUAUACCCCUUUUCAUCUUCACUGUUAGAGGAAUCACUUUAAUCACUUGAGCUUGAAUCAUCACCAGUCAAUGACAAAGCUAAUGGCUUACUCCUUCCUUUCUUCAGAUUUUUCUUAAAGCUAGGACAUUCAUUCCUAUAGUGCCCAAAUCCUUGACACUCAUGGCACCUAACAACUUGAGAUUUCUUACUAAAAUUCCUAGCAGUUGGUUUAUCACUUCUCUUUUUGAAAUUUACUGGGGGCUUCUCUCUUUUUGUCUUGGGGCCAUCUCUUGCCCUUUAAAGCUUUCUGGAACUUCUUUACGAAAUAAGCUAUUUCCUCAUCUCUAAGGGUUUCUAUAUCAGAUGACUCAGACUCUUCUUCUCUAACCCUGUUUAGCGCAAUGGACUUGUUUUUCUUAGGUUGUGAGAUGGUGAGUUCAUAGGUUUGAAGGGAUCCUACAAGUUCUUCUAUCUUAACUGUGUCCAGAUCCUUACUCUCUUCAAUAGCUGUAACUUUAGGUCUAAAUCUCUCGGGCAAAGACCUAAGAAUCUUUCUCACAAUUUUUUACUCGAGAAUCUUUUCACCUAGGUUGAAACUAGAGUUUACGAUGUCAUUUAAUUUUGCAUAAAACUCAUCAAACGAUUCAUCAUCCUUCAUCCUGAUUUCUUCAAACCUAGAGGUUAGCAUUUGCAAUUUUCAAUUUUUUACGAUUUUAGUUCCCUCAUGCGUAGUCUCUAGAAUGUCCCAUACCUCUUUAGCAGUUUCACACAUUGACACUCUCCUAAAUUCUUCGGGAGACACGGCCAUAAACAAGGCAUGAAGUCCUUUGCUAUUCCAAUUGCAAUCAGCUAAUUCUUCCUUAGUCUAAAGUAAAGUAUCAGUUAGAUUGACAACAUUUGACACAGUUGUAGAAGGAGGUUUCCAACCAUUUUAUACACUCACCCAAACAUGUUCAUCUAAAGAUUUAAGAAAAGCACGCAUCCUACCUUCCAGUAGGCAUAGUUGCUUCCGUCAAAAUACGGAGGCACAGAUAGUGAUCGACUCAUCUAGACAACAAUGGGUUAGGACUCGAGUUUUGGCUCUGAUACCACUUGAAAAUUCAUGGGGAACGCUCUAGUAGCGCUUAAAAAGUCACCUAACGCGUUGCAACGUCAAAUUCAAAUUUUAAGCUUACCAAGUUUACCUUCCAAUUAACAAUUAUUCGACCUUACUGUGGAAGUACUAAUAUAAGCAACAAGUCACUUAUUAUUAGUCGUCUAGGUGGUUAAACAGUUCAAUUAAUUCCUAAGGUUGAACUGUCGAUUUGUAAUGCACAAAGUAAAUAAAACAGUAAAAACACAACUCACGAUAUGAUGACGGAGAAAUCCUAACGUGGAUAAAACUCCGGGACCAAGCCAGUGACUUCCACUAUUCCAAUUCAACAAGUACAAGUUCUUAAACUCCGUACCCAAUUAGGCCCGCUGUUCUAGUCUCACGAUCUAUGUCGUAGAUGCAACUAGCCUCCUGCUAGAUUUCCUGAUCUACCUCCUGCAACCCAAUCUGCUGUCCACUACGACCUCCUAGUUCUCAGCUGAUUGUAUCACCAAGUGAAAUUUCAAGAACCGCCUGUUCUUGUCCAAUUCACUACGCUUGUGGUCCACUUCUCUCAAUCCCCAAUGAGAAAAUCCCAUCCUUACAAGAUUAAGGAAGCACCGGUGUUUUGUCUUCAAGACCUUUGAUGUUUUCCACCGAAACAAUGGUUGCUAAAUCACAAGAGUGAUAUAGAAGGAACUAUCAAUUAAUUUCAUCUUGGAUCACUUCGAUAAUAAAAUGGAUGUUAUGAAGAUGAAAGCUCAAUUUUGCAACCAUGGCCGCCGACUUUAUUGAUUGAAGAGUUCAAUUCCAGCUUCCUUAAAUUCAGCCACAAAUCUGCCCGAACUUGUGUGAGAACAAGAUUCAAUUCCCAGCUUUUUAACUCUCUAGAUCACAAGAUGCUAGCACCAAAGUAUGUAUAUAAACAAUAUAAUUCAGCCCCCAGCCGGCAGUCCACUUUUCCCUCAAUUCUCUCAAAAUUGUCACCAAUAAUGUUGUGUGUGUAUAUAUAUAAAUUCAGUAGCUCGUCAGCCCUUCAAUUCUCUAAUUUAAGCUGCCAAUAUAUAUCUUACGAUUCGGCAAAUGCAGCCUCCAAAAUCAGCCGUUUAUAUUUGUAUAUUUUGCUCUAGUUUCCUCUUCUUUUGGCCCAAAAAGACAGCCUCCAUUUAGGUGCGAUUCAAAGUAGCUCCAAGUGCUAUCUAUUAUGUUUGCAAAUUAUUCCCAAGGCUGCCUCAAAUUCCUUGUUCCCAGUUUUGUCUCCUCAACAGCAACCGCCCAAUUUGAUUCACAAAAUUGUCUUUGCAUGCAUGUGAAUAUAGACAAUUAAAUUCAGCAGCUUGCCAGCCCUUUUCUGCCUCAAUUUUCGUGUCUAUUUAUGGCACAAUUUCAGCACCACCACUUUUUUUAAUUCCUCCAAAGUAGCUGCCUUUUUGUGAUAGUAUACGUGUAUAUAUCUUAGCAGCCGACCGUUCUUAAUUCUUCCAAGCUGCCGUCGACGUAUAUAUGUAUAUAUUUUGGCUGCUCUACCUUUUCAGUUCAUCUGCGUGUCUAUAUAAAUAGACUUUGACUUAUGGACCAUAAUUUUUCAUGCUCAAACGCUAGCCCAACUCAAGUAUACAAUAUUGCACUUCACGCCUCGACUUUUAGACAUGUUUAAUUAAGUCCUAUUUUGUUCAUAGAAUGCCAAUUACAAUUAAAAACCUAACAGAUUAGAUGUCCAAGCUGCCUCCUUUGCCCAUGGCCUGUGCUGAGAGUCAAUCUCCAUGUUAUCUUGUUUUUUCUUUGUUGGAAGAGCUGAAUUGUGGUUUCGCACUUGAGAUAAGUGGAUUAUUUUUUAAGAGAGUAUCAUGUAGUAUCUGUGUUAUCGCUAAUCACCUUCUAUAGAUGAAUUAACAAACAAUUUCAACAGGAAAAAUAGUGUGUUAUACCUUCUAUAGAUAUGUUAACAUACAAAUUCAGCAAGAGCUAUUGUGUGCCGAUGGAUUACUAACGUUUCUUGUCGAAUUAUCGAUGUGAAACCUUUGAGAUGGGUAAUAUGUAAUUAAUGCGAAACCAUUUCAAUUGAUUAUUGACGAGCGCCAAAGCUUUUUGAUUUAUUGGUGAUGACAUCUAUGGGUAAUAUGUAACAAAUAUGAAGGUGCCUUAAUUAAUUGGUGAACUCUUUAAAAUCUCUUUAUUUUAUUUUUCAGUUUAAUUAAUUAAACAAGAAAAAGUCACAUUAGUUAUCAGAUAAUGGAAUUCUACUUUUUAUCAAUAUCAAAUGCAACUAAAAUUUUGAAACAUGAAUAAAACGCAUUAAAUUAAAGUACAAUAUUACUUUUGCUAGUCAAAUUAAGGGCCACAAAAUUAUUAAAGACCACACACUUUUAGUUUUGCCACAAGUUUUUCUUCCCGUCACAUAAAAGACUUUAGUGACCUUGUUUUAGUUGACUUUCAGGCUCAUUUUCUACAACUCUCGCAACCCUCUUCAUCUUCUACCUCAUACUCCAUCUCGGAUUCUUCAUUGUUGAUUUGAGAAAAUGUAGGGUGUAUCGUUUGACGUUUUAGUCAUGCACCAGUUUUAACAAUUCUGGAAGAAUUGAAGGUUUUGUGAUCCACGGCAAUACAUCUAAGCAAUGCUUAGUGUGUGUCCCAAUGCACCAUGGAAAGGUGGUUGCUUAUGCUUCAAGAUAAUUAAAGCAAUGAUGAGUGCAAUUUAGACACUUAUUUAGACUAUUUUAUUAAACUUUUACGUCGUCAAAUAAUUUAUUUGUAUCUAACUUAGAUUAAUUUUCAUUUUGUUUUUAGUGACAAACCCGUUUGAAGCAAUUGGGAAGGAUGAAGAACAAAUUGGCUAUUUGACGAGAAAUUUGAAGAUCAAAUUGCACACUUUGAAAGUGGAGGACAUGAAGAAAAUAAUAAAUUAAAUGGGCCUAAGUUUUGAACUUAAAUUUGGAUUCAUAUUUAUUAACCAAUUGGAAUCCUGUUUUACCCGAGAAAGUGAGCUUGUCCAAUUAAUUUCACCAAGUUUAAUUGGGUUGCAAAAAUACAAAAAGGGUGCCUGUUUUAGUGUAUAUAUACCCACAGAAACACGUGAAAAGAAAAAAAAAAAAAAAACUGUCAAGCAAGGAGAGACUAACCUAUAGAGAACAAAAACCGGCAUAUAUACAAGCUACUGCCGGCAGGGAACGAGAAAAAGAAGAUCAAUUGGAAUUCCACCUCAAUUAGGGGACUUUAGGUGGCUGAAAGAUAAAGAUAUAUACAGCUUACGCACAAGAAAAGAGGGGAAUUGCUGGGAAGUUAAUUUGGGGCUGACUUUGAUUCGUUUGCCGAACAAUUCACGCACCCAAGCAGCCAGCUGAUGGAAAUUAGGCAGCUGCAUUGGAGUUUCUGGAAAGAAUACUGGGCGGCUACUGUUGGAAAAAUAAGGUGGCAGCUUAGGAAAUUAUUGAGAGAUACACACAAUUAAAAGGCAGUUGUUGUAAUGUCCCAAAAAUUCAUAAAAUAGAAUUUAAGUUAUGUGUGCUAUAUUUUAAUAUUUCAAAAAAGUUAGGGACUAAAAUGUAUAUAGCAAAUUUCAAUUUCAUUUGGGUUAAAAUGUAGAUAUUGACGGAGUAAUAAUUUGUAUAUGAAUAUUGGGUUCGUUGGAUAGAUCGUAAUUAAUCAUGCAUGUUAGGCUCAAGAAAAAGUUGAUUUGGAUAAUUUAAGCCUAAGAUAUUGACAUUUAAAGAAAUUAAUGUUUUAUAGUAUUUUAAUUAAUUUAAUGGGUAUUUGUCUUUGAGCCUUCCACUUGCUUAGUGUUAAAUCCAUCCUAAUCACAAAUAAUAUAUAUUAUAACUUUCCACCACCAGCCACGUUUCACGUUCAUAAGAAAUGUUUAACUGUCUUCGUAAAUUAUUUGGAUAAGUUUAUCAUUUGAGGCCUUUAUCCAAGUUCCUUGUGGCACACGUUUUCACCACUCUAGAAUUCUAUUUGCACCAAAAUACUCCACACAGCAUAUGUAAAUGUAGGACGUCAGUUUCAAAUUGGGGAUUGUUUCCAGCAUAAAUAAUGAACAAAAAGGGUCCCGAAAGACAGUUUUCACUCUAAGGCAGCCAAGAAAAAAAUUACAAGAUUUGGAACGUAAUUUUGGAUUUCUUCUUUCAAGAAUUUAUUCAAUCUUACGAAGUAGGAUUACGAUGUGCAAGUGGUUCGUCUCGUUUAAAUUAUUUCUUCAUGUUGAUAAAUGUUAUACUCAUGAAAAUUAUGAUAUGAUUAUGAUAUUUUGAAAUGGCAACCCGGUACCAAAGAGAUGAUAUGAUAUGAUAUGACAUGAGCUCUUACCAAUUCUAAAGAUAUGAUAUGACGGUAUGAUAUUUUUGACGCGUGAUUUAAUACUUUUAAUCGGGAUUGCAUGAUUACUCGUAUCCUACUGAGUAUUUCCAUGUACUCACAAUUUUUCCUACUCCUCACAGAUUAGAACGGGUUGUUGGUUGGCGGGCGGUGCGGUGGAAUUGUGAUGCCAGAAAUUAUGGAAUUCAAGAUAAAUAAAUUCUGAGUAACAUGAUUAGGAAGUUUUAUUUAUUUAUUUUUCUUUGCGUUAUUUCAGUUUUAUUUUCAUGUUAAAUUUGAAAUUUAAUGUUUGAAACAUGGUUCAGUUAAUAAUGUUUUCCAUAGAAUGUUUGACAUCAUUUAUUUAAUUAUGAAAUAAAUGUUUUUGGUAACGAUUCCAAAUCUUUAAAUUUUGGGUCGUUACAGUUGCUUGGAGAUUGAUUUACACACUAAUUAGGGGACAAAGGUGACGAUUGAAUUGGGCAUAAAUUUGAGAAAUAAACACGCAAAUUGAAGGGAAUUUUGAAGAAACAGCACGGCCACGACAGAUUCACUUUGAGAAAAUUAAUAAUGCUCCGUCAAUUGGUGAUCUCCUUCCACUUUUAUGUGUUUAAUUCCAACGAUAUGUUAGGCUAGAUCUUUUUAUGUAUUGGAUGGAUGACAAAAUUGUUUAAUUCUAAGUUUUAAUUCAAGACCUAUGUUUUUAUGUUAAUUCUUGCAUUGUGAUUUCAUUAAUAUUCAUAAUUAGAUUAUUUUAAUAUUUGCGCACCAUUAGGACAAUAAGUUGCUUAUUCGUAGUGUUGGAAAACUCACGGUAGGUAGAACACUGUUGAUGGAACAUACGGGCAAUAAAUGUUAGGAAUAAUAUUUGUGGCCUGUGCAAUCUUAUGUGAUAAUCCUAAAUGUCAAUGCAUGUUUGUCAUAUAAAUUCGGACUAGGAAUAGAAUCGUCUUGUGGUAACCAUAAGUUUAUUAUAUUUUGGGAAAGAAUAAUAAAUAAAAGUGGAAUUCUCGAUCGUCGCAGUUGCAUGAAUUAAGAUAAUUAUUAUUGGUUGGGAAUUAGAACUAAGAAUUGAUCAAUGGCGUCGGAAAUCCAAUAUGUUCACACACUUGAUUGUUUUUAAAAACCAAAUUUCAUUGAUUUCAUAAGUUUUAGUUAUUAAAAAAAAUAGUUAGUUAUUCAUCAAUCGUCUUUCGAUUAUAAACAUGAAUUUAAAUAUAUUAAAUAUACUAGAAUUAAUCCUUAUUCCCUGUGGGACGAUAACUCUCUCAUCACAAUUAUUACUUGUACAACGAACUUGUACGCUUGCGGAAUUUUGACGAUCAAGUUUUUGGCACUGUUGCUGGGGAAUAACGGUGUUAAUUUUAGUUAUUAGAUAUUUUAGAUUCGUUUUUAUUUUUAUUUUUUUAUUUUUAUUUUAUUUUUAGUUGCUGUUUUUAGGCUACAUUAAACUUUUUAGGAUACUUCAAUUUAUGCAAAAUCUUGACUAGCCAAAUCUCUUUCUGAUAGACCACGAAAUUGAAAGGAUAUUCAGAAAUCGUAGAAGAGUUCAAUGUCAAGCAAGGAGAAUGGUUGAUAACUAAAAUCAACUGUAGAAUCAAGUUCAGCUUCACGAGCCAAUACUACAGCCAAAUCAAUAGAGAGCCAUCCAGAAUGAAGCUCCUGUCUUAGUUGGAGAUUACGUCAAUCCAAUUCCCACACCAGUGCAACCUGCUGUGGUAUAUCUUUCCUUCGAACAACCUAAUUUUCACCUUAGACCAGAUGUCAUCAAUCUGUUUCAUAAUCACCAAGACAUCCGGUUCUUUGGAAAAGCCACGGAAAAUCCUCAUGAGCAUAUUUCUGCUUUUCUCAUUUUAUAUGAAGUGAUCAGUCAUGAAGGGAUAUCAACAGAUACAUUCCGAAUGAGAUUAUUUCCUCAUACCUUGAAAGAUGCUGUUAGAGAAUGGUUUCUAAGUUUACCACCAGGGAGCAUUCAAUCAUGGGGCGAUAUGGUUCAAAAAUUCACGAUGAAAUUCUUUCCACCUUCUCAAGUUAACCAAAUUAGGAAUGACGUCCACACCUUCAAGCAAAAAGAUCUCGAGAGCUAUCCUGAGGCAUGGGAGAGGUUCAAGAAUUUUUCCAAAAAAUGCCCCAGCCUUGACAUUCCCAAGCAGGCUCAGCAUUAUCUUUUCUACCACGGUCUAAAACAAGAGUUCAGAAAUAUGAUAGAUGCUUCAGCAGGAGGAUCAUUGAUGAAACUUGAUGUGGAUGAGGCAUAUGACCUGUAUGAAAAAAUAGCUAAAAAUCAAUCGAUGUGGCCAACUAAUAGGGAAGCUCCAAGGAAAACAUCAGGGUUACACAACGUGGAUACAGUGACAACACUGACCGUGCAAAUGGAAAUUCUUACAAUGAAAAUGGACAAUCUAUCUAAGUCAGUCAACAUGGUACACCAAUCGCCACCUGUUUGCAAAGGUUGUAGAGCGAAUCAUGCUAGUAUACACUGUCCUUUGGCGUCUACACAUGUUAAUCAAUUCGAAGAAGUAAGUUACGCGCAAAACUUUCAGAGACAACAAAAUAAUCCUUUCUCCAACACAUUUAAUCCGGGUUGGAGUAACCAUCCAAAUUUUCCUUGGUCCAAUAAUCAAGUACAAGAACAAGGAGAAAACAAUCAAAAUAAACCACCAAGGUUCCAAUGGUAACAACAGCAAGGGAGAAAGCCAUCGUUGGAAGAUUUGUUGGCUCAAUACAUUACUAAAACUAAGACCAAUUUUCAGAACCAACAAGCUUCGAUCAAGAAUUUGGAACAACAGAUGGGACAAAUUGUAGCCGCACUAUAAGGUAGAGCUCAAGGGACAUUGCCUAGCAAUACUGAGACAAAUCCUAAGGAGCAGGUCAAAGCAAUCACUAUACGUAGUGGCAUCCAGUUACCAGAAAUAUAUGUAAAGCGGCCAGCAACUGUCAUAGAAAAGGUACCUACCAUAGGUGAGGAACAAGUCGAUGAAUCAGACAAAGCCACAAAGGAAAAUCAAGUUGAGUCAUCAGAUAGUCCACAGGUGAAGGCAACUAUUCCUAUUAAAGCAUAUGUUCCUCCAAUCCCAUUUCCACAAAGAUUGCAAAAACAUAAGCUCGAUAAGCAAUUCCAAAAAUUUUUGGAUGUGUUCAAGAAACUGCAUAUGAACAUACCAUUUGCUGAAGCUUUAGCUCAAAUGCCCAGCUAUGACAAGUUCAUGAAAGAUAUUCUAUCAAACAAGAGGAAGCUAGAGGACAAUGAAACUCUCAUGCUUAUUGAGGAGUAUAGCGCAAUUCUCCAACAUAAGUUACCAUCGAAGUUAAAAGAUCCAGGGAGUUUUACUAUUCCUUGUAACGUUGGUAAUUUAUAUAUAGAUAAAGCAUUGUGUGAUAUAGGAGCUAGCAUUAAUUUAAUGCCUUUAUCUCUUUUUCGGAAACUAGGUUUAGGGGAAGCAAAAUCAACAACAGUUUCACUGCAAUUGGCUGACAGGUUGAUCAAGUACCCUCGUGGUAUUUGUGAAGAUAUUUUGGUGAAGGUUGACAAGUUUAUCUUCCCAGCGGACUUUAUUAUUUUGGAUAUGGAUGAAGAUAGGGAUGUCACCCUCAUAUUGGGUCGCCCAUUUUUGGCUACGGGAAGGGCUCUGAUAGAUGUGCAAAAGGGUCAGUUGAUAUUGAGAUUAAAUGAAGAAGAACUGACAAUCAACGUAUUCAGAGUUUUAAGAUUUCAGAGCGAACCGGAUUCUUGCAUGCAGAUUGAUGUAAUAAAAGAAGCGGUGUCAGAGACAUUCAAACUAGAUCACCCUUAUGAUCCACUUGAGGCAUGUUUAGUGCAUUCUCAAGAGUUACCACCCAAAAAAGAAGAAGCAGAAGAAUGUGCACAUUAUUUGGCAGGCAUACUACCAUUCUUCAAGCAACCACAUUUGGAGCUCGGUGAAAGGCCCAUAACACCUUUACCAUCUAUACAACAAGCUCCAACUCUUGAACUCAAACAACUACCCACUCAUCUUCGUUAUGCAUACUUGGGGAAAAAGAAUUCACUUCUAGUAAUUAUCUCAAACAAUCUUACAGAAGUGGAGGAGGAUCAGUUGCUGAGGGUGCUUCGAGAGCACAAGACAGCAAUAGAAUGGACUAUAUCAGAUAUAAAGGGGAUCAGCUCUUUGCUUUGCAUGCAUACUGAUGGAAGAUUAUUACAAAGCUUCAAUUGAGCAUCAACGCAGAUUAAAUCCGACUAUGCAUGAAGUGGUAAGAAAAGAAGUAUUAAAGCUUUUGGAUGCAUGGAUCAUCUAUCCCAUAUCAGAUAGUCAUUGGGUCAGUCCAGUACAGGUCAUACCGAAAAAUGGAGGGAUCACAAUGGUUCCAAAUGAAAACAAUGAGCUCAUCCCGACACGCACAGUCAUGGGUUGGAGAGUUUGUAUUAACUAUCGCAAACUCAACAACGCCACAAGGAAUGAUCAUUUUUCCCUUCCUUUCAUUGAUCAAAUGCUAGAGAGACUUGUUGGACAUUCUUAUUACUACUUCUUGGAUGGUUAUUCAGGGUACAACCAGAUUCCUAUAGCGCUAGAUGACCAAGAGAAGACGACAUUUACAUGUCCUUAUGGCACUUUUGCUUAUAGGAGGAUGUCCUUCGGUCUUUGCAACGCUCCUGCCACCUUUCAGCGUUGUAUGAUGUCUAUUUUCUCGGACAUGGUGGGAAAUAUCAUUGAGGUGUUUAUGGAUGAUUUCUCAGUAUUUGGAAAAUCAUUUAAGAAGUGCCUUGAACAUUUGGAAAAAGUGUUACAGCGGUGUGAAGACAAAAACCUUGUAUUAAAUUGGGGAAAAUGUCAUUUCAUGGUUCAAGAAGGGAUUUUGUUAGGGCAUCUGAUUUCAUCACGAGGUAUUGAGGUGGAUAAAGCUAAGAUACAAGUCAUCAAAAAACUAGCACCGCCAGUAACAAUGAAGGGAGUAAGAAGUUUCUUGGGUCACGCUGGGUUCUACCGUCGCUUCAUCAAAGACUUUUCCAAAAUCUCAAAGCCAUUAUGUAAUCUAUUGGAAAAAGUGGCUCCAUUUCACUUUUCUGAGGAGUGCUUGACUGCUAUCAACACUUUAAAGGAAAAAUUGGUCUCUACUCCAAUGUUGUCUCCUCCAGACUGGGAUUAUCCGUUUGAGCUUAUGUGUGAUGUCAGCGAUCAUGCUGUGGGAGCAGUGUUAGGUCAACGCAAGGGGAAGAUUUUUCAUGUUAUCCACUAUGACAGUAAGACUUUAGAUGAGGCUCAAAUGAAUUAUGCUACUACAGAGAAAAAGCUUUUGGCAGUGGUAUUCGUCGUUUACAAAUUCAAGUCAUAUUUGAUUGGUUCAAAAGUGAUUCUCUAUACAGAUCAUUCAGCAUUAAAAUAUCUAAUGAGCAAGAAGAAUGCAAAGCCGAGGCUUAUUUGAUGGAUACUCCUAUUGCAAGAGUUUGAUUUGGAGAUCAAAGAUAAAAAGGGAAGUGAAAAUGUUGUGGCAGAUCACCUUUCUUGCCUUGAAUCACAUGAGUCAAAUCCUAUGGUGGAGAUCAACAAAGUUUUUCCUGAUGGAAUGCUUUUUCAGAUUAUCACUACGCCAUGGUAUGCUAACUAUGUAAAUUAUUUGGCUCGCUCCAUCAUCCCGCCGGACUACUCAAGUCAUCAGAAUUAGAAAUUCUUUAGUGACUUAAACACUACUUUUGGGAUGAUCCAAUUCUUUACAAAAAGGGUCUAGAUUAGAUCAUACGCCGUUGUGUACCAGAAGUAGAGCAGCAUCAAGUAUUAGAAUCGUGUCACUCUUCACCAUAUUGGGGCCACUUUUCAGCAACCAAGACAGUAGCAAAGGUACUACAAUCUGGUUUUUAUUGGUCUACAUUGUUCAAGGACGCCCAUUAUAUGGUGAAACAUUGUGAUAAGUACCAAAGCACUGGAAAUGUCUCAAGGAGGAGCGAGAUGCCUUUGAACAGUAUUGGUUGCCACAAUGGUCAUCUACAUUGUAUUUCAUUCGAAUCACGUGCAGAUGUUUUUACAAAUGUAAAAAUAUUUUGAAGUUAAAAACUCUUUAUUUCGUACAUUAAGAAAAAUUAUUUCAAGUAAUUUGAAUGGAUAAGUGCUUUUGUUAGUGGACAUUCAUAGUGAUAGAUUACAAAUUAUAUAAAUAAUUUAUUUUCCUCCAUUUUUCAUCAUGUAAAUGUUUUAUAAAAAUUAUUUUUUAUAGGCUUAAAACUCUUUAAAUUCCCACUUAAAUACUCAAUUUAAUGAGACUACUGAUGGUAUAAUUCUCUUAUUUAGUUUUUCACUAAAAAUAGAGGUUACAAGAAGAGGAGUAUCACUUUUUUAUCCCACACUUCCGUAAAUUCGAAUUUGAUUUAUUUUUCUCUCAAAAAUCUCUUUUUUAAUUAAGAUAAGCUCAAAAGAUUAGCAAGGGUGUAAAGGAGAAAGGCUUCAACACAUCUUGUGAUGUAUAUUGGAAUUUUUGAAGCUAUGAACAAAGAGGUUUAUGAAUGGCCAUAAUCAGUUUGUACGAUACCAAGAGAUUCUUCAAAAUUAUGAAUUUGUUGUUAUUCAUCUAUGUGAAAUGUUAAAUUCUUUUCAAUCACUUUGUAUAUAUAUGCAUAUAAGUUUAUGAUCAAAUGGGUUCAUCAAGUGAUAUAAGUCCUCCUAAACUUAAAGGUCACGCCUAUGUUGACAAAUGUUUCAGAUUAAAGGAUAGUCAAGCAAGUGGAAUUCUGUGGAUUGUGGAGGAACGAAGGGAGAAAUAUUCUUCAUUUGUAUAAUUAAUUACAUCUGAAGAAUUUAUAGUCUUACUAGUUAUGCAACUUAUGUUUAAUGUCUAAAAGAUGACAGUUUAUCUAUACCUUUUAGAAGACUUCUUAGUUCUUUUUCUUGAUGUGAACAUUGAAAUUUUAGUUGGUUUAAAUAUCCAUGAAAUUAAAGUUGCUAGUGGGAUUCAAAAGCCCUAUGAAUUCUCUAUCUGUUGGCUUUGGAAUCAAGUCAAUAGAAGGUCAGUAGGAUAAAAUAUGCCCUCUUCCGUGUGUUGUGUUCAAUGUACCCAAGAGCCUUUUUUUUUUUUUUUUCAUAUAUUUGAGUUCCAUUUGAGAGCAUAAAUGAUGUUAGAAAAUUCUGAAAUUUUACUUUGUUAUACUUGAAUGAGUUUAGAAAAUUCUAUAAAAAUUUCAUAGAAUUAUGCAUCUGAAAAAUGGCCCAACUAAACUUGAUCAUUGGAUAGCGCAUUGCUAGAUUUAACUCCGUUAAUGUACCCUAAACUUCAUUUUAAUCCUAUAUUAUAAUUUCAUUAUCUAAAAAAAGAAAGUUGUCUACCUUAAAUCAUCUGUUUCCAACAAUUUUUGAAACUUGUAAUCAAAAGUAGGGGUAAACUACAAACUAGAAAGGAAAUUAAGGGGAAAAAAUUUAAAUUAACCCAAAUUUUAAAAAAAAAAAAAAGCAUGUUUUUUUGUAGCAAUUUCAAAUUUCAAGAUUUGAUUAGUUACAUUAAUGGACUCCUAACUUUUCUUUUUUCUUUUUUUUUUUGUUAAUUAUACAUUCUCUAAAAAAUUAUAUUUUAUGAAAUUUUUUCAAAAAAAAAAUAAAAUUACAUCAAAAAAUCCUUUCUAAAAAAUUAGAAGUCAAUGAAAAAUAUAUGCGGAUGUGUUAAAUAGAAUCUCAUAAUCUUUGACCAUUCUAGAAUUAUGAAAAUAUUAAGGGAUUAUGUGUAUCUAUUAAUCAACAGCAUGGAUCACUUUUAAGAGAGUAUCGUGCAGUAUCCAUGUUAUGUCUAAUUUACCUUCUAUUGAUGAGUUAAAAAACAAAUCCGGCAAGAGAAAUUGUAUGUUAAGGGACUCCUAAAUUUUUUACUUUUUUUUUUUAAAUUAUACAUUCUAUAAAAAAAUUACAACCAACGAAAAUUAUUCAAAAAUAAAUUUUCAUCAGACACAUCCUUUGUAAAAAGUAGAAGUUAAUGAAAAAUUAUAUACAAAUAUGUUAAAUAGAAUCUCAUAAUCUUUGACUCACUCUAGCAUUACAAAAAUAUUUUGUGGAUUACGUGUAUCUAUUGAUCAACGACGUGGAUCAUUUUUUAAGAGAUUACCAUGUUGUAUUUGUGUUAUGUUUAAUUUAUCUUCUAUAGAUGAAUUAACAACCAAAUUCGACAAGUGAAAUUGUGUGUUAAGACUCCUAACUUUACUUUUUUUAAUUAUACAUUUUUUCAAAAAAUUAAGUUUUGUGAAAUUUAUUUUAAAAAAAUAUACAUAAAAUAAAUCCUUUUAAAAGUACAUGUUAAUGAAAAAGAAUAUAUGCAGACGUGUUAAACAGAAUCUCGUAAUCUUCAACCCACUCUAGAAUAACGAAAAUAUUUAGUGGAUGAUGUGUGUUCAUUGAUCAAUGGCGUGAAUCGAUUUUUAAGAUAAUACCGUGCAGUAUCCGUGUUAUGUCUAAUUUACCUUCAAUAGAUAAAUAAACAAACGAAUUCAGCAAAAGAAAUUACGUGUUAAUGGACUCCUAACUUUCUUUCUUUUUUAAAUUGUACAUUCUCUAAAAAUUAAGUUUUACGAAAUUUAUUCUACAAAAAUUUAAAUCAAACAGAUAUUUUGCACAAAGUAUAAGUUAAUGGAAAAAAAUAUAUGCAGAUGUGUUAAAAAGAAUCUCAUAAUCUUUGACCCACUCAAGAAUUACAAAAGUAUUUAGUGAAUUACGUGUAAUUAUUGAUCAAUGGCGUGGAUCACUUUUUAAGAGAGUACCGUGCGGUAUCCGUGGUAUUUCUAAUUCAAAUUCUAUAGAUGAAUUAACAAACAAAAUCUACAAGAGAAAUUGUGUUAAUGGACUCCUAACUUUUCUUUUUUCUUUUUUAAUUAUACAUUCCCUAAAAAAUUAUGUUUUAUGAAAUUUAUUCUAACCGUCAUUGCAGCAAAAAAAAAAAAUUAAAAAUUAAAAAAAUAAUAAUAAUAAUAAAUAAAUUACACCUUUGAUCUUAAUAUUGAAGUCUAUACUCAAUGUAGAGUAGCAGUCUACAUAGACAAAGCUUGAUAUUUUUUAUCCAAAGACCAUAAAAUUGGAUCGAGUUUUUGCCAAACUCUGAUCAGUGAAUCCAUCAGGAAGGAUUAAGCCCAAAUCCUACUAACCAUUCCGAUCAAAACAAAACAUAGAUAGGAAGGAAAAAAAAAGGCUUAAAAAAUGUCGGAGUACAAGAUAAGGACACAAUACAACAAGAUAUGGUCACAAUGCUGCCCCUGUUGAACUUAAGUGGUGAUGAUAGACCCUCGUCUUUAAUGCACGGAAGUUUUUUCGUGUUAUUUUAAAAAAUGUGGAAUCAUCUGAACCAUUUUGUUUGCUGUUCUUGUUUCUGCAUAUUGUGAAGAACUUAUUAGUAAUGGAACUAACCAAUGGGGUUACAUAUAAUAUAACAAUGAAGGAGAUUAGUCCUCACCUUUCUUCCUAUACAAUAUCCUGUUUCCACAUAAGAACAAAAUUUAUGGGGAUUCUUUAACUUUAAGAGCGUAGGUCAAAUCUCUCUCGUUGUUUAUGUCUAUCCUGAUGGUCUAAUCAUGGAAAUUAAAGACAUAGGAUUAUAAUAAACAAAUAGGAAUAGAGAAAGAAAGGGUGUCAAAAGAGAAGAUUCAUAUGCUUGAGGAGGUCGUCGAUCCUUGGCUUCCCAGUAAACCUUUGCUACUUUUUCUAGCUCUUUCAAACUAGUGAGAAAUCGGGUUGUUUAGGUCAUCGGGUUGAUUAGGUCAAACGAGUAACAAGAGGUCCAAACAUUGUUGUUUCAUUUGAGAGAGGGAAAAAAAAAUAUUCAUGUUCAGACUCACAAAAAAUAAAAAAUUCAAAUAUGACAAAAUUGAGGCACUCGUCUUGAUUCAAUGAGGCAUCUGCCUCAGAGAAAUAGCACAAAAAUUAGUAGCCUGAGGCAUUACAGGUGCACCUCACUCUGAGGCAUGCCUCAUGGCCAUCUUCUGAAAUCAUGCUCCCAGUGGAAUCGAGUUAGAGUCUACCAAAAACAUCUUUAUGUGAUUAUUGUCAUGGCAGUAAAAGUCACAAACUUCCGUUUGAAUUUCAAAUUUAAAAGGUUCAUAUCCUUUACACUUGUUAUUUACUUAUGUUUGCUGCGCAACAAAGGUAACUAAAUAUUCAAAACAUCAAAAAAAUGCAGUAAACAAGAGUUCAGUAUUACCCUUACUAGUCAAAGUAAGGGCCACAAAAUUAUUAAAAACCACACAUUUUCAGUUUUUACAUGAGUUUUUCUUCCCGUCACAUUAGAGACUUUAGUGACCAUGAUUUAAUUGGCUUUCAGGCUCUUUUCCUCCCACUCCCGCCACCCUCUUCAUUUUCUGCCUCAUUCACGAUCUCAGAUUCUUCAUUGUUGAUUUGAGAGAAUGUGAGGUGUGUCAUUUCACAUUCUAGCCAGAAAGUUUUAGGGACGUUAAGACUUCUCUCACCUCUCCUCUUGCCCCAUCGAGGUCCAAAACCUGUAUAGUAGUAAAAUUCAUAUGGAUUUGAUGUCCAAGCUGCCUUCUUGACCCAUGGCCAGCGUUGAGAGUCAGCCAUCACCUUUUCUUGUUUCUUCUUUGCUUGAAGAGCCGAGUUGUAGUUCCACAUUUGAGAUAAUUGGAGCGUUUAUUAACACAAUAUCCGUGUUAUGUCUAAUAUGCCUUCUACAGAUAUAUUAACAAACAAAUUCGGCAAGAGAAAUUAUGUGUUAAUGGACUCCUAACUAUUCUUUUCAUUUUUUAUAUUACACAUUCUCUAAAAAGUUAAGUUUUAGGAAAUUGAUUCGAAAAAAUAUAUAUACAUAAAAUAAAUCCUUUGUAAAAAGUAGAAGUUAAUGAAAAAAAUAUAUACAUAUGUGUCAAAUAGAAUCUCGUAAAUUUUGAUCAGCUCUAAAAUUACGAAAAUAUUUAGUGAACUAAGGUGUGUAUUUAUCAACGGCAUAGAUCACUUUUUAAAAAAGUACCGUGCGAUAGCCAUGUUAUGUUUAAUUUACCUUCUAUAAAUAAAUUAACAAAUAAAUGCAGCAAGAGAGAUUGUGUUAAUGGACUCUUUAUUUUUCUUUCUUUUUUUUAGUUAUACCUAAAUUAACAAAAAAUUCGGCAAGAGAAAUUGAGCGUUAAUGGACUCUUAAUUUUUCUUUUAUGUUUUUAGUUAUACAUUCUCUAAAAAAAUUGUGUUUUACGAAAUUUGUUUUAAAAAAAUUUAUACCAAAGAAAUAUUUUGUAAAAUGUAGAAGUUGAUGAAAAAAUAUACACAGAUGCAUUAAAUAGAAUCAGGUAAUCUUUGGCCCACUCUAGAAUUAAGAAAAUAUUUAGUGAAUUACAUGUAUUUAUUGAUCAACAGCGUAGAUCACUUUUAAGAGAGUACCGUGCGAUAUCCGUGUCAUAUCUAAUUUACCUUCUAUAGAUGAGUUAACACACAAAUUCUUUUUUUUUAAUUAAUUAUACAUUCUCUAAAAAAUUAAGUUCUACGAAAUUUAUUUAAACAAAAUUUACAUCAAACAGAUCCUUCGUAAAAAGUAGAAGUUAAUGAAAAAAAUAUAUAUACAGAUGUGUUAAAUAGAAUUUCAGAAUUUUUUAUCCACUCUAGAAUCAUGAAAACAUAUAGUGGAUUAAGUGCAUCUAUUGAUCAACGGCGUGGAUCAUUUUUACGCGAGUACCGUGCAGCAUCCAUGAUAUGUCUAAUUUACCUUUUGUAGAUGAAUUAAUGAACAGAUUCUGAUAGAGAAAUUGUGUUAAUGGACUCCACACUUUUCUUUUUUUCUUUUUUAAUUAUACAUUCUCCAAAAAAUUACGUUUUAUGAAAUUGAUUCUAAAAAAUAUACAUAAAAUAAAUCCUUUGUUAAGAAAUAGAAGUUAAUGAAUAUAUAUAUAUAUAGUGUUAAGUAGAAUCUCGUAAUCUUUGCUCCACUCGAGAAUUGCUAAAAUAUUUAGCAGAAUACGUGUAUGUAUUGAUCAAUUGCGUAGAUCACUUUUUAAUAGUAUCAUGCAGUAUCUACAUUAUAUCUAAUUUACCUACUAUAGAUGAAUUAUGAACAAAUUUAGCGAGAGAAUUGUGUAUUACUGGACUCCUAACUUUUCUUCUUUUUUUUUCUUUUAGUUAUACAUUCUUUAAAAAUCUCGUUUUACGAAAUUGAUUCUAAAAGAAUAUACAUAAAAUAAAUCCUUUGUAAAAUGUAGAAAUUAAUAAUAUGAAUUACAAAAACAUUUAGUAGAUUAUGUGUAUCUAUUUAUCAACGGCGUGAAUCAUUUUUCAAGAAAUUGUCGAACUGUAUUUCUGUUAUGUCUAAUUUAUCUCGUCUAAUUAAGAAAUAAAUUUGGCAGGAGAAUUUGUGUAUUAAUGGACUCGUAAAUCUUCUUUCCUUUUUAAUUGUACAUUCUCUAACUAUAUUUUAUGAAACUUAUUUAAAAAAAAUUACAUCGAACAAAAUUUUGUAAAAAGUAGAAGUUAACGAAAAAACAUAUGAAGUAUUAAAUAGAAUCUCAUAAUCUUAGACUGAAUCUAGAAUUACGAAAUUAUUUUGUGAAUUACGUGUAUUUAUUGAUCAAUGGCGUGGUUCACUUUUUGAAAGAAUAUCAUGCAAUAUUUGUAUUAUGUCUAAUUUAUCUUUUAUAAAUGAAUUAACAGACAAAUUCGAGAGAAAAUGUGUUUUAAGGGACUCCUAACUUUAAAAAAUAAAUUAAUUAAUUAUGCAUUCUCUAAAAAUUACGUUCUACGAAAUUUAUUAAAACAAAAUUUACAUCAAACAAAUCGUUCGUAAAAAAUAGAAGUUAAUGAAAAAAAUAUAUACAAAUGUUUUAAAUAGAAUUACGUGUAUCCAUUGAUCAACGGUGUGGAUCAUUUUUUUAAGAGAGUACCAUGCGGUAUCCAUGUUAUGUCUAAUUUACCUUUUAUAAAUGAAUUAAUGAAUAGAUUCUGGAAGAGAAACUGUGUGUUAAUGGACUCUCACUUUUCUUUUUUUCUUUUUUAAUUAUACAUUCUCUAAAAAAUUACGUUGUAUGAAAUUUAUUCUGAAAAAAAAUACAUAAAAUAAAUCAUUUGUUAAGAAGUAGAAGUUAAUGAAAAAAAUAUAAACACGUUUGCUAAAUAGAAUCUCGUAAUCUUAGACUGAAUCUAGAAUUACGAAAAUAUUUAGUGAAUUACAUGUAUUUAUUGAUUAAUAGUGUGGAUCACUUUUUAAGAGAGUAUCCUGCGAUAUCCGUGUUAUGCCUAACUUACCUUCUAUAGAUGAAUUAAGAAGAAUAUAAACAGAUGUAUUAAAAUUGAAUCUUGUAAUUUUUUAUCUACUCUAGAAUUACGAAAGCAUUUAGUGGAUUACACGUAUCUAUCAAUCAACGUGGUGGAUCACUUUUUAAGAGAGUACUGUGUGGUAUCCAUGUUAUGAAUUAGCGAACAACUUUGGUUAAAAAAAAAAGUGUGUUAAUUAAGAGAUUAUAUUAAGAAAUUGUGUUAGUUCACAUAUUAGUUAGCUAGACAUUCUUCUGUAUAAAAUUAAUGAAAUAUUAUGCAGAGUUUGUUUUUCCUUGAUGGAAGUAUUGGGUCGUUAUAAAGUUUCUUUCUAAUUAUCACUCAUACAAUUUCAUAAGGAUUAUCUUCACGAGAGAGGUAGUAAAACGAGUGGACCUAACCCCAAGGAUUCUACUCCACGAGGUUUGACAAAAUGUCCCUACCAUAUUACGAUAAUACGAUAUAUAAAGACCGUCGUCAUUUCAAAAAAAAAAUAUUACUCCUUGGAUCUUAAUAUUGAAGUCUAUACUCAAUAUAAAGUAGUGGUCUACAUAGACAAGCUUUUGAUCGAGUUUGAUAUUUUUUAUCCAAAAAUUAUACAAUUGGAUCAAGUUUCUGUGACACUCUCAUCAAUGAAUCUAUCAGGAAGGAUUAAGCCCAAAUCCUACUAACCAUUCCGAUCAACACAAAACAUAGGAGAAGUUCAAAAAAAAAAAAAAAAAAGGAAAAAAAAAAAAAAAAGAAAAAAAAAAAAAAAAAAAAAAAAAGGAAAGAAAGAAAGAAAAGAAAAAGAAAAUGCCAGAGUACAAGAUAAGGACACAAUGCAACAAGAUAUGGUCAUAAUGCUGCCCCGGUUGAACUUAAGAUGGUGAUGAUAGAAAAAAUAUGCACUAAUUUGUCUGUCGUUCUUGUUUCUACAUAUCGUAAAGAACUUAUUAGUAAUGGAACUAACAAUUGGGAGUACAUAUAAUAUAACAAUGAAGGAGAUUAGUCCUCACCUUUCUCCACAUACAAUAUCAUGUUUCCACGUAAGAACAAAAUUUUGUGGGCAUUCUUUAAUUUUAAGAGCGUAGGCCAAAUCUCUCUUGAUGCUUAUAUCCAUCUUGACGGUCUAGUAAUGGCAAUUAAAGACAUGGGAUUAUAAUAAACAGAUAAAAAUCUAGAAAAGAAAGGUGUCAAAAGAGGAGAUUCAUAUAUUCGAGGAGGUAGUCGAUCCUUGGUUUCCCAGUACACCUUUGCUGCUUUUUCUAGCUCUUUCAAAGCUUUCCAGUUAUCGCUUGCCCUGAAAUCAGUGACGGAUUCGGAUUACAUCUAGGCAAGUAUAGAUCAAAUGCACUACAUGUUUUACAGAUUCCUUCUUUUCAAGAAUACAGACGUGUUGUAUCUUUCGAAAACGAGAACAACUAGUGGUCUACGAUGGAAAGCAAAGCUCUCCCACUUAAGACAAUUGAUCUCCUUCACUAAAGCAUCAUCGAUCUUUCCCUCUCAGUCAAUUUCAGAGCCAUCUUCGCCAACGACAUUUUUUAUAGGAUAUUACUUCAAAUACUCUGAUGCUCUGACCCCUCCCCGGGCCGACAUCAGCAUCCAGAGGCCAAUUGGGAUUAUCCUCCUCUACCAACAUCUAUUUCCUCUUCAAUCAUCACAUUUCUCUUCAUCCCUGUCAUCAUCCUCGUCACCACUGUUGCUAUUGGAAUCAACAUCAUUGUAAAAUUUAUCUUUCAGAAUUCUGCUGCUGGAUUGAUUCAAAAAUCCGUUCAAGCGAAUCACACACAAAAAUCUUCAACUGCUUGGGCUUCGUAGGGAUCACUUAAAGGAACUUCCUUCCAGAUUUUUCAUCGUCAUCUUGAGGAAAUUCAAUUUUCUCCCGCUGAGCUCUUCCUUUUGGUUUCAAACUAGGACUCUGACUAUAAUUCUUGUCGGGCUUUGGAUCAGAAUUCUCUGAACUGGAAGUGCACACCAAUCGUUUUCCAGUGUAUUUGGUUGUCAAAGUCAAUGGAAACAGGAGGAAAUUUGAAAGGCAACAAGAAUUUGUUGUUUCACGGAAAGAUAACAUCGACAAAGAAUGUGUUGGUCACGGACAAACAAAUCGACAUUUUAACUUGAGCUUGCUUCGUAAAAAUAGUAAAGAAAAUGCUCAAAACAACAAGAACACAAGAUUUGUCGGCCAAAGGCUUUGAAGGUGCAACGACAACUUCUAACGCCUAAUCCCCAUUGAGCAUCCCUAAGGAUAUUGCUCGAAUUCACUAUAAAGCCCCAAAAUUGGACAAAGAUCGAAUACAGUACAAAAAUAGCAGAGAGCUCAACGAAACCAUAAUUACCUCAAACUCUCUAUUACAACAAUCACUCACAAAGAAUUGUGUUCCCAUACCUUCUCUCGAACACAAUAAUCUCACAAAGAAAUCACUCAAGAUCAUCCAGUUGAUGACCAAAAUAUGAACACACAGAGAGAGUUUUCACGAAGACGGAAGAGGGAGAGUCAAAACCAACUACAACCCUAAAAGGCAUACAAGUGCCUUUUAUAUGAGAUAAGCCCAAGAGACGGAUCCAAUGGUGCAAAUCAUUCCAGGUUGUUUGGAUUGUGAUGCCAAAUCAAUCAAUUGGGCUCUGAUGAAAAGGGCCCGGCCCAAUAGCUAGUAUUAUAUUUCCAUUGCCCGAUAAUUCAAUGGUAGAGGCCCAUCUACCCGAGCCCAAACAUGAGGCCACGUGUGCUGCUCUGAGCCCUUGGAUCACCCAGCUGAUCUAGGGUGAUUUGUUCUUCAAUAUAAGGGACCUUUGGUGGUGCCCUAGUUGACCGAGCGUGAUAUUUUUCUGGUGACUCUUGAACUCUCUAGAAUGAGUCAUUUUCUCUGCCUCUUCUCUCCUUCGUCUUCUUCGUGUUUUUCUUUCCAAGAUCUCUGUAAUUUGGAACUUGAUUCAUUCUGUGUGAACAGUAAAUCUAAGUGAUUCUUUUGAAAGGAGUUAGUGGAGUCAUUGAAGGAGGUUUUCUUUGUGGCUCGUCGAAGUAGUUGCGUCCCGGUUCCUUUUGUGGGGUUUAGGUUUGAUUCUUGGUGUCUCUACUAUUGUACAGAAGGGUACAAUGUUAAUUUCUGAGCCCUGACAAUUGAUUGAACAAUAUACCUUUGGUUUGGUCCUGUUCUAGGUCGAAUUUUUUCUCUAUGUGAGAUCUGAAAAUACUUUGUGUAUUUCUUGAGUUCUAUUAUAACAGUGGUAUCAGAGCCUUCAAGGCUUCCUUCAACCGUGAUCUGGAUGUGAAAAAUUCAUUUUCACAGUCCAAUCCUUUUUUUAGAUCUGACUCUUUUUCGCUGUUUUUUUUUAAAUCACUUCAGUACUUUAUGUGUACUAACCAUUGAUCUAUUGUGGAGUUCUUGUUUCCCAAAACGCAGGUCCUGUUUUUCGCGAACUAUUGGUUCGCCCCUUGAGUAACCCAUACUGUUCGUGAGGCUUUUUUUUUCUUGGUCACUAGCUUGAGUGAUCGAUAUUGAAUGAUCACUCCUCUGGUUUGCGACUAUUUUUCCCUUUAUUAACGUUUAAUCCAUUCUUCCUAGCCAUAUAUGUUUUACAUAAUUUUUUUGAUUAUUGUUAGUCAGUGAAUUACUGGGUUAAUAUUUCUGAAACGUACUUAUUGUGAUUACUCUAAAUUGGUGAAUUACUAAGUUCUUAUUUCUGAAGUAUUACAUACGUUGAUUUAAUCUGAUACUCAUAUAAUCCUUUUCCUGCUUCCUGUUCUGAUGACCUAAAUUGUGCCUUGACCUAAGGACAUGAUCCUUACGAAAUCCUGGUGAAUUUGGGCAUUUGGAACUUGAAGUUUGUUGCAUUGAGUACAUUGCGAUUUCUUGUUAUUUUUUGAACACUGUGUGUGUUAAUGUUUUCUUGAUUCUUGAAGCUUCUUGGUACAUAAUAACCUCUGUGAUCUUGUGUAUUAUCACAUUUUAUUCUGCACCACCUCUUUUCUGUUAAACGUUGAACUUCAAAUAAUUUUCUUGUGUUGGUUAAACAUUCCAAAUGACAACAACUACGUUUGAACUUGGAGUUUUUAAUGGAAAAGGGGAUUUCCCCAUUUGGCAACAAAAAUGAAAGGAGUUCUUGUUCAACAGAAAGUUGCAAGAGCCAUUACUGGUGAUUUUCCUGAUACUAUGACUGAAGCACAAAAAACUGAAUGUGAUGAACUUGCCUAUACCUCUAUUAUAUUGCAUCUAUCUGAUCAAGUUUUGAGAAAAGUUGGGAAACAUGAUAGUGCUAGAGAUUUGUGAGAAAAACUAGAAGAACUUUAUUUAGUUAAGUCCCUACCUAAUAAACUGUUUCUCUUAGAAAGAUUUUUUAGUUUUAAGAUUGACAUCACUAAAGACUUAGAAGAUAACUUUGACAUUUUUAAUAAAUUGGUUCAAGCUAUUACCAAUGCUGGAGACAAAGUCUCUGAUGAAUACAAGGUUGUGAUUCUUCUAAAUUCAUUACCUGAAAUGUAUAACGAUGUCAAAAGUGCCAUUAAAUAUGGUAGGGAUUCUUUGACUCCUGAAGUUGUUAUUAACUCUUUAAGGAGCAAGGAUCUGGAACUUAAAACUGAGAAGCAUGGAAGAGAAUUUGAGAAUUUAUUUGUUAGAGGGAGGUCACUUAAUAGGCAAAACCAUAGUCAGGAUAAUCAGAGUUAUCAAAGAAAUAAUAAUAACAAGAAGAAAGGGAGAGAAAGACCUAGGUCAAAGUCUAGGACUGGGACUGGGAAUAGGAAAUGUUAUGGAUGUGGGAAAUCAGGUCACUUUAUUAAGGAUUGCUUUAAGAAAAAGAAUGAACAGAGGGAUAACAAAGUAGAUGAGGGAAAUGUAGUUGAAUCCCUAGAUGAUAAAACUGUGGAUGUCUAUGUUGUUACUGAACCUGUUACUGAUCAGCAUACUGUAAAUUUUUCUGAAAAUAUAGACCAGAAUCAAGAAUGGAUUCUUGACUCUGGUUGCACUUUCCAUAUGACUUCUAAAAGGUCUUGUUUAGAAAAUUUUAAGGAAAUGAAUGGAAGUGAGGUAGUAAUGGGUAAUAAUGCAGCCUGUAAAGUUUUAGGAAUUGACAGUGUGACUUUAAAAUUUGAAAAUGGAUAUAUCUUUACCCUAGAGAGAGUAAGGUAUGUUCCUGACUUAAAUAGAAAUUUAAUUUCUAUGGGUGAUCUAGAUGACAUUGGUCUCCAAGCUAAACUUGGAAAUGGUUUGUUAAAAGUUUUUAAAGGCUCUCUUGUAAUAUUCAAGGGUGCCAAAAGAAAUGGUAUAUAUGUCACUAGAGCUGAAAUAGUUUCAAGUCAUACUGCUGAGUCCUUAACUGCUGGAGUUGAUGCCACCUUAAAAUUGCACAAUAGGCUGGCACAUGUUAGUGAAAGAGGUCUGCAUAUUUUGAAUAAAAUGGGUGUUUUUGGAAAAGAUAAUGUUUCAAAAAUUCCUUUUUGUGAUUAUUGUAUACUUGGUAAACAACAUAGACUUCACUUUAAUACGGGUAAGCAUGAAACUACUUCUGUUCUGGAGUAUGUACAUGCUGAUUUGUGGGGACCCUCAUCUACUAUUACCCAAGGAGGAAACAAAUAUUUUCUGUCCUUGAUUGAUGAUUUUUCAAGAAAAGUUUGGAUUUUUCUGUUAAAACAAAAAUCAGAUACUUUUGAAAAAAUUUAAAUUUGGAAAACCUUGAUUGAAAAUCAAACUGGGAAGAAAAUCAAGGUAUUAAGAACUGAUAAUGGUCUAGAAUUUUGUAGUGUUGUUUUUGAUCAAUUAUGUAAGGAUAGUGGGAUCCUUAGGCAUAAAACAGUUCCUUAUACCCCUCAGCAAAAUGGAAUUACUGAGAGGAUGAAUAGGACUAUUCUAGACAAAGUAAGAUGCAUGAUGAUCAGUUCUGGAGUUCCUAAAGUACUGUGGGGUGAAGCUGCUAUGACUGCAGUUUAUAUCAUAAAUAGAACCCCAAGUAGUAGGGCUGAGCAAAUCUCUCGAACCGAACCCGAAGCGAACCGAACCCAACGGUUCUUGUUAAAUUGUCAAAUUAAAUACCCGAACGGGUAUCUGAAUUGAGAAUCGACGGGUACGGUUCGGUUCUCGGUUCUAGACCAAGAACCGAAGAACCGAAUCUUUCUAAUUUUUUUUAUAUUAAAUAAAUCAAAUUAUUUUAAUUUUAAUUUUUUCUAAACAAAUUAACAAAUUAACAAUUUGUAAAUCCAAAUUUUUGGCCCAAGAAUUUGUUUAAUUUCUAAUUUUUAAAUUUUUGGCCCAAUUACUCAUUUUAUUGUUUUAUUUCUUAGCCCAAAAAGAUCCAAUCCACUAAAUAACUCUAAACACCUACACUAAAGUGUAUAACGUUGUGUCGACUCUCGUACUCACUCUCUCAGCCCCGCUAAUAUUCCAAAACCUAUACAAUCGUCAGCCGACACUGUGACCUCCACCGAUCGAAGCUUUGACCAUAGCGAUCAUUUGAACAAUGUAGUUUACUAGUCUCUAACAUUCCAAAACCAUUGAAUGUAUCAUUAGUUGUAUUUAUAUAAUGUUGUUAUAAAUGUUAAAAAAUUUAAUUAUAGUACAGAACCGAACCGAACCGAACCGAACUAAACCGAACGGAACCGAACCUGAACGUUUCCAUAAUUAUAUUUGGACCCUACGGUUCCAUUUACUAAAUACCCGAAAAUUUUGGUUCGAUUCGGUUCUAACCGAUUCUCUUUAGAACCGAACCGAACCAACCUGCACCCACCCCUACCAAGUAGUGCCAUAGAUGGCAGAACACCUGAGGAAAUAUAGUCUGGAAAAAUACCAGAUUAUAGUCAUCUAAAAACCUUUGGUUGUGCAGCCUUUUCCCAUCAAAAUAGUGGUAAACUUGAACCUAGAUCCCAAAAAUGUGUUUUUAUGGGAUACCCUGAAGGAGUUAAAGGGUAUAGAUUGUGGGAUAGGAGUGUGAAGGGGUUUAGAAUGAUCACAAGUAGGAAUGUGACCUUCAAUGAGUGUGAUAUGCCUUGCAUGACUAAUAAACAUCAUAUUAGUGCUUCUAGUAGUGAGGAAGAAGAGAUGACUAGGCUGCAGGUGGAGCAUUUGUCACCUCCUGAACAUACUGAUAAUGUUCAGGAAGAGACUGGUGAAGUUUUUGAUGAAAAUAUAGAAGGUGAAGGUGAUGUUCAAGAAGUUGGUGAAGAAGAAAAUUCAUUAGAUGGUUACCAGUUAGCUAGGGAUAGGGUUAGAAGAGAAAUAAGGGAACCCAUUAAAAUGAGAGACUACCUAUCUCUAGCUUUACUGACUUGUCAAGAUCUGGCCUUUAAGGAACCAAAAACAUAUGAGGAGGCUAUGAGUUGUCAGUCUUCAAAAGACUGGCAAUUGGCUAUGGAAGAGGAAAUGAACUCUUUAAGGAAAAAUGAAACCUGGAUUUUGGUUCCUAAACCUAAAGAUAAAUCCUUAGUUGAUUGUAAAUGGAUCUAUAUAAUUAAUGAAGGAAAUAUAGCAAAUCAGCCCCUAAGAUUAAGGCCAGAUUAGUGGCAAAAGGGUUUACUCAAAAACCCGGUAUUAAUUAUAAUGAAAUUUUCUCACCUGUAGUUAAAUAUACUACCAUACGUGUUAUGCUUGCAUGAGUUGCUCAUUAUGAUCUUGAACUUGAACAAAUGGACGUAAAAACUGCCUUUUUGCAUGGAGACUUGGAUGAAAUUAUCUAUAUGAGACAACCACCUGGAUAUGUAGAUAACAAGAAACCUGAGCAUGUGUGCUUGUUAAAGAGAUCAUUGUAUGGACUUAAACAAUCGCCUAGACAAUGGUAUAAACGCUUUGAUAACUUUGUGUCAUCUGUAGGUUUUCUUAGAAGCUCUUUUGAUCAUUGUCUAUAUUUGAAAAAAGAUAAAUCUGAAUCUGUGAUUUUUUUACCUACUUCUUUAUGUGGAUGAUAUGUUGUUAAUUGGACAGCAUCUUAGUGAUAUUAAUGAUAUUAGGAGAUCUUUAUGCUCUGAAUUUGAAAUGAAAGACUUGGGACAUGCUAGAAGAAUUUUAGGUAUGGAUAUUAAGAGAAAUAGAUCCAAACAGGUUCUUUUUCUAUCACAAUCUGCCUAUGUUGAAAAAGUCAUAUCAAAAUUUUCCAUGCAUGAAUCAAAAACUGUCACUUUAGCACUUGCAAGUCAUUUUAAAUUGAGUAAAGAUCAAUGUCCAGUUGAUGAAUUUGAUGUGAAAUCCAUGCAAAAGGUCCCCUAUGCUAAUGCUGUGGGGUCUGUAAUGUACACUAUAGUGUGUACCAGACCUGAUGUAGCUCAUACGAUUAGUACCCUAAGUAGAUUUAUGGCCAAUCCUGGCUUGAACAUUGGACAGCCUUAAAAUGGUUACUUAGGUAUCUAAAAGGAACAUCUAACUUAGGUUUAUGUUUUAAUCCUAGUAAAGAAGAUGUUAUAUUAAAGGGGUUUGUAGAUUCAGAUUAUGCUGGGGACAGGGACAAUAGAAAAUCAACCACAUCUUACAUGUUUACUUUGUGUGGCACUUGUGUGAGUUGGAAAUCACAAUUACAGCCUAUUGUUGCACUUUCAACCACUGAAGCAGAAUAUGUGGCUGCUACUGAAACCAUAAAAGAAGCACUAUGGCUCAAAGGUUUGUUAUGUGAAAUUAAUAUUUUGUCACAACCUGUUGUAGUUUACUCAGAUAGUCAAAGUGCAAUUUAUCUGUGUAAAAAUCCUGUAUUUCAUGAAAGGACCAAGCAUAUAGAUGUUAGAAUGCAUUUUAUAAGAGACAUAAUUCAUAAAGAAUCUGUUGUACUUGAAAAGAUUCCAACAGAAUUUAAUCCUGCUGAUAUGGGGACCAAGGUACUGUCUCUUAAUAAGUUUAGGUCCUCUUUGAAAAUGCUGAAAAUUGAUACUGGGUAACCUUUGUUGUAAUGCAGGUACUCUAAACCUCUUGGUGCAAUGAUCUGUGGAACUUAAAGAAGAAAAUGAAUUUGUUUCAUAUCUUUGUAGUAUGCAUGUUGGUCAUUAGCAUCAAGGUGGAGAUUGUUUGGAUUGUAAUGCCAAAUCAAUCAAUUGGGCUAUGAUGAAAAGGGCCCGGCCCAAUAGCUGGUAUUAUAUUUCCAUUGCCCGAUAAUUUAAUGGUAGAGGCCCAUCUACCCGAGCCCAAACAUGAGGCCACGUGUGCUGCUCUGAGCCCUUGGAUCACCCAGCUGAUCUAGGGUGAUUUGUUCUUCAAUAUAAGGGACCUUUGGUGGUGCCCUAGUUGACCGAGCGUGAUAUUUUUCUGGUGACUCUUGAACUCUCUAGAAUGAGUCAUUUUCUCUGCCUCUUCUCUCCUUCGUCUUCUUCGUGUUUUUCUUUCCAAGAUCUCUGUAAUUUGGAACUUGAUUCAUUCUGUGUGAACAGUAAAUCUAAGUGAUUCUUUUGAAAGGAGUUAGUGGAGUCAUUGAAGGAGGUUUUCUUUGUGGCUCGUCGAAGUAGUUGCGUCCCGGUUCCUUUUGUGGGGUUUAGGUUUGAUUCUUGGUGUCUCUACUAUUGUACAGAAGGGUACAAUGUUAAUUUCUGAGCCCUGACAAUUGAUUGAACAAUAUACCUUUGGUUUGGUCCUGUUCUAGGUCGAAUUUUUUCUCUAUGUGAGAUCUGAAAAUACUUUGUGUAUUUCUUGAGUUCUAUUGUAACAUAGGUGUCAAGCAUCCAAUGAAGAGGUGAAUUUAAUCAAGUAUGAAAAUACAUUAUUAUCUAUUCUAGAACCAUCUUAUCAAUAAUGGACCGAUUUUGGACUUCAAAUCUUACUGAAUCAGUUUGAGUUGAGCUCACAAAAAUGAAGCAACCCAUCUUCAUACAGUGAUCACCAAAAUUAUUAUGGACCAAGCUACAAGAAUAUAAGGAUGAUAUAGGGGAUGACCGAACACACACACAUGGGAGGGUCGGCAUUCUUUAAUUCACGCGGACCCAUGCACAAUGUGAUGGUUGUUUAACCGAGCUGUCACCAAAAUUCGGGCAAAGUGACUUUUUCCAAUUAUUAUAUAACACCAAAAGGAACGGCUUUUUAUUCCUCACUUGGAAUAAGUCAACCUAAAAUCUUCCUGAAAACACUCUGGUCAAAUCUCAAGACAACCUGUUGAAGUCGCUCAGUAACUUUCCUUCUUUCUUCCGUCCAAGAGACGAGGGAACACGUAAAUCACUGAAAUUGGGAGCAAUUACGUGGACUCCUUUCACUGAACAGAAAUUAAGAAUGAAAUUGCAGCAAUUAUACGAAAAUGAAGCAAAAACUACAGGGCCAGACUAAAAUCAUUACGCCACACAGUAAUUUCACUUAAUGAACAGCCAGCAAGAAAGGAAGAACAAUCAAGAAUGUGAAAAACCGAAACCUAACACAUUUAAUGGAGUCCACUAAGUUUGUUAUUAGUUUCAAGAUUUACUAGUAAAUGUUAACGAGAAAUUAAACAGUCGUUGAGUAGACAAAAAAUCAAACACCUGGCAUGCAACUAUCAACGGAAUCAUAAAUGACAAAUCCUAACAUGGAAAAUUCAAGAUAAUCAAACUUCUCUUAGCAUGCAUACGCGUGUGCUCACAUUCGAUUUAUACACAGAUAAACGCACACAGGGAGGAGAGAAAAUCUACAUUUAGAAGUCAAAGAGCACAAAUAGAAACGGAGUUUUAAUUUUUCAAUUGUAUCGGGUGUCCAAAAUUAAGAAGAAUUUUAAAAGAUUAUAACGCUCUCUUAAUGUUAUAAAAACACUUAAAAUUUCUGAAAUAGAGGCUUUCUAAGAAAUAACAAAAGGAUCAUGCUGCAUGUACAAACUUUUUAUACAAACUCCCUUAUUCACUAAUCACAGUGGGGGUGGGGAUCGCAAAUCGACAUUUUUUAAAUUCAUGUGAAAUCCGUUAAUUUUGUGAGAGCUAGUACAUCAUUUUGUCAACAAGAUUUUGUACAAAUAUCUUUAUCCUACCAAAAAAGGCUCUCUGAGUGUAUUUCCCCAAAUAUGGAAAGAAUGGCAUUUUAGGAUCUUUUCUUACGAUUUUUCUUUUCUUUCUUUCUUUCUUUCCCCAUUCAUUUCUUGAAACUUGGAAUUUUAUGGCAUUUUAGGAUUUUUUUUUACGUUUUUUUUUUUUUUUUUUUUUUUUUUUCCCCUUUUUUUUUUUUUUUUGUUUCACUUUUUCAUCCAAGAUUUAUGGGGACAAAAUUGUCCAAGUACUCGUCAAUUUAUAACCAUUAUUUUUUUCACAUGUUUCAAACACAUACUCUUGCUUAGUUGUUUGAAGUCUAGUGAUACACUCAAUGUGAGAGUGUAAAAAAUUCCAGUUAUCACUUGCCCUUUAACAAUCGGUGCCGAAUACUCAAGUAAUUAACAUAUGCAAGAUUGAAAUACAUUCCAUUAUCUUUGGAACUAUAACUUGCAUGUUGUAACACUCAAAACAAUAAUACAAUCUCGACGUUGUCAUCUAUGACAUUUUUUAUCGAGUGUUGCUCAAAAUACUUAAGAUGCUCUUAUCCCAACUUGACAUCAGAAUCCAAACGCCAAUUGGGCUUCUCCUCCUCUACCAACAUCUCAUUUCCACUUCAACCAUCACCUUUCUCUUCGUCCCUUCAUCAUCCUCUAAAUUUUCCUGCCACCAACGAGGGCUGACCCAAGAUUAUAGUUCACUGGAGACGAGACAAAAUUGUGUAAAAAAUAAUUGUGAAAAUUAUGAUCCAAAAUUAUGGGGAUUUUUUUUUUAAAAUGUCAAAAAUUAAGGGUUCAAUGGUGGCAAUUGCACCCAGUUGGACCCUUAACGGGACCGCCCUGCAUUCCAGGAUUUUUGUGGAACUUCGCUUUUCUUGAACCGAGUUCUUCACUUUGGCGUUAGGUUUUUUCCAUCAAAUUUCCUUAAAAUGGCAGUGUGUACAAAUAGUUAUCUAUUUAUUCCAAUUUCAUGAUAAUAGGAAGGUAUUUUACGAAAAAGGGGUAAAUUUGUCAAAAUACACCAGUCAUUUUUUAAGCAAUUGAUUUAUAUGCAAUAAACUGUUUAGUUAAGCAAAGACAAUAUGACCGAGAUGGGUAACAUGUAAUUAACGUGAAAGUGUUUCAAUUGAUUAUUGACUAAUGUUAAAGCGUCAUAAUUUAUUAUUGAUGAUAUCUACGACCCAAGAUGGGUAAUAUGUUAUAAACAUGAAAGUGCCUUAAUUAAUUAGCGGCAACUAUUAAAAAUUGAUUUUUCAUAACUUUUAGGGUCCGUUUGAUUGUAAGAAUGAAAUUUGGAUGGAAAGAAAAUGAAUUUUAGGCAAUUGAAUUGCUUGAAACUUGUUUUAUCAGGAAUUGUCAAUUAAAUAUGUUUGAUUGGUAUAAUUUUUCACCUUAAAAAUAUUUAAAUUUUGGAUCUUUUGGUGUUCAUUUGGCAUUGUUUUCCAUAAAAAUUGUCAAUUAAAGGGAUAGAAAUUGUUAAAAUUGUAAAUAUAAUUUUUUUUCCAUUGUCGAAAAUUAAAAAAAAAAACUGAAAAACCCAAUUCCCACCCAAACCAUGAUAAUUGGUUUUUCACAAAACCAAGGAAAAUCAUUCACGUGGGGCAGGGCGGGGCGGGCGGGGAGGAAAACGAAUUGUCGGGGAAAUUUUUGCAAUCAAACAACAAAAAAUAUGAAAAAUGAAAAAUUAACCAAAUCAAACAGACUCUUAGUCUAAUUAAUGAAAUAACAAAAAAGUCACAUGGGACCUACCAUACAUCAAGGGCCACAUGGCGGGGCCGUCAUGUGGCCUGGACAAGUAGCUUUUCCAAGUCACAUUAGCUAUAAUUAAUCGACUUUUUACAUUUUUAAUCAAUAUCCGAAGUACCUAAAUAUUCGAAACAUCAAAAAAAAAAAUUGCAUUAAACCAAAGUAUAAUAUUAAAAGGGUCAAAAAGUUAUUAAAAACCACACAUUUUUAGUUCUUACACAAGGUUUCCCCCCAUCACAUCAGGGACUUUAGUGACCUGGCUUUAAUUGCGUGGGCGGAUUCAGUAGUGGGCUGCACUUGGCUGCAGCCCACUGUCUUCCAACCCGGAUACCAAAAAAAGGUUUGAAUUGUAAUUAUUCAGCCACAUUAGCCCACUAACAAAUAAAUUCAGUGGGCUAGCCCACUCUAAAAAAAAAUUAUUUAAUUUGUAGCCCACUAACCUAUAUAAAUUUAGGCCCAAAAUAAUACCCAUUUCAUUAGUAAUUACCGUGUAAUCAAAUAAUUAAUCCCCAAUUCCCAAACAUUUUCCAUUCCCGUCAUUUGCAAAAUCAACUCACAGAAGUCCCAAAAAUAAAAAAUUAAAAUCCCUAUCUUCACUUUGCCAGUUUGCCCCUACCCGUAGCCGCCGGCGUAACGGAAUUGUCAAUUGUCGACUGGCCCAACUCACUUCCGGCCCGUAAGUGACGGACUUGCACAGUCGCACUGAUUCGUCGCCUCAAGCCUGGCUACCGACGACUUGGGUUAGGUUUUAGGGUAAGUAAUUUACUAAUUAGUUUCUUAGAAUUUGAAAAUCUUUCCGGCCCGUUAGUGGCGGACUUGCACAGUUGCACUGAUUCGCCGCCUCAAGCCUGGCUACCGACGACUAGGGUUAGGUUUUAGGGUAAGUAAUUUGCUAAUUAGUUUCUUAGAAUUUGAAAAUCUUUCAAUAUCUUUUCAAUUAAUUAUACUUGGUUUGUUGUAUUGAAAAUCUUUCAAUAUCUUUUCCAUUCCCGUCAUUUGCAGAAGAAAUAAUUAAAUUUGUUCAAGAUGUUGGUCAUUGGAAACUUGGAAUAAUUUAAUUAUACUUGGUAUUUUGGGUUAUUGCCUUAUUGGAUAGUUACUACUUAUUAUGUUUCUUGUUCAAUUGUUUGUCUUUUAAUUAUGUGGGAACAAGAACAGACGAGCAGGGAACUGAAAUUUUACUCACUUGAUGGAAUGAAUGAAUGAUGGUGCUUAUAGUCGAUCAUUUGAGGCUUUCAAGCAGUCGAUAGGAAUAUUUAAGAAGAUGAUUUGAGCAUAUACCUGUGAAGCUGUGACUCCUGAAAUUUCAAGCACAGUUCCACCCUUUAUUUCUUUAUUAUGUAGAGAGACUUCUCUUGACCAUAGUUUUUUGAGUUCUCUGAUUGGCCAUUGCACUAACUGCUUCCCUUUUUUGUCGAGCAAUACGGUUCUUGGAAUUGACUGCCAAAAAUCCAAGUAUCAGGAAAUACAGUCUACAUUCAUAUUUUCAUCAAACUCUUGCCUUGUGAAAUAUUCAUAAAUGGGUGGCCACGAUUUAUAAGAUGUUAAUAUUCGAAAAAAAUCAAGAAGCAAUAAAUUGCCAAAAAUGAGGAGAGCACAGAAAAGAUUAGACAUAGAUUACCUGAACUCCAGACCAUCCUUUCUCGAUAUAAAAUGUUUUGGAAGCAUAGAACAUACCAUAAUCAUAUCUAAGCUGCUUAAUACUAUCCAUGAAAUCAACAUCAACAUUAUAUCUAUCCGUUUUCAAAUCAUAAUUUCCUAUUACAUAGUAGUCAUGAUCACUAAAACUCGCCUUUAUGACAUGUUUAGUUUUUCGACCAUUGAAAGAUGAGUGGAGCCCAGUUCUACGAUGAGUACUAACCGGAUAAUCAAGACACUCCCACAUUCCUGUUUUGAUUGACGAAUGAAGAGGACUUCGACUCUUGUUGAAAUGGAAUGAUUGCCCCCCCCCCCCCCUAAAUUGUACUCACUUGAUGGAUUUUUUUUGUUUAAUUGUAGGUGAAGUAUUUUGAUUCUUUGAAGUACUGUGCUAUUUGUUAAGAAGAGGGUCCAGAGGUUGCUGAACUAGUUGAGAAUGUUUAAGGUUGGUUCUCUGACUUUGGAUAAAAAAAUCUCAUUUCAUAGCAAACGGUAAAUUGGUUUUAUGAUUAUGGUUUUAUAAAUUUAUAUUUAUGCCUUUAUGGGAUAUUGAAGCAUUUUAAUUUUUAUACUUUUAGAUUUAAUAUGGAAGAAGAUCGACCUUCUACCAAGAAAUAACAAAUCUCUGGAUUCUCCAAUUCCUACGGUGCCUAUUCCUCCAAUUUCAUGCCCUGGAGUUGAACGGCCUUCAUCUUCCAAUCUUAAUUUUGAACCAUCUGAUUCUAUUGAAUGGACCCUGAAAAAAGAAAGCAAAUAUAUGAAUAUCCAUUUAAUGAAUACGAUCAAAUUAGGCGGGCCUAUCUAAAUGUUGGACCUUAUCAACCAAAACUUUUGGAGUAUAGAGCAAAGGAUGUAAAAAGCAAAAACGUCGAUUUCAGAAACGUUGGUAUAAUCAAUUUCCUUGGUUGGAAUAUUCGCCUUCCACACAUAAGGCAUAUUAUUUUUACUGCUUCCUUUUUCUCAAUGAUAGUACUCUACCUAAUAUUUCAUCAUUGGUUACUGUUGGAUUUGAUAGUUAGAAGAGGGUUAACCAAGGAAGUAAAUGUGCAUUUCUUAUUCAUGUUGGUACAACAUCGUCAUCAUUUCAUAAUAGAUGUAAGAGAAGAGCUUAAGAUUUAAUGAAACCAACUCAACAUAUUGACAAGGUAAUGCAUUUUGUAUCAAAUGAGGAAAAACAGGAAAAUUGUUUGCGUCUAAAGACCACUAUUAUGAGUGUUAAGUGGUUAGCUCUUCAAGGUUGUUCCUUUAGAGGCCAUGACGAAUCUCCAUCUUCACUGAAUAGUGGGAAUUUUAUUGAAUUAGUGGAUGCAUUUGCAAAAAUCAAUAUUGAAGUAGGAAAAGUUGUGUUGAGUAAUACUCCCAAAAAUACUACAUACACGUCUCCAGACAUUCAAAAAGAAAUUUUGAGCAUUAUAGCCAAUAGAGUGGGACAAGGAAUUCGUACGAAAAUUGGGGAUGCAAAGUUUAGUAUUCUUGUUGAUGAAGCACGAGAUGAAUUUUCACGAGAACAAAUGGCUAUUAUCCUGAGGUUUGUAAACAGUAAUGGAAUUUUGACAAAGUUUUUUUUCUGCAAUUAAAAGUGUCAGUGACACUACCUUAUUAAAUUUUAAGAAUCAGAUUUCUGAUGUUAUUAUUCAUUUCAACCUUCAAGUGCAAAACAUGAAAGGCCAAGGGUAUGAUGGUGCUAAUAAUAUGCGUGGUUCUUGGAAUGGACUACAGGCAUUACUUUUUAAAGAUUGUCCAUAUGCGUUUACAACUCACAUUGGUUUUUGCAGGUAAGGAUGUCUCAGUUAUUAAUUCAUUUUUUUCUCAUUUGGACAAUGUUAUUAAUAUGAUUACAUCAUCUCCUAAGCGCAUCAAUGAGUUGAAAAGUGCCCUAAGAAAAUAAAUUGAGUAUUUGUUAGAAAUUGGAGAACGAGAGUCCAGAAGUUGUGCUAAUCAGAUUGGUAAUUUGCAACGAUCCAAAAGUACUCGUUGGUAUUCUCAUUACAGCUCUGUAAAGAGUUUGAUUGAUAUGUAUACUGCAACUUGCAAGGUGCUUGAGUAUCUUAGUGAUCGUUCUCCAAGUACAAGAUCUCGGUCCGAAAUUGGUGGUGUAUACAAAACCAUAACAACAUUUGAAUUUGUAUUUAUCUUACAUUUAAUGCAUAGAAUAUUAGCAAUUGCGGAUGUUCUUUGUCAGUCCCUUCAAAAGAAAACUCAAGACAUCUUAACUGCUAUGAAAUUUGUCUAUACUACAAAAACUAUCUUUCAAAUAUUGAGAAGAGAUGGCUGGGAAGAAUUUCUUGAAGAGGUGAAAUGUUUUUGCUCCAAAAAUGAUAUACAUGUACCUGACUUUGAUGGCUCGUAUAUGGUUGGUCAUUCUCGUGGUCGUGAGUAUCCUACCACUGAACAUCAUUAUCACUUUGAUAUUUUCAAUGCAGCCAUUGACUUUCAAAUGAUGGAGUUAGAUACAAGAUUUAACGAGACAUCAAUAGAGCUCCUUUCUCUCAGUACAACUUUGGAUUCAAAAAAUUCUUUUGAAUCAUUAAAUAUGGAUAAUAUUUGCAAGCUUGCAGAGAAGUUUUAUCUUGAAGAUUUUAAAUAGUAAGAUAUUUAUUGUUUGAAAGUUGAGUUGCAACAUUAUCAAAAUGAUGUGAUUUCUGAACCUCGAUUUCAAGUACUUACACUUUCUGAUUUAUGUCGGGAAUUGGUUGCAAGUAGAUGGUCGGAGAGUUACGUCAUUUUGACUAAAUUGAUUUGUUUAGUACUGACACUAUCUGUUUUAACGGCGAUUGUGGAGCGAGCAUUUUCAUCAAUGAAACAUGUGAAGACGAAAAUUCGUAACAAAAUGGAUGAUGGUUCUCUUGCUGAUUGUUUAACACUAAACAUUGAACGAGAAUUUAGUAUGAAUUUAGAUCUAGAUUCUAUUAUAGAUGAAUUUUAUGCUGUAAAACAUCGCCGAGUAUAACUUCAACAGGUAAUUUAUAUUUUAAAUUUUUCUUAUUAUAUAUAAAUUUUAUUCGUACAUUAAAUUUUUUAAAUUUUUAGCCUAUCGUAACAGUAAUUCUUGACUCUGCCCUUAUUUAAUUGGCUUUCGAGCUCUUUUCCUCCUACUCUCAUCACCCUCCUUGUCUUCCUCAUACUCGAUCUCGAAUUUCUCUUUGUCAAUUUCAGAGAAUGUGGAUGAUAUCGUUUCACAUUCUUGCUCUACUAGAGUACUACUACUAACUCGAUUGUUCUCGCCUCUUUUCUUGCCCCAACGCGGUCCAAAACCUGAAUAGUAGUAAAAUUCAUUCGAAUUUGACGUUGAAGCUGCCUUCUCGCCCAGUGGCUUGAGCGGAGAGUCAGCCACCACUUUAUCUUGUUUCUUUGCUGCUGGAAGAGACAAGUUGCAGUUUCGCACUUGAGAUAAGUGGUGCUUGCACAAAGAGUUCCCUUCGGCCGCCUCCCUCUUGCAUUUCCAUGCUUUCCCAUCAGUCUUGACACAAUAUACAAUCUGCAUUUCCUUCUUUAACCCGGGAUUCUCAGGCCCUUCCUCCGAGUCCUCAUGGGCAGAGCUUCUCAGAUUGCCGCCAUCGCCUUCGCCAUUGGAAUUAUCCCAUUUUACAGCUUUGAUCUCUCCAGUCAGUUCAUUCUCCGCGGCAAUUUUCAGUGAUGCAGCACUAUUGAUAAUAAUCCAAAUAAACAUUUGACUCCAAAUUUUAAAAAAUCAAUAAUGCUGAUUGAAGAACCCUAAUUAUUUUCAGCGUCAAUAAAGAGCUGGAAAUUGUAAGAUAAUCCGAAUUAAACACAAAAUAAAAGGAUCACCUAUGAAAAGCUGCAUUAGGUUCUCCCAAGCUUCCAUUUCCCGCUAAAUUAUCAGUUCCAUUGACCUGCAUAGAAAUUAUUCUACGUCGAAAAAAUAGUAACAAGCAAGCUAUAAUAAACAAAUACAGUGAAAAUACACAAAAGAAUUCAAAUUCCGAAGACCAAAUACACGACAAAAACCCUUUCAUUCAUAUUUUUUAAUGAACCCGACUGGUGGGGUUUUCAGAAAACCCUAGAAGAAAAAAGAAUAAAAGCAAAAACGAAAGUAAAUUUGACAAGAAUAAAAAUGGUUUCCAACAGAUCUGUAUACAGAAUUAAAGUCCUGUCAUUACAGAUAAAACUUCACUAACCUUGAACGACGGUGGAGGAGGUGGUGGCGGAGGAUAUGAUGAUGGAGAAAAGCUCAUCACGUCCCAAGGGGAUUGAUUCAAUUUGCAAAUAUGGGUUUGAAGAACAUUUCCAGAUUUCAGUGAAGAAGCUGCAUACAUCAAUGGACAAAUUUUAGCGUUCUUCCGUAUUCUCAUGGUGGUUCGGUGGCCUUCUGGGGGAGUUUUUUGGUGGAUGGUCGGGGCAGAAACUCACAAGGGCGGAGAGGCUCUGUGAGAGUGGGCAAAGGGUAUUCUUUUUAUAUUUUUUUCUCUCUCUCUCUCUGAAUGUGUGUGUAUAUUCUCAGUUGUAUGUAUAUUAUAUAUUUAUUGCUUACAGAACAGUACAUAUCUUCAGACAACCACUUAUGGCCCACAGGGUAAUAGUGUUAAAGAGUGUGUUCUGUAAACCCACUCUAGUUAAUUUUAAAGUCCCAAAUUUUAUAGUGUUAAGUUAAUGAAAAAAAAUCUACAGAUGUAUUUAUAGUGUUAGCCGUGAAAUCCUGAAUUUUAUGUGUGGAAAUUACAGAGAUGGAGCGUUUACAAAAGCUCAAUUCAUAAUUAAGAGUUACAGGCUUUUUUUUUCAAAAAUCAUAUUAUAAUUUAAAUAUUAAAUAUUAAUAAUAUUAUUAUUAAAUUAAAUUAAUUUAUCAACUCAACUCUACUCUACCCUACCCAUCCUACCUCAACUCUCACUUCCACAAAACCUAACUUACAGUUUCAAAAGCUAUUCAGUAUUCAUUUCUACUUCAACUCCAUGGCGCAACCACUCCCAAGAUGCUUCACCCUAGCAACUCUCAUUACACUACCGAGAGACCACCACAACGGCAUCAUCGUCGCAUUGCGCUGAGGUGGCGUCACUCUUCCCUAUCGACGAUGUCAUCAUAGCAACGAUGAGUUAUCCUUCUCUCUACCUUUUCUUCACUCGCAGCAAUCUCUCUUUCCCCCGAUUUUUACAGCAGCCACGAGUACCGCAACAACAACACCGUGCUACUGUUCACAACAGCAUUGCCCUGCCAUUCACAAUAGUUCCAAGCGGUUUCAAGGGCGUUGCCGUUAGAGACGCUGAUUUUACAGCAACGGUUCCAGACGGUGCACCUUUUCAGCGAGACACCAUUGCCGCGAGACAGCACAGCGUCAUUUUGAAAAUGGAAGUAAUGCUUUCAGAUCCAACGACACUGAUUUGAACAUCGUAGCGGGGUUUAAAGCGCCGCUGUAGGGUACUGAUCUGCACACCUCUGUGUAGUGUUUGUCGCAACGAUCUCCGUGGUUUUGGGGUUGAUCGAUCUGAAAAUAGAAGCGAGGCUGAUUUGAGUGUCGCAGCAGCAUCUACAACACCACUAUGAGGCCCUGAUCUGUGCGGUGUUUACCAAGGUGGUGAUGGUUGCGGUGGUGGUGGUGGUUAAAGCUAUGGCGGUGGUGUCGAUGACGACGGUGCUGGAGAUGUCAGGGAUGCUAGUGUAGUCAUGGUGAUGCUGAUGGCGAGGACAAUCGUGGCGAGUGAAGGUGUUUGUAACCAACCAAUAAAUUGGUUAAUUUUUUUAUCAAUAAAUCAUAUCUAAUCUAAAAAUGUGAUCGUGACUCACAAUUUAUUAUGUUGUGACAGAGAUAUAACUUGUGACCAAUUAAUUUGAUAAUGAUCAUAAAGUAAACUGUUACUUAUAAAAUUUGUGAUUUGUAACCAAUAAUAAUAUAUAACCAAUAACUUGUGACCAAUAAUAAUAUGUGACUUAUAAAUUUGAAUCUUGACUUAUAAAUUUUGUGUUUUUUGACAUAUAAAUUUUUUUAUUUGUGAUCGAUGAAUUAUAAAAAAAAAUUUAUUUAUAACCGUGAAAUAAUUUGUGGCCUAUAAAAAUUUUUAUUCGUAAUCGAGAAAUAAUAUAUAUAUAUAAUUAUUUCAUAAAUAAAAAUAUAAUUAAUAUCUAAUUUUUGAAGUUUAAACCAUGUUUCUUAGUUUUGAUAUGAGUCAUACUUGAUUUCUUAUAAUGAAAUUUUUCCAUUUUAUAUUCUUAAAUUGAUUGGUGUAGUCCAUUAAGAAACAAGCAAUGGAGGCUUAGACCAUUUAAAAUGAUGAAAGCCCAUAAUAUAAGUUAUUUAAGGCUCUGUUUGAGCCAUAUUCUUCAAAAAAAAUCUUAAACGGUAAUUUUAUAUCAUCUUACUUACACAUUCUUUAAUAAAAUAAUAUUACACGUAAAUUCAAAAGUUUUCCUUAUUUUUUAACAACACAUUCUAUAUCAAUCUGCUAUUCCAAAAUACAUUUUUUUAAAAUAAUGUGACUCAAACACAAUUGAAUGCCCAAAGAUUUAAGACAUUACAUUUAAAUAAAUUUGAUUACAAGAAUUUAACGAAAAACUAGGUUGCCACAGUGGUUAUCUAUUUCACAUACGAAACCCAAGUUUGAAUCACCAUGCAAAUAUUUUUAUAAAAUAUAAAAUAUUUUGAGUCAAAACUCCUCAUUUUAUACAUUAAGGAUAACUAUAUCAAAUUAAGUGGAUUGAAUAAUUAUUCUUGUUAGUGGACAUUCAUAGAGACAGGUUACAAAUAACAUAAAUAAUUCAUUUUCAUCAAUUUUUCAUCAUGUAAUGUUUUCUAAAAAAAAAUUAUAAGAAUUAUUUUUUUAUAAGCUUAAAACUCUUUAAAUUCUUACUUAAAGACUCAAUUUAACAAGAUUAAUGAUGGUAGUACUCUUCUAUUUAGUUUUUCACUAAAAAGGGAAGUUACAAGAAGAAGAAUGCCACUUUUUUAUCGUACCUCUUCUCAAAUCUGAAUUUGCCUUUAUUUUUCUUUCAAGAAUUUCUUUUUAGUUAAGUUAAGCUCAAAAAGAAUUGCAAGGGUGUGAAAGAAAAAUACUUCAACACAUUUUGUUCCUUUGUAUGUGUAUGUGUGUGUGAGAUCAGAAGGGUACACCAAGUGAUAUAAGUCCUAUUGAGUUUAAAGCUCACACCUUCUAUAUUGAAAACUUUUUCAGAAAUAAGGAUGGCCAAGAAAGUGGAUUGCAAAAGAUCCAAAUGAAGAAUGUGCUUCAUUUGUGUAAGUAGUUAUAUUUGAAGAAUUUAUAAUUCUUACUAGUUAUGCAACUUAUGUUUGAUUUUUAAAAGAUGUUAGUUUAUCUUUACUUUUUUUAAGACUUCUUAGUUCUUUUUUCUUGAUGUGACUGUUGAAAUUUUAAUCAGUUUAAAUAUGCAUGUAAUUAAAGUUGCUAAAGAAGUUAAGAUUAAACCUUAACUUGUAAAAAAUAAAUAUCAGCUUACUCCAUGAAUUUUAUUGAUGUCAUCUCGUAUAGAAUUAUUUGAGUUUUUUGACAAAACUAAUGUGGUUUGACCGCCCUAUGAGUCCUCUCUCUGUUGGUUUUGGAAUCAAGUCAAUUGAAAGUCGAUGAGAUAAGAUAUGCCCUUUUCCAUGUAUCGUGUUCGUGUACCAGAGAACAAUUUUUUUUUUCAUAUGUUUGAUUGUCCAUUUGAGUGCCUAAAUGAUGUUAGAAAAUUUUGAAAUUUUACUAUGUUGUGCUUGAAUGAGUUUAGAAUAUACUGUAAAAUUAGAGAAAUUGGAUAAGGAUUUGAAUUCUCCUUGGUUCUCUACAUCAUCAAUCACCCACAUCCUCAACCCAGGUAUGAAAAUUUUAUUGAACAUUUUCAUGAAAUUUUAAAGUUAUGUUUUCAUAAAUUUUUAUUUUUAGUUGUGAAAAAAUAUGUAUAUUGGACUAUGAUAACAAUGGGUGAUAAAUGGCUAGAAGAAGAAGAUGCAACUUAGUCAGCAUCUUAGAAAUGGCGAUUAGAACGUAUUUGGAUUUUGAAGUUGAGGAUUCCUUAGAUCUGGUGGAUCACGUACAUAGUGUUAAUGAGCAUUAGGUAGCAACUAAGAAUGCACGCUAUCAGAUUAGCAAUCAACAAGCCAUUCGGCUUCUCUUGAAUACAUUAGCAACUCAUGAAGAGUGUAUUGGCAAGCUUUUAUUUAAAGAAAUGGGUUCAGUAAUUCCAUUGAGGAAUCCUCAUACCAUAGGUAUAAAGAUUUUUGUAAUGCUCUUUUAGAUUAUUGAGAGACCUACCUCGGGAAAGUAACCUUACAUUUUAGUUUAGAUUCAAGAGUGAUGAUAGACGAUGAUGUAAUUCAACCAUUAAGGAUUAUAAGGUAAAUCAACCAAUCGGGGAUCAUCAAGGAAAUGGUAGAAGAGGACCCCGAAGAGUAUCCAGUUGAAGAUUGAGAAAGGGAUGUAGAAGUCUUAUAGAUAGGCAAAUAAAAUAAAUAAAUAAAAAUAAUAUCAAUCAUUAUAGUUUUCUUUGCAAUUUCAAUUAAGUCCAGUGACAUGUAAACUUUAAGUUUAGGCGUUUUAGAUUAUAAAUGGAUUUGUGCACUUAAAAAAAAAAAAAAAUCAUUCUUGAGUUGGCAGCAUGCAUGUCUAAAGGAUGAAAAGCUUAUUUUCGUGUUUAAAAGAAAUGGCACAACCAAACCAGAAUGAUUUGAUAAGAGAUUUGUUGUAAGCGGUGCAAGGGCUUGGAAGGCAAGCCCUGCAAGCAAACCAUUUAGUUGCCCAACUCAAACAUUGAUUUUGGAAAUUUUCAGAAGCAUAGUGAUCCGUUAACAGCCGAGGAAUGGCUACGGAAGUUGGGACAAUUUUUCUAGCUUAUAGAUGACAAUGAUACACAAAAGUACGGUGCACGGAGUUUAUAUUCACUGAAGCAGCAAAUCAUUGGUGGGAGUCAAUGUUUCGAACUAGGACCAAAGCUAAGCAAGAGGCUUUGACUUGGAAUCAAUUUGAAGAAAUUACUAGAAGUUCUUUUCCCGAGCAUUAAGGGACUUUAAAGAACAGAUUUCUUACAGCUAAGGCAAGGAAGCAUGACUCUGGCUGAUUGUAAGAAAAAGUUCGACCAGGUAACUAAGUAUGCUCUACAUUUGGUGACUACUGAAUUUAGAUAAAUAAAGGGAUUUUAGCAAAGGCUUCAUCAGGACAUUCACAAAAUCCUCAUGUCUCACCGUUUUACUACCUAUAGCAAAAUGUUGGAAAGAGCUCAUGCUUUCUGGUAUCAAACGGCUAGUACUAAAAAGUAUGGAAUAAAGACAAGUUCAGACUAUCAUGGUAAAGGCUGCUAACAAAAUAAGUUUGUGGCUAGUAAAAGGAAGUGGAACAACUAGGAUAAGAGAAAGAAAAAUGGCAGAAUAAGAAUGUGACGACCCAACCUCUGUACACAAGUCAUCAGCUUACAUACUGUCCGCUCUAGGAGAGUUAAAGCCCAUCUUAUCCCUCAAUAAUUUCUUUAGCGUCUCAAAGAUUUGAACACAUGACCUUCCUUUAAGAGAGACUUAAAUUAUGAGACCUCCUAGGGGACACGACAACUUUGGUGGCUAUGGCUUCAGGGGCAAGAGAAAUGGUGGUGGUUGUGGCAGUUGCUUCGAUGGCGGCAGCUUCUACCCUAGUCACGACGAAGGUCCACUUGAUGAAGUCAUUGAGGUUUCAUCAUUUGCUCAUGCUUAUGAGGCAGAUGUUGUAACAAAGCUCACAAGUAAAAAAUUACCAUACUUUGACGCACCAAUUUACCUUCAAAACAAGACACAGAACGAUAAAGUUGAUGAAAUAUUUGGCCUCAUUAAUGAAUCUAAUUUGUGAUUAAAAUGAUGGAAUAAAUUGUGGCCAUGUCGUAUUCAGCAGGCGAGAAGUUCUACAUUGACCCGACUAAGUUUUUGCUGCUUUCAAGAUUUCUUCCACAGCCAAAAGGACAAGCGCAAACUGGUGGUAGAGGGGGAGAAAAAAGGUGGUGAGAGAGGUGGACGUGGCGGUGGCUACUUUCACGGAAGGGGUGCUCCAAGGAGAAGAGAUGGUUCUCGAGGCGGUGGUCGUGGUGGAGGUUUCAGGGGUAGAGGGAGAUCAUAGAAUGACUGUAUUUGUGCUUUUCUUCUUUUAGUUGUCAAUCCAAGGUGCUUCCCAAUCAAACAGAACAAAAAAAAUGACGAAUUUUUGUCUUAAUGUAAUUUUGUUAUUUUCAAUUGGGCUGCUGUAAAAUUAUAUUACUCUAGUUCGGAUUUUAUUGCAUUAUUAUAUACUUUUGUUAAAUUUAAAAAUAAUAAUAAUGAUAACUUAAAUUGAAUCCUAGCACUGAUUGGACAAAACCACGUAAAAGUAGUUUAGGAUAAACAAAAGAGUUAUGCAGACAAUCAAAGAAAACAAUUGAAAUUUGAAGUUAGUGAAAAUGUCUUUGUGAAAGUGACACCUAUGAAGGAUGUAUUAAGAUAUGGUAAGAAGGCAAGUUGAGACCGUAAUAUAUGGUACCUUUCAAAAUUCUUGAUAAGGUUGAUAACGUAGCGUAUCUGUUACCUCUACCUUCCGAACUAUCUAUUGUACAUAAUGUAUUUCACAUGUCUAUGAUAAGAAAAUAUGUGCAGGAUCCAAGUCACAUGGUAAAUUAUUAAAUAUUAGAUGUUCAAAAAGAUCGAUUUUACGAAGAAGUUCGAAUUGCUGUUUUGGAUAGAAAGGUACAACAAUUAAGGCCUAAAAAAAUUCUAUUGGUCAAGGUUCAAUGAUGACAUCACGGGAUAGAGGUGGUUACUUGGGAAACGGAAGUAAAAAUUAAAGCCAAGUAUUUGACAUUGUUUGUUUAAUUUAAGUAACUUAAAGGACGAAAUUUUUUAAGGUGUAAAUGAUGUAAAUCUCGAAUUUUAUAUUCUUAAACUGGUUGAUGUGAUUUAUUUAAGAAACGAGCUACGGUGGUUUGACCCAUUUAACGUAAUGAAAGCCUAAGACAUAAGUUAGUUAAGACUCCAAAGAUUUAAGACAUUCAGUUUAAAUAAAUUAGAUUACAAAAGUUAAAUGAAUAAUUGGAUUGUCACAAUGGUCAUCGGUACGAUAUUGCUCAUAGGAAACUUAGGUUUGAAUCACCAUAUAAAUGUUUUUAUAAAUAUUUUGGAGUUAAAAACUCCUCAUUCUACACAUUAAGAAUAAUUAUAUCAAAUUAAUUGGUUGGACUAAGUGUUUUUGUUAGUGGGCAUUAAUAGAGAUAGGUUAUAAAUCAUAUAAAUUAUUCAUUUUCCUCCAUUUUUUAUCAUAUAAAUGUUUUAUUAAAAAAACUAUAAGAAUGAAUUUUGUGUGAGCUUAAUACUCAUUAAAUUUCAGCUUAAUACUCAUUAAAUUUCUACUUAAAGACUCAACCACUGUAUGACAAUAAUUAUUUUGAGAAAAUUGAGUUUUGAAUAGUAAGUUUUUGGAUAAUAAGUGAUUAAAAAGCAGGAAAAAAAUUUGAUUUACAUGAAAAAUAUUUUAUUAUAUAAAUGUGUAAUUGAAAACGAGUAUGAGAAUUAAAGAAUUUGAAGUAAUGGUUGUCAAACAAGGUCUCAAUUUAACCAUGUUAAUGAUGAUAUAACUCUCCCAUUUAGUUUUUCACUAAAAGGGAUGUUACAAGAAGAAGAAUGUCAUUUUUUUAUCCUGCAUCUCCUCAAAUCCGAAUUUGUCUUUAUUUUAGUUAAGUUAAUCUCUAAUGAACAAUAAAGGUGUGAAAGAGAAAUGCUUUUAGACAUUUUAUUCCUUCAUAUUUCAAGAAAUUCAAAUUAGGUGGUGCUAAGUAUCUACCCAUUUUGUCCAUUAUACUCUCACACACACUAGUAAUGUAUAUUAGAAUUUUUGAAGUUAUGAACAAAGAAGUUUAUAUAUGGCCAUAACUGAUUUCCACAAACCAAAGGAAUUCUUUGGAAUCAUGAAUUUGCCUACAUUCAUCUACAUGAAAUGUUAAAUUCUUUUCUAUCACUUUAUAUAUGUAUCUUCGUGUGUGCAUGCGUGUGUGUAAUCUAAAGGGUUCUACUGAGCUUAUAGUCCACACCUUCUAUGUUGAAAAAUUUUUAAGAUUAAAUGAUGGUUGAGGAAGUGGGAUUCACGUAGAUUGUGGAGGAUCUGAUGGAGAAAUGUGCUUCAUUUGCAUAAUUAAGCAAAUUUGAAAAAUUUGUAGUUCAAACUAGUUAUACAACUUAUAUUUAAUUUCUAAAAGAUGGUAGUUUAUAUUUACCUUUUUAAAAGACUUCUUAGUUCUUUUUCUUGAUGUAAACACUAAAAUUUUAAUUGGUUUAAGUAUGUAUACAAUUAGAGUUGCUAAAGAAGUUAAGAUUAAACCUUAGACAUUUAAACAAUAAAUUGCAUGAAAUUUGUCGCACCGUCUUGGACAAAACUUUUUGAGUUUUUGGACAAAACUAGUAGGAUUUGAAAGCCCUAUAAAUCCUUUGUAUGUUGGCUUUAGAAUCAAGUCAAUUGAAGGUCGAUAGGGCAAGUUAUGUCCCUUUUCUAAUUGUGUUGUGUUUAGUGUACCCGAAAAUAGUUUUUCAUAUGUUUGAGGGCUUAAACGAUGUUAGAAAAUUUUAAAAUUUUACUAUGCUAUACUUGAAUGAGUUUUUAAAAAUAUUGUAAAGAUUUCAUAGAAUUAUGAAUUUGAAAAAUGCAACCAAGCUUGAUCAUUGGGUAGCGCAUUGCUCGAUUUAACUCCGCUAAUAUACACUAACCUUCAUUUUAGUGCUCCGUUUUAAUUUCAUUAUUUAAAAAUCAAAGUUAUCUACCUUAAAUCAUUUGUUUCCAAUAAUUUUCGAAACUUGUAAUAAAACAUAAUGGUAAACUACAAAAUAAAAAGGAAAUUAAUAAAAAUUUUAGUGGAUUACACGUAUCUAUUCACCAACGGCGUGGAUCACCUUUUAAGAGAGUACUGUGCGGUAUUCAUGUUAUGUUUAAAUUACAAUCUAAAAAUAAAUUAACAAACAAAUUCGACAAGAGAAAUUGUGUUUUAAGAGACUUCUAACUUUUCUUUUCUUUUCUUUUUUAAUUGUACAUUCUCUUAAAAAUUACGUUUUACAAAAUUUACUCAAAAGAAUUUAUAUCAAAUGAAUCCUAUGUAAAAGGUAGAAGUUAAUGAAAAUAUAUAUAUGCAGAUGUGUUAAAUAGAAUCUCGUAAUCUUUAAUCCACUCUUAAAUUAUGAAAAUAUUUAGUGGAUUACAUGUAUCUAUUGAUCAACGGCAUCGAUCAUCUUUUAAGAGAGUAACGUGCAAUAUCCGUGUUAUGUCUAUUUUACCUUCUAUUAUGACUAGCCUUUGCCCGUGCAAUGUAAGGGUUGGAUUAUUUUGAACGUAAUGCUAGUAUGUUAAAUAUAUUCGGUUAUAGUGUGUCACUUUCGUCAUUUACAUUGAUAGAUGAUAAAAGAAUCAUUUAUCAUACUCUAUUAACAUAUAUAGAUUUCUUUAUAAUUAGAAUUGAUAAUAUGUAAUUGUCUAGCUAUUUAGAAAUCAAAUGUAUAAAUAUCAAACCAUGAGCAUUUAUGGUAUGGAAUUCAAUUCUUUCUUCCACGUUGACUUUUUCUCUGGAUACAAAGGCUCCAGUUUCAAAUGCUAGCCGAACAUCUAAGCUACAUGACAAAAGUUAAUGAGAUUUGUUUUUUUUUUUUUUAAGUAUGAAGGACUCUUUUAAAAUGUUAGUUGGGUUACAAUAUUUGAAAUAGUAGCAUAAAUAUUUGUCAUGGCAUUUGAAAUAGUCACUAAAGUUUUGUUAUAUGGCAUUCAAAAUAGUCAUUGCCACUCAAAUAUGAAGAAAAACUAACAGACCAAGUCAAGAUACUUAGCAAACACCAAACAUGAUAUCUCUACGCACAAGAUAUUAAGACUAAUAACCCAACAGAUUUUUAACUAUCCUCCUAACUAUAGAUGUUAAACUGCAAGAUUUUACUUAGUCAAUUCACCAGAUAGAAAAUAAUUAAAUUAAUAUCAUUUGGUACACAAGCAAAUUUCAAUUUAUAAGUUAUCUUAGAAACUUCCAACAAAGGUUUACUUACAUGGUGAAAGAGCAAGAGAGGUAAAAUAUUGCAUUCUUCUGGUCACGCUUUAUAAGACACUGAUAUGAACAUUCUCGAGGCCCUGGCUGCAAAAUAAAAGAAAGUUAAAGCAUCAGUUAGCAUAAUUUCUAAAGUUCUUAGUUCGGCAUAGAUAAGGUUUAAAGAAUCACGCAUUGUUAAACAAUAAUAAACACGCUGAAUGCAAAUAACAUAGAAAACUAAAAAAACAAUCAGUAACCACCAAAUCUUUUUUGCCCAAAUCGCAUAUCCAAUGCUUUCAGUUAAUCAACUAAUGCAGAUUGUCUUCUCACUUCAUACUGUAGUUUCCUUCUCAAGAUCUCUCCUUCGACCCUCUGAGUUUCAAUAUCUCAGAUUAUAAGAAUCAGUGUGGUAGGGUUUUCUUUUUUCAUAGAGAAAUGAAAGCGAGAGAGAGCAAAACCCACUUUUAAGUGACAUUUUGUGAACCGGUUAAUGAAUAGUACAAACCAAACAAGUGUGAAAACUCAAGUGACAAGAAGAAUAGUGACCCCAACCCCAUCUUUUAAGAGUUUUUUAUUUUUAUUUUUAUUUUUAUUUUUAAAUUAAAUAUUAUAUUAUCUAGAAUGUAAAAAAUUGCUUAUAAGUAAAAUAACACUUCGAGUUAUUUAAAAGUAAUAAAAAAAUUUAUAAUUGUAAAAGCUACUUUUAUAUAUAUAUAUAUUCAUCAUUCUCUUAUAAUUGCAAAAGCAACUUAUAAGUACAAAUAUAUUAACUUAACAUGUUUUAAGUAUAAAUAUUUAGAUAUAUUUAAUUUAUUAAAUUAAAUAUUAAUAAAAAAAAUUACACUAUCUAGAAUGUAAAAAGUUACAUAUAAAUAAAUAAAUAAUCAUUUCAAGUUAUUUAAAAGUAAUAAAAAAUUAUAAUGAUAAAAACUACUUAUAGAUUUAAAAAAUAUUAAUUUCAACAUUUUUAAGUAAAAAUUUAGAUAUAUUUAAUUUUUUAAAUUAAAUAUUAAUAAAAAUUUACUAUAAAAAAAAAAAAAACAUAACACUCCGUGCAUGGAGUGGUUAUGCCGCAUGGAGUGUUAAAAUGUUUGUUUUUUUUAAGUAAUUUUUUAAUAAUAUUUAAUUUAAAAAAUAAAUAUAUCUAAUAUUUACUUAAAAUGUUGAAGUUUAUAUUUUUUUUAUCUAUAUAAGUAACUUUUACAAUUAUAAAUUUUUCAAUUACUUUUAAAUAACUUGAAGUGAUUUUUUUACUUAUAAGUAACUUUUUACAUUCUAGAUAGUGUAAUCUUUUUAUUACUAUUUAAUUUAAAAAAAUAUAUCUAAAUAUUUAUACUUAAAAAUUUUUAAGUUAACAUUUUUUUAUUUUUAAGUUGUUUUUGCAAUUAUAAGAAAACAAGGGAUUUGUAUUUUUUUACCUAUAAAUAGCUUUUAUAAUUAUAAGUUUUUUUUUUACUUUUAAAUAACUUGAAGUGUUUUUUUUUUUUUUUUACAUAUAAGUAAUUUUUUACAUUCGAGAUAGUAUAAUCUUUUUAUUAAUAUUUAAUUUGAAAACUAAAUAUAUCUAAAUAUUUAUACUUAAAAAAUUCUAAGUUAAUAUUUUUUUUAGUUAUAAGUGGCUUUUACAAUUAUAAGUUCAUUUUACUUUUAAAUAAUUUGAAGUGAUUUUUAGUUAUAAGUAACUUUUUACAUUUUAGAAAUAAAGAAUAACUUUUAUGUAAAAAAUUAAUUAAAAUUGUUAUUACUAAUAAAAUUAUAUGAUAUGGUCACUAGUUGAUUGCGUGAAAAAAAAAAAGAGAAGAAAUAGUUUGUUAGAUUCAAAGCAGGUAUACUGCGAGUAAAAUAAAAAAUGACGUCGUUUCUGCUCCACCAAUUAAAAAAAAAGCUAUAGUGUGACAAAAUAUUAUUUAAAAAAAUAUUGCUACUAAUAAAAUUAUAGGAUAUAGUUGAUAGUUGAUAGCGUGAAAAAAUAGAGAAAGAGUAUUGUGUGUCAAAUUCAAAGGACCAAACCAGUUCAAUGUGAAAACCAAUGUGACAAAAAUGAAAUGCUAAAAAGAUCACUUCAAGUUAUUUAAAAGUGAAAUGAACUUAUAAUUGUAAAAGUUACUUAUAAGUAAAAAAUAUUAACUUAAAAUUUUUUAAGUAUAAAUAUUUAGAUAUAUUUAGUUUUUAAAUUAAAUAUUAAUAAAAAUUUUACACUAUCUAGAAUGUAAAAGUUACUUAUAAGUAAAAAAGCACUUCAACUUAUUUAAAAAUAAUAAAAAAAACUUAUAAUCUUAAAAACUACUUGUAUAUAGGUAAAAAAAUAUUAAUCCCUCAUUUUCUUAUAAUUGCAAAAGCUACUUAUAAGUAUUAAUAAAAAGAUUACACUAUCUAAAAUGUAAAAAGUUACUUAUAAGUAAAAAAAUCACUUUAAAUCAUUUAAAAGUAAUAAAAAAAACUUAUAAUUGUAAAGGAUAAUUAUAGGUUAAAAAAAUCAUCAUUUUAAGUAAAUAUUUAAAUAUAUUUAAUUUUUUAAAAAAAUAAAAAAAUUACUUUAAAUAAAAUUUAAAAAAAUAAUAUGUGGAGUAGAAACACUUCGUGCACGGAGUGGAAAUUCUCACUCCAUGCAUAAAAGUGAGAAACACUGCGCGGAGUGUUUUUCACUCCACAUAUGUUUUGGUUUUUUUUUUUUUUUAAAUAUAUAAAAGUGAUUCCUUAUUUCUAAAAUAUAAAAAGUUACUUUUAACUAAAAAAAUUACUUCAAGUUAUUUAAAGGUAAAACGAACUUAUAAUUGUAAAAGCUACUUAUAAGUAAAAAAAAUAUUAAAUUAAAAUUUUCGAAGUAUAAAUAUUUAGAUAUAUUUAAUUUUUUAAAUUAAAUAUUAAAAAAAAGAUUACACUAUCUAGAAUGUAAAAAGUUACUUAUAAAUAAAAAAAUCACUUCAACUUAUUUAAAAGUAAUAGAAAAAUUGAUAAUUGUAAAAGCUACUUAUAGGUCAAAAAAUAUUAAUUUGUCCUUCUCUUAUAAUUGCAAAAACUACUUAUAAGUAAAAAAAUAUUAACUUAAAAUAUUAUAAGUAUAAAUAUUUAAAUAUAUUUAUUUUUUUAAAUUAAAUAUUAAUAAAAAGAUUACACUAUCUAGAAUAUAAAAAGUUACUUAUAAGUAAAAAAAAUCAUUUCAAAUUAUUUAAAAGUAAAGAAAAAAUUUAGGAUUGUAAAAUCUACUUAUAGGUAAAAUAUAUAUAUAUAUAUAUAUAUAUCAACUUAAACAUUUUUAAUUAAAUAUUUAGACGUGUAAUUUUUUUAAAUUAAAUAUUAAUAAAAAAAUUUACUACAAAUAAAAGUUAAAAAAAGAAAAAAUAUGUGCAUUACUCCGUGAACGAAGCAUUGUUAGCUCCAUGCACGAAGCAUUGCUUAAAGGUUGGUUGAUUUUUCUUUUUCUUUUUCUUUUUUUUUUUAUAUUUUUGCUUUCAUUUUUGGGCUUAUUAUGGGAUAUCAAAUGAAGUCGAAAUAUUAUAUUCUUGAUAUCAUUUUGAAGUACUCACGGCAUAGUAUUACACGUCAUUAACGGUGCGCGAAACGGCCAAUCGUAGCAAAUGUUACGAGACGUCAAAAUAGGUAUUUCCAAACUAUCAUUUCGAGAAUUUCGAUAACAAGUUAAUUUUAAAAAUUCAUCGAUGAUUGUACGGUAGUCGAAUGAAUAAAUCUUCUAUAUUCUUUCGAAGCUCAUUUGGAGAACUAUAUCAUAGAUGUAUCGAAUGAUUUAUAUGAAUAUCGAAAAUAGUUAAAUGUGUAUGUUAAAAAAUGAGCAUAACUAGUCUUUUUCUUAAGAAAAUUAAUUAUUUUAUUAAUGUUUAUUAUUUUUUCUCGACAAUUUUCUCAAAAAGUUACUUCAAUUUAUUUAAAAGUAAAAAAAAAAAACUUCUAAUUAUAUAAGCUACUUAUAAGUAAAAAAUAUUAAAUUAAAUUUUUAAGUAGAUAUGUAGAUAUAUUUAAUUGUUAAAAUAUAUUUUACACUAACACAUUUAUCUAAAUGAAAUUUGCUGAAAAAAUAAAAUAAAUUAAAAAUAAAAAAAUUUAUCUCUCCAAAACAUUGCUCCGUGCACGGAGAACAAUAAAUCUCACAUUCUCUCUUUUAAGAUAAGGAAGGAAUUUUUUAAAAUUAAAUAUUUAUUAAUAAAAAAAUUUUAAAAAAUUAUCACCACUCCGUGCACGGAGUGGAAUCACUUCAUCCAUGGAGUGUUAUCACUCUAUGUGAAAGAAGAAUUUUCUCCUUUUGAAAGUAGAGAUUCUCUCCGUGGAUGGAGAGAUUUUCUUGGUCCAUGGAGAGAUUUUUUGUUUUUUUUAUAUUAAUUUUUUUUCAAUUUUAAUUAAUUAAAUAAUAUUUAUGUAUUAUUUAUUUAAUUUUUAUAACUUUCUUCUAUUUUAUUUGCUUAAUAAAAUAAUCUUCAUACAUUUCUUAUGAUAUAAAGACAUUCAUUAAAUUUGAAUUAAAUAAUAUUUAUUUUUUUCUUUAAAUCGUUUUAAUUUAAUUUAAAAAUUUAUAAUAAUUUUUUUAUUUUUAUCUGCAAUUUUUUUUAUAUAAUCUUUAUAUUUAAUUUCGUUUCUUUAUUAUAUAAUAUAUGGUAUUGCUUUUAAUCAAGUGAAGUAGUGUGUGAAAAUGAAGAAAUAUUGUAGUGGAUAUGACAUCACAGUGAAACGACGUAUAAAAAUAGUGAAAUGGCGUAUGAAAAUAAUGCUACAGCGCCAUUGAAUAGAAUAAUUUACUGCUGUCAAAUCGACUUCAAACCGUUUCGUAGGAAAAUCUAUGUGACAAAAAUGAACAGUAAACAUCACAUUCUCUCUUUUAAGAUAAGAAGGAAAUUAACAAAUAAAUUGGGUAAGAGAAACUGUGUGUUAAUGGGCUCCUAAAUUUUAUUAUUUUUUUCUUUUUUCAAUUAUACAUUUUCUAAAAAAUUACGUAUUGUGAAAUUUAUUCUUAGAAAAAUAUACAUAAAAUAAAUCAUUUUAAAAAGUUGAAGUUAAUGAAAAAAAUAUACAGAGGUGUUAAAUAGAAUCUCGUAAUCUUUGACCUACUCUAGAAUUACAAUAAUAUUUAUUGGAUUAUGUGUAUCUAUUGAUUAUCGAAGUUUAUCACUUUUUAUGCGGUAUUUUUGCUAUGUCUAAUAUACCUUCUAUAGAUGAAUUAAUUAACAAAUUCAGCAAGAGAAAUUGUGUGUUAAUGGACUCCUAAUAUUUCUUCUUCUUUAAAAAAAAUUAUACAUUCUAUAAAAAAUUACGUUUUAUGUAAUUUAUUCUAAAAUAUUUAGUGAAUUACAUGUAUCUAUUGACCAAUGGCAUAGAUCAUUUUUCGAGGACCGUGCGACACUCAUGUUAUGUUUAAAUUACCUUUUAUAGAUGAAUUAACAAACAAACUUAGCAAAGAGAAAUUGUGCAUUUUUUUGUAUAGACUUGAGAAUCAGGCAGGACUAUUCUCUUACGUACUAUUUGUUUCAGGAGGAUAUCUAACCCUCUUACUCCUCACGACUUUUUGUCGAGUUUUCCAGGACUCAAACCCUUGACUUUUCCCUUAAGAAUGACUUAAGUUGAAUCCUAGUAUCAAUUGAGUCGAUAAGAUGGGCAUUGUCUUUUAAAUGGACAGUAUGUAUGAUAUAACGGUUUAAGCACAGAGAUCAGAUCUUUACAUAUACAUAUGAAAUUUAUUCUAAAAAAAUUUAUAUCAAACAAACCAAUUGUAAAUAGUAGAAUAAAAAAAAAAUAUAUAUAUAUAUAUAUAUAUAUACAGAUGUUUUAAAUAGAAUCUCAUAAUUUUUUACCCACUCCAAAAUUAUGAAAAUAUUUAGUGGAUACAUGCACCUAUUGAUCAAUGGUGCAGGUCACUUUUUAAGAGAGUACCGUGUGGUAUCUAUGUUAUGUGUAAUUUAUUUUCUAUAGAUGAAUUAAUAAACAACCUUCAUAAUAGAAAUUGUGUGUUAAUUAAGAUAAUAUAAUAAGAAAUUGUGUUAGUUUAUACAUUGGUUCUUUAUAAAAUUAAAGAAAUAUUAUGCGGAGUUCAUUUUUCCUAAAUUGAAGUAUUGUUUCAUUAUAAAGGUUCUUUCUCAUUUUCAGUUGUACAAUUUCUUUAGGAUUAUCUUCACAAAAAGGUCGUAAAAAGAGUGGACCUAACCCCAAGGAUUCUACUUUAUGAGGUUUGACAAAAUGUCCCUACCAUAUUUCAAUUUUUAAUAUGAUGUAUAAAGACUGUCAUCACAAAAAGUAUUACACCUUUGAUCUUAAAAUUGAAGUCUAUAAGUAGUGGUCUACAUAGACACGCUUCUGAUCGAGUUCAUAUUUUUUAUCCAAAAACCAUACAACUGCAUCGAGUUUUUGCCACUCUCGGAUCAGUGAAUCCAUCAGGAAGGAUUAAGCCCAAAUCCUACUAACCAUUCCGAUCAAAACAAAACAUAGAACAAAUUCACCAAAAAAUAAAACUUAAAAUGCCAGAGUACAAGUUAAGGACACAACGACACAAGAUAUGGUUACAAUGCUGCUGCCGUUUGAACUCAAGACGGAGAUGAUAGAGCCUCAUCUUUAAUGCACGAAGGUUUUUUUGCGUUAUAGAAAAAAUGUGCAAUCAUCUGCUGUUCUUGUUUCUGCAUAUUGUGAAGAACUUGUUAGUAAUGGAGCUAACAAAUGAGAGUAUAUAUUAUAUAACAAUUGAAGAGUUUAGUCUUCGCCUUUCUCCCUAUACAAUAUCCUGUUUCCACGUAAGAACAAAAUUUGUGGGCAUUCUUUAACUUUAAGAGCUUAGGCCAAAUCUCUCUCGAUAUUUAUAUCUAUCUUGACAGUCUAGUAAUGGAAAUUAAAGACAGGAUUAUACUAAACAGAUUACGGAUAGGAAUAGAGAAAAAAAGGUGUCAAAAGAGGAUAUUCAUAUACCCGAGGAGGUAGUCGAUCCUUGGCUUCCCAGUACACCUUUGUUGCUUUUUCUAGUUCUUUCAAAGCUUUCCAGUUAUGGCUUGCCCUGAAAUCAGUGAUGGAUUUGAAUUACAUCUAGGCAAGUAUAGAUUAAAUGCACUACAUCAUGUUUUCCAGAUUCCUUCUUUUCAAGAACUGUUACAGACCUGUUGUAUCUUUCGAAAACGAGAACAAUUAG